AGAUUUUUACUUCUUUCUAAUUUUUCCAAUCAAGUCGAGUACGGUCUAAUCUUAUCUCGUACAUUAGACAUGCCAUGUGCAAUAUUACCCUCAAGCCUGGUCACUGGUGGUCGUGUGAACUCCAUCAGAAUUGCCCUCUGUUCUCUUCUUCUCUAAUUCUCUCAUGGUGGAUCUCCACCCACAGAAAGUACCAAAUAGGACGUCCAUAUCCUCUAGGGUUCUUCCUCGUGUCUCAGGUAGCAAUGUGUAGAAGAAAAUCCAAGCUACAGUAGCAACCCCUGCGAACAAAAAGAAAGCCCCUCCAAUUGUAAUGGCCUUGUACAAGGAUAUAAAUGUCAUUAAAAUCACCCCACUGACGACUCUAUUAACUGCGACUCCUAUACUACACCCUUGGGCCCUUAGCCUUAACGGGAAGAUCUCAGAGCUGUAGACCCAUGCGAUGGGACCCAUCCCAAUCGAGAAAAAUGCAACACAUGAUAAUGUCAUGGCGAUGCACAAGGCAACGGCCCAUGUUAGUUUUUGAUUGGGAUGUUGAUCAAUUAUGGUCAAUCCAGUGGCUAGCAUCACGAGGGAAAAUACAACACCGCCAGAACUCGAGAGGAGCAAAAUUCGUCGUCCAAUCCUGUCUAGAAAAAAUGUGGACACUAGUAUGGAGAUCGUCUUUGAAACUCCAACCGCGAUAGUCGCAAGUAGUUGGUCUCUACUACCUUUCAUACCGGCUUUUUCAAAAAUUCUGGGACUGUAUAACACAACAGAAUCUAUGCCAAUCGCCUGUUGAAAAAAAUGUACGCCAAUGCCUGCCAACAAAAUGUGUACGACCCUCCGUGUAGGGUGGAGGAACAUUUCUUUCCAUACAUCCUCGCCAUGGCUACGUUUUGGAACAGGAACAACGUCAUCGUUGCAAUUUUCUGGCAACCCUGCAGCUUCUUUAAUAUCAGCUAAUCUCUCUAGUGCCUCUUCUAACGAUUCCGAGGUUUUGUUCAAGACUUUUUUUGCAUCGCCUAAACGACCUUGCAUGACUAGCCAUCGGGGUGACUCGGGCAUGGCUAGGACACCCACAGCUAGGACAACUGAUGGAAUUGCACCAACACCAAGCAUGAACCGCCAGCCCAAGUUCAAUGGAAGCUUGGAAAAUGCAUAAUUUGAUACAUAUCCCAACAAUACACCUACAAAACAAUUUAAAUUAGUCCAUCGCCAAAGACACUAUAUACAAAUUAGUAUUUUAAUAUGAAAGAGAAGUAGACAAAGUAGCUGACUGUAGAGUUGAAAACUAGAAAGGUAGUUGAUAUAACUAGAAAAGCAUCAAGUUAUUAGUUUAGUUCAACCAAUGCAAUGCUUGGGAAUAAAUUCAAAACAAAAAGGAAAUGUGGUGCUCUCUCAUCGACCCAAAUUUCACUAUCAUUACACGUGUUAGAGAGGACUGGUAAGAGAGAAUCGAAAGAAGUAGAUAAAAUUUAGAUAAUUGGGCUUUUGUCAAACCACCAACCAUAGCCCCAAAAUAAAAAGGAAGAGCUACAUGUACAGAAAUGUUUACAUAAUGGUGUUUAUAGUUACACGUGGCACUGGGUCCAACUUUUAAUUCAAAUCUCACACUUGUAUAUAAACAAUCAGACGAUUGCCACAUCAUAUUAUGGACACCAUUAUAUGCAAUAACUAUGUACAAGUAAAAUUUCCCAAAUAAAAAUUCUGUCCUCCUUAUGUGGAAAUUAAAAUUAAACUUUUAUUAAUUUAAGUCAUAACUUUUAUUAAAAUUCGUUAAAAAUCUAAUUUUAAUUUCUUGCACAUGCAUAGGAUAGUAACAAACUAUUGAAAUAACCAAUUAAAAAAAUUGUUAAUUUGAUAAACAAGACAAUGACUUCUCAUGUGGAAUACACAAUUUCAUUUUUAUCUUAUAAUUUGUGGUUUAUAAAAUUAUUGAAACUGAGCUUAAUUGUUUAAUUAACAAACAAUUAAGGAAAAAAAAUUAUCUUUGGGGGAAAAAAUCAAAUGAGAAUUUUCAAACUUGUUUUUCCCAGAAAUUAAUUAUGCGUUGUUACAUGCAUUUAAAACUUAAAAGUAAAUUGUUAGAAAUUGUUACACAAAAACGAGAAUAGACAAUAUAUGAGACAAGAUUAAGAACAGAUGAUUUUCGAGAAAGUCCAAAAAAAAAUAAAUAAAUAAAUAAAAAUAAAAAAACCUAGUGCAGAUAUCAAAAAUAAUUAUAAGUGGUGUGACCUCUUGGCCCUAUCCCUUCACUACCACCACACACCCUAUUUUUUUUACUCAUAAUUUUAGUUUCACGAUACUACCGUGAGCUUUUCGGGUCGAAGCAAAUGUAAUUCGGGUCACGAUACUCUAACGAAAAUGCUAUAUGUGUUCAUGCUCAAUCUAUGCACAUUUUAGUAUGUGUGAGAAUAUGUACCAGCGUUGAUGAAGACUUCAGGGAAAGAAGUGAGGAAUCCACGAGAUGCGGCCGGAGAUACCUCAGCGGUAUACACGGGAGCUAUCAUCAGAGCAUAGCCGACUCCGAUCCCAGCCACGAACCGGCCGAACAUAAGAAAUGCAUAGUUAGGGGCAAAGCCCAUUAAAAAAGCUCCGGCAAAGAAGAUUGCCCCCGCCAACACUAUGGUGUAACGGCGGCCAAUCCAGUCAGAGGUCCUUCCAGCAACGGCGGAUCCAGCAAGGGCAUAGAUAUUUAUGGUUCCUACUAGGAUCUCUAGUUUGACAUCGGAGACUUUGAGGUCGUCCUUGAUGUAGAUUAUUGCUCCACUCAUCACUCCCGUAUCUGUAAAAAUCAUGAAGAACUUACACACGAACGAAACAAAAUCUUAUUGAAGCCCGAAACAGUAUUAUAGUUAUUAUUAUUAUUACCAUAUCCGAGUAAUAUUGAUGUCAUUGAAGCUAAAAUAGAGCAAGCGAAAGCAAACUUGUUUCUCUUAGGCUUCUUGGGGACGGCCAAACCGGGAACCGGCACAUGGGAUUGGUUGGUAUCUCCAUUUUUUUCUGGGGUAAGGUCAGCCAUAGGAACAGAGGUGGAGCUUAAUUUGGAGAUUGUUUCGAUGAGCAAUAAUUUGUUAAUUCCCUUAUCUUUCGGAAGAUAGGAGACCAAGUGUGAGUUCUUGGGUGUAUUGCUUGUACGCAUAUAUAUACACGAUAGCUGCACAAAGUUUGGUAAAUAUUACGUAAUAGUACCUGAUUGUCACCAAUUAUUUGGAAAAUUAAAGAGUUUUGAAUAAUAUUUUUUGAAAAAUGUAGAGUUAAAAAAUAAAGAAAUUUUAUUGAGUUGCGUAUAAAAUAUUUUAUUGUGUGAAUGUAUGGUGGAGAAUGAUACUGCAGCAAACAAUUUAAAAUUUCAAAGGGAGCCAAACAGGUACUAAGGUUUGUUUGGGAGUUUUUUUUUGUAUUUAUUUUUUAUUUUUUAUUUUUUUUUAUCAAUUUUUUGACGAUUUUUAGUAGCAUUAUUUAUGAGAUGUUGGAAGAACCGAUAUUUGUUAUUUUUUGGGCACUAAGUAUAAGUGUAAUUUUCUCAUUCCACUAGAAAUUUAGUUGUUUCUCAAAUUUUAGUCAAAUUUUACCCUCUAUAAAAUGAUUAUUUCCAACCCUUUUAUUUGAAAUUCAUUUAUAAGCAAAAACUUAAUUUAUAACUAUAAAAAUUCACUCUAUGUAAAAAAAAAUUGCUUAUAAAGUAAUAUUACUAUUAAGACAAAAAAUCACUCAUAAGCAUAAGAAAGUAGCAAAAAAUUACUUAUAACCUAAAUUUUAUUAUGAGUCAAUACUUUUUUCUUUCUUAAGUUUAAAAUUAACUUAUGUGUACAAAAUUACUUACACAUAAAAUAUUUAUUUAUGAGUAAAAUUUCAUAUAAAAAAUUAUAAACUGAAAAUUUUACUACUGAGAGGUACGUUUAUAAUUAUUUUGUUGGAUAAUAAACUCUAAAGCAUGAAUUAAAUUGUUUUUAAAAAUUACUGCUAAAAGUCAUCCAUCAUCGGAUCCCUCGUAAAUGCCAAGUCUGUCAUAAUUGUUGUUUCCACCAAUAUUUUAUUUUGAAACUAGAUUGUGAGGUGUCAAAAUCCUUAUGGAGACUACUCGAAGGACCACCACCUUUGUCAUUACAUGUGAUAUUUUUAGUGAAUGCAGUUAAAGGAAACACACGAUUUCUGGUUCACAAUAAAGCUCAAAUGUGAGUCUAUGUGUUAAAGGAAAAAAUGUGAUUGAACCAUAUAUAGAUUGCAAUUUGGGCACUUCCUGUUAAAGGAAAAAAGGUGAUCGAGUCGACAUAAUGGAUUGAUGAAUCAUGAAAAUCAUAUGAGGAAGAAAAUUAUAGAGUGCAAGGUUAGAUUUAGACGUUAUCCAAUUAUUUACGUAGCGAAGUUUUUCCAUUUCGUUGAAUCAUCAAAGAUAUAUUUUGACAUGUUUAGUUAAAGAAAUUGUAGAUAAUAAAAGAUAAAGUUUGUCACUUGCUUUAGUUACGUUUCUAACAAGAAGUAGUGCAGUAUUGAAUUUUGCACAUUUAGAAGGGAAAAAAAUGUAUGUGGAAGCUGGAAAAUUCAAAUUUCUUUAUGAAUAUUUGAUGCAAAUUAGAGUGUGACACCUUGAUUCCACUCUAUUCAUUCUGCUGCGUACUAUAUAGCCAAAGUUGACACGGAUUCUGGUGAAAGUGAAAUUUUGGGAUCUAUUCUUGGAAAAUUUGUGCAUGUCAUUGUCAAUAUUGAUUGAUUAGCUGAAUAUAUGCUCUUCUUGUGGAUUCCUUUCCCUAGUGUAUGUGGUAGCUAGGAUAAAAACGAACAAUUUUUUCUUCUGUACAAAAGCCAGGUUCACAGAACUCGGUCAGAUCUCUCCCAAAGGAUGAGCUCCACUCGAAUUAAAAAUGACCAAAAAUUAACCCACCCAUCCUCCAUCGUGUGUAACCUGUACAGCCCUUAUGAAGGCUCUCCCCGUACGCCACGUGAGGUUCAAAAAGGAAAUCGAACAGGGUUAAUGACUAUGGUCCUGUUUGGUACCAAUUCAAAUCAUAUUUUAAUUUAAGUUAAAAUCAAACAAUCAAUUUUUACCACAUAUUCUAUGGUUCUCACAACUUUUUAACUACACAUUUCAAUUUUUUAUUUAUUUAUCAAAAUCUACUAAAAAUCUAAUUUUAAUCCUUAACAAACAGGAUAAAUAUCUUUAUGUAAUAAUAUUAUUGAGGAAUAAAAUGUUCGAGAUAACAAAGUAAAGUGUUUUGAUGCCAUUUCAGAUUUUUUUCCCUCCGUCCUAUCAUGAAAUACAUGUAUAUUAAUUUGAGCCCGUCAUCAAAAGAGUCUUUGCACUUAACUAUAAUAAUUCUCUUUUAAUGCGAAAAGAUGCAAGACACUCUCUUCAUACUUGUAUAAUUAUUUGGGUUCUCGUUUGUAAUCUUCAUUUUAGAAAGCUUGGCAGCUACAAAAUGCUCUUAUAUAUGCUUCAAAAGACAAAAUAGAUUUUGCACCGAGCCCAUCCAACGUAAUUAUCAAGUUAUUCUUCUAAGUACAUGUUGAGUCGUGCUCUAUUCAACCUAUUGCCUUAAUAUUUUACUAACUUAUUUGCCUCUCAUGUGUUCGAUCACAUUCUGCUUGUCGUGAAUUUGACCCUAUUUAUUCGUCUUCAAUAAAUUUUUUAUACGAUUGUUUUCAAUGUUUUUUUGGAUGAUUAUGUCAUUUGGAGUUAUAUUUAUACUGAUCUAAACCAACAACGAAAGGUGAUUACCUAAUUUGCCACUAACUAUGACCCUUAUCUCGACUUGUAGCAUUUUAUUUUUAAAAUGUAGCAAAAUUAAUUGUCAAAAGUGAUUAAAAAAAAAAAAGAAAGAUAAAAUACAAUUCGUCAUAUGCACAUUGCGAAAAACUCAAAAUUUUAAAAAAAAGUCAAUGAAGUGAACAAAUUUGACUGUUGGUAUGAGUUUACCUACAUUUGCUGAGAGUAAAGAAGGAAAAGGCUCUGGAAUUUAAAUUAAAACAAUUGAAAAAUAUCUUUAACAAUUAUAAAUUUCUUUACAAAAAUGUUAAUUCAUUGCAGAACUUAUAUGCUAGAUGCUCGGUAAUAUUUCCCCCAAAUACACUCACUUAAUAUUUUUGAAAUGCGUAAUUAGCAAAUAACGUCAAUACUAUUCACUAUUAUUGUGGAAAACGUUCAUAUCUUAUUUAUUAUUAUUAUAUUUUGGCAUUCUUACCUUAAUUACAUAUUUAAUUGCGUAUAUCAUCCUUUUUAUUCAUUUUUAUCCAAUUUCUCAAUAAAAACUUUGAAAUGACAAAUAUAACCUCCUAUUUAAAUAAAAAAAUAAUUUUUAAAAUUUUUUUUAAUAAUUUAUUUGGGACUCAUUAGUAAUUUUUUAUUUUUUUAAUUUCUAAUUUUUUAAUAGUUUAUUUGGGAUUCGAUGCACUUUUUUUCUAGAAAAAAUUGGAAAUAUGAUUGCAAUUAAUCUUUAUUUUUCUUUUUUAUUUAAAUAUGAGGAUAUAUUCGUCAUUUCAUAACUUUUUAUUGAAAAAUUGGAUGAAAAUGGAUAGAAAUGAUGGUUUGUGCAAUUAAAGAUGUAAUUAAAUGUAAAAAUGCCAAAAAAAAAAGGUAGUUUAAUUUCCAACACACACACCCCACAUAGAUAGUAGUUUACAAGAUCAUGAAAAUUGCAUUUAAAAUGAGAAAAGUUUUGUCAAUUUUUGUAGGCUACCAAAGAAUUGUAUUAUCCUACUAGUUUUAAAGUUCUAGCUCAUCUUUAUUUUAUUGCACUAACUUUCAGAGAUUAUAUAAUAGAUAGUGAUAUAUCAGUUGCGAUGGUGAUGAAAUUUAGAAAACAUAUAGAAGAUUUUCCUAUGUUAUUUUGUUUAGAUUAUGUAAUGGAUCCUAUAUAUAUUUCUGAAGGCAUAAAACUUGUCAAACAACAAAUCCCAAAUGAAUUAAAUUUCGAAACUCCAAUUACAUAUCAUAAUAUAGAGAGUUAUUUAUUUGAGAUGCAUGAAAUGCAUGCCCAAAUAUUUGGUCAAAUGUUAGACGAUUGCUUGAUCGAGAUAGCUCGAUUCUUGUAUGUGAGAGAGUCUUUGUAUGUGACCACUUGCUAUAAAAGAGUUCGAGCACGAUUGUUUGACGGAGACCUUAGUCAUUCUACACAUGUUCACGAACUACAAUAUUGAUCAUAUAUACAUAGGACGAAUUAUUAACAUGUGGGCCAUUUUUUAUAUCACUUAGCGUACAUGACUUAGAGAGUUAUAUCUACACUCUCAUCACUAGUCUAGCUAUAUAGACAAACGGCCGACAUACUAUCAUACUUUCAAAGAUUAUUAGGGAGUAGAGGCAUCUAUCAUCAAGAAGAUGGAAGCUAGAUCAUUGACAUCUAUCAGACUACGGAACGCGCAAGCAAAUGUGUAGGCUCAGGGCAAACAAUUGAUCCUCAAGGACGAGGAUGCCGUCGUACCCACUCCUUAAGCAUUAGAGCCAACACUUUACAGAUUUUGAGGCAGAUCGCUCUUCAUUGACCAAGAACAUGAGGUUCAAUCGAGCAAUGCAGUAAAAUAUCAAUUCUCUACAGAGAGAAGUUGGUGAUAUUGGAUCCAAUGUCUAGUUCUUGACAAGGGCUACAUCUGCGAUAUGUGGCGAUCACAUUUUCCUUAGAAGGAAUUGUGAUAAGAUCGCUAGGCACUUGAGUAUUAUGAUUUCAACGUUAGAAUAUCCUCGAAAAAAGGAGUUGAAAGAACAAUUUUGGGAGCGUGUAUAUUACGAGUGAAGAAAUGAUAUAUUUGACCAUUAAGAGUAUGAUGUUACCCAUAAUAUUUGGAAGUAUCGACGUAAUUUUAGGAAUUUAAUCAACUCAUGAAUUUAUGAUGUUUAAUUUGAUUUUACACACUCACAUAUAUUUAACAAUUGGAUGAGUUGAAGUUGGUCUUGGUAUUGUGAUUUUGAAGCUCUUUAUUGUUUACGCAUGAAAUUUCCAAAAAGUGAUACAAAAGGAUAAACUAUCUAACUAUUUUGUGACUUGAGUGUUGAUUUGUUGAGUUAAAUUUACGAUUAUUGUUCGAGGAUGAAUAAAUGUUUAAGUUUGGUGUAUUUGAUUUAUAUGCUUAGGCUGUUCAUCAUGGAUAUUUGAGAGUAUUUUUUAGGGAUUUUCGCUUAAUGUCGUGUAAAUAUUAUUUGCUUAGGGAAAACUUGAUGUUGGACUAGCUUUUGAAGAGAAGGAAUGAAAAACAAAGUGAGUUUAGUGCAUAAUUUACGAAAUGGGACCUAACUUGAUAAAAAUUGGAAGAUGAAGAGACAUAAUUGCAAUUAUAAGCGAUAUAAGCUGGAUGGCAAGUUGAAUUCAAAGAUCAAAAUGCCAGUAUUAGAAAGUGUAACCUUGUGAUUGGAAUGUAUAAAAAUUCUUGCAAUCAUGGAGAAUGAAAAGACUGUAUCAUGAUCGCAAUGCAAUGUACCAUGCGUUUCGAAGAAGAUUUUGUUUUCAAUUUUAGUUUUGUUCAUCUUUUGUAAAGUAAUUUGGCCAAUGAUUUAACCUAUUUGGAAUAAUUUUUUUUGGAGAUUCUUCAUCCAAGAAUGUGGAGAAUAAGGCUAGGAAUAGAUUUAAGACAAAUAACAUCAAGAGUUUGAAAAUUUAAAGCUUCAAACUGAAUAUAUCAAAAGCAAGGAACAAUAUGGAAUCAAUUGAAAAUUGAUUGAAGGAAUUUAAGAAUCCAAAAUUAAUUAUAACUCUUCCUUUUUGCGUAAAAGUUUUUCCGGUGACGAAUAUUCAUAUUUCUUACUGUAGUUUCACAAUAAAUAUGCUAGGUUAAACUUGUAAGUGUUGGAAUGAAGAUAUAAACCUUUGUUUUAUCGUUUUAAUUUAAAGACCUUUUCUUUUAACACGAUUUAUGUAAUUAGUUGAAAUUACAUGAUUAUUGCUUACCUGAAUGCUUGAUCACCUUUUAUAUAAUACAUUGCUUAUUUUAUUUUUGUGGGGUUCAAAAUGGGUUUAGAACAAUAGUGAUAAUUGACAUAGGGCUUAAUAAACGAUAGGAAUGAUGUUUUAUGACUUAUGCAAUCAAAAUAUGUAAUCGUGUGUUUGAAUUUGAAAUAGAGACAUUUCGGGUUGUGUUCAAAAAUAUUUUUAACUUAUCUCUUAAGAGAUAUUUGGAUAAAAUUGGAUUAUCUAUUGUCAAUUUAUACCCAAAUUUAGUUAACACACACACACAAACAAAUAGGUGAAGUUGGAAUGCUAACACGCUAUUCUCAUACAAAGUCUUCAUAAGUCAUCUUUCACUUGCAUUAGAUAGAAAAUAGUGUUAGUAGUAACCAAUCACCAACAUCAAUUCAAUCAUUUGAUUCGGUUAUGUUCGAGUAUGAUUUCAAAUCUAUACAAUUUAUGUUUAAGUAUAUUACUCAGAACAAUAUUCUUAAAAACUUUUAUUUUUUUUUCAUAAUCCGUACAUUUACAGAAUUUCACAGAACAUAACACAUCUUACCAAGUGGCCCUACAUAUUUAAUUAAUUGUGCAUAAAACUAUCUUAAAGUUAAGCCCAAAAAUAAAAUGAUCUAAUAAAGAAAUAAAUUAUUGGAUUAAAACAUUUAAAUAAAAUGUGGGCCAGAUUAUAUGUAUAGAGACCAAAUUCCUUAAAAAUUGUUUUUCAUAACGGGUGAAAUACUUAUGGAAACUAUAGAUAGGGUUAUUAUCCACAAUUCAUGUGUAAUUUCUCAUGUUCUGUGUCAACGCAUCAACAAAAGAAUACAAGAAAAACGUAUUGAAGAGAAAAACCUACAAUCAAGAAGAAGGUAUUGAAGCAAUCAAGAUUAAGGAUGAAGAAGUAAAAAUAAGAACAAAAUUUUAAGAAUCAAAGAAGUUAAAAUUCAAAAUUAAAAGUGAAAAAGCCAAAUAUGAAAGGAUUGUAAUUUAAGCUUCAAGAUUCAAAAUCCGGAAUCAAAAUUUGAUAAUAAGGAAUUAUUCCUAAUGAAUUAAGGUAUUUUCCUUGUUUAAUAAUUCUCUUGGUGAUUUGACUAGAUGAUCUUGACAAUAAGGCCCUCGUCUGGUAGUGCUGAAAAGUGUAAUCCUGACCGUCGCUAAGUGAAAAUCAAACCGUUGGCUGCAGGAAAUGGGUCCCACAAGAUGGCAGGAAAUUUUGACUGCACCAACCAAUCAAGUAAAAAAUUUAAUGAAAAGACCACAUUGUCCCUACACCGUUUAAAUUUUACACCCUCACAAGGAUUUUUUGACAUUUUCAAUAAGAGGAAAAUACGACUGCAACUUUUCUCCCUUUUCUUUGCCAGAUUUGUUGCAGACGCGGGGCCUAUUUUCCUUGAUGCAACGGUAAAAAAUUUCCUAAAAAUCUAGCAACAAUCCCUCCCAGACAAGCCCUAAAUGAAUUUAGGUUAUCAAAUUCUAAAAUUUCUAGUUUUAAAGUUUCAUAAAGUUACAAUAAGUAGCGUCAGAGUCAACUUCAUUUUAAACAAUUGAGAAUAAAGAGAGAAUUUUAGGGUUGAAAUUCAUACUCUAAAUUUCUCAAAAUUUUGGAACGUGAAUUUCAAACCCUAAAUUUCCAAAAUUUGGAUUUGAAGUGCGGUACUCAGUAGCUGUGGCUCCCAUUUUUGGGUGCUACAGUGCCCGGCCUCUGUUCAGUUUUAAAUAUUUUUUAUUAAAACAAAAGAAAGAAAGAAAAAAAAAAACCAAAAGGCUAAGAGGGAAAUCAAAUUCAAAUCUUGUAUUAAAAUUUCAUUUGGAUUGCUAAUUUUCUAAAAAUAAAUAAAUAAAAGCAAUAUAUUACCAAAGUAACCCUUCUUGCUUAAACUAAUUUAUUUGAAAUAUCAGGAAGGUUGUGUGUGCGUGUAUUGAUUGCCUCAAAGGAAGGUUAAUAUUCGAUCGAAUUAUUUGCACACUUGUGGUAAUAAAUUUGGGACAAUUGUAAAAUUUUCCAUUAUAUGAACUGUCCAAAGAUAGACUUGAUAUUUGACCGAAUUUAUUGUCAAUAUUUGAUUACUACACCAAGAAUACUUUUUCAAGUUGAUAUUUCUAUUUAAAAAUUAAAUAUCAAUGUUGUAAUUGAUCUAUUGUGAUGAGACCCACCAUUAUUUGGAAUUAUUGAUUAUCUAAUAAGAGUUCCCAUGUGUACAUCUUAUUUAGGUUUAAUUUUUUUAUUCGAUUAAUUCAUCUAUUUCUAAAAUGUCUGCCAAUUAAUAAAUUAAAUUCCUGUAAUUGAACCAAAGUUUAAAGGGCUGGAAAGAGAACUUUUAAAUCAUUCUUGACGACAUGAAUCUAGACAUUGCGUUAAGGAUUGAACAACCCACUAUUCUUAAGUAUAAGAGUUUCGCUAAUAAAAUGAAACUCGAAUCAGUGGGAUUGUUCAAACCACACAAGUUUUAUGAUCAUGAAGCAUGGAAUUCCAGCAACGUUCAAGUGCACUGUGUCCGAUAAUGUAACUAUUGCCAAGGCGUUUCUUAAAAAAUAAAAAAUAAAAAUGCUUUGCGAAAGACAAUAAAGCUAACCUGACUUAUAGGACCAGCCUAUCUACCGCUUUUAACCCUAUUUGCAUAGUCUCAGUCAACUCUGGAUAUCUUUUUCCAAAGAAUCCCUCAAAUAGUCAGUAGAGGUAUUCCUUAGCACGUUUUUAGCGAAUUUAGUUUCAGUUUAGUAUAAUAGGUAAAGAAAACAUAAGAGAUAUCAUGGAGAUGUCUCGUCUUGCUUCAAAAUUAAAGGCAUUAAAACAUUGGUAGUUUUAUGACUUGCUCAUGCAUUGAGUUUUGACUCUCCUCCUACACAAUUCAAUCAAUUUAAGGCUAGUUAAAAUUGUUAAAGGGGAAGUGAAAUCUUAAUGAGCGUAUUUCAUAUUGUGUGCAAGAAGAACAAAGGCUAAAGCAAGAGAGAAUUGAAAAUACUUAGUUGGCAAGUACUUCUAAGGACAAUUGAAAGAAUAAUCUUGUACAGUACAAAGUAACAGCAAAAGCCAGAAAAUGAUUAAUCAUUGGGCUAUUACUUUUGUGAAAACCUGAACAUAUAAGAAAGAUUGUGCUAAGUACCACGCUUAGCGUGUCAAGAAAGUACAUUUCUUACUUUGAUUUGUUUUGAGGUUAAUUUAAUUUCAAUACCAACACUCAUUUGGUGGGUAAAUUCUGAUGUCACUGCUCACAUAAGUAUGUCUAUGCGAGGUUACCUAAAUAGUCAAAAGUCAAUUGAUGCUGAAAGAUUCAUCUAUAUGGAGUGAUGACAAAUCAGUUAAAGUUAAGGCUAUAAGGACUUUUAGUCUAUUAUUAAAAACUUGUUAUUAUUUGAAUAUGAAAGGGAUACUUGCAGUACCGUCAUUUAGAUGAAGUUUGGGUUCUAUUUUUACAUUCGACAAAUUGGUUACGCUUGUUUAAUUGAAAAUAGUCAGUUUGAUAUUUUUCUUAAUUCAAAUAUUGUGGUUACCACUUCUUUAUACAAUUAUGAUAACUAUAUUUGCUUGAUACGAUUGCCUCUUAUAAGGAAAUCCUACAGUGAAUUCACAUUGUAUUAAGCAUAAAUUAAUCAAUGAGAAUUUCACUUUAUUAUAGCACAAGCGAUUAGGUCACUUCUCUCAAAAGAGAAAGGAACAACUUGUGUCAAAAAGAAUUCUUGAUAUCCUUGAUUUUACGGACUUUAAUGUUUGUGUUAAUUAUAUUAAGGGGAAACAGACAAAUAUAAGGAGAUUAUGUGCCAAUAGGACUUAGUAUGACUUAGAACUAAUUUAUAUGGAUAUAUGUGGAGCAUUUCUCUUAAGCAUCUUGGAAUGCCAAUAGUCUCAUAUUACGUUCAUAGAUGAUUAUUCUCGCUAUGGGUACCUAUAUCUCAUCCAUAAGAAAUCAUAAUCACUAGAAAUAUUUUAGGCUUACAAGGCUGAAGUUGAAGAUCAAGUCGUCAAAAGAAUAAAACAAGUCGGAUCGAAUCGUAUGUUGAAUACAAUGAAAAUUAUGAUGGAUCAGGAGAAAAAUGUACACGGUCUUUUGCUAAAUUCCUAGACGAAUGUGAAUUUAUCCUACAGUACACCUAAAUCUCUAUAGGAAGAAGGACUAAAAUUUGCAGUUUAAAUUCUCAAUAAAGUUCCAAGUAAAGUAACUGUCAAAAUCCUUAUGAGCUUUGAACAUGAAAGAAGCCUAAUUUGAAGCACUUGCGCAUUUGGCGUUUUCCAGUUAAGGCAAGGCCUUAUGAACCAUCGAAAAAUAAACCGGACUCCAAAGUUGUUUGUUGCUAAUUUAUUGGAUACUUUGAAAGGUUAAGGUGUUACAAAUUUUAUGAUCCCAAUAUCAGGUCAAUUUAUGAAACGGGAAAUGUCCAAUUCUUUGAGGAUGUCGAGUUUGAAGGAUCCCAAUAUAAGGUUAAGGAUUUUAUUUUGAAUGAUGAAUAUAUAUAUACACACACACACUAGGGAAAAAUUCUUACUCCAAAACUUAUUCAAGAAUUAAUUUCGAAUCAAGAAAAUAUUACAAAUCCCUUAUAAACAAUCUAAACAUUUUUUCACUAAAACAAACUCAACAACUUUAAGAAUAAAUGCCAUUAAAGAGAUCAAUUAAAGAAAUGAAAAAGGAAAUUCAGAUAGCUUUAUAUUCUCUCCAAGAAAAUAAGAAUAGCAUUGGAUUGGUGGACGAAGAUUUGAUCAAUAAAUUUUCAUUAAGACAUGCAAGGAAUAAUUCUCAAGAGUAGAUUGAUGCCAUGAAUAAAGAGAUAAAAUUCAUGAAAGACAAUGACGUUUGGGAACUCAUCCCAUUGUGUGAAGGUUCAAAAUUCAUUGGUCGUAAAUGGAUAUUUAAAAUCAAGAGGGACUCGAGAGGUGAUGUGAAGGGAUACAAGACUUAUCUUGUUGCAAAUAGCUUUAUUCAAAAGGAAGACAUUGGCCUCAACGAGACUUUCUCUUUGUUUUCUAUGAAAAACUCUUUUAGAAAUAUUAUGACACAUUUGGAUUUAAGUUUAUGGUUGAUCUCAUUAAAGAAUAAGGUAGUACCAGAUGGAAAUUGACACAUUUGGAUCACAUUGCAUGUAAUUUUAACGUUACACAUUCGCAAUUAAUUCAUGUCAUUUGAUUGUGUUGAUAUACAUGAUCAUUGAUGGGUUUAGUUAUGAUACUUGUAAUGAACGUUGCUUUGAUUCUAUAUUGAUAUAAUUGAUGGACGAGAUUUUUUGGAGAUACUUUUGGUUAUGAUAACAAAAGUUUUAAACUCAUAAGGUUAUACAUAUUUAUAAUGUAAUUGUGGUUCAAGUGAGAGGUUGUUGGAAAAAAUUAUUAAUUUUUCACGCGGGCCUACAUAUGUAAUUAAUUGUAUAUAAAGCUAUCUUAAAGUUAAUCACAAAAUUAAAAUGAUCUAAUAAAAAUUAAAUUAUUGGGUUUAGGGCAAAGUGUAGGUCGAAUUAUAUGCAUAGAGACCAAAUUCUUUUAGAGUGGUAUUUCAUGAUGGGUGAAAAUAUAUGUGAAAACUAUAUAUUGAGUUAUGAUUCCCAAUUCAUAUGUCAUAAUCUUUGUAUCAUCCCAUUAACAUAAGAGUACAAGAGAGAACAUAUUAAAGAGAAGGUCCAAAACUCACAAUCAAGAUCAACAAUCAAGAAUUAAGAAAAAGGUAUUGACACAAUCAAGAUUAUGGAUCAAGAAGCAAAAUCAAGAACAAGAAUUUAAGGACCAAAGGAAACAGAAUUCAAAAUUAAAAGUGAAGAAGUCAAAUAUGAAAAGAUUGCAGUUCAAGCUUUAGGAUUCAAGAUCCGAAAUUAAGAUCCAAUAAUAAGGUAAUAUUCCCAAUGAAUUAAGGUAUGUUCCAUAUUUAAUAAUUCUCUUGAUGAUUUGAUUGAAUAAUCUUGACAAUAAAAAAAUUUAGGUUAUCAAGUUCUAAAGUUUCUAAUUUUAAAGUUUCAUAAAUUUACAAUGUCACCUAAUGUUGUUACAACCAUUUUCUCAUUUUAAGCAUGUGUUAGAUAACUUUGUUGAUGAGUGAUGAGUCGUAACAAAAUGGGGAAGAUAAAAAUAGACAAAAUGUGACAUCACUUGACCAAUAAUUUCCUUAUUUUCCCUAUUAUUAUGUACAAAUUCAACUAAAACAUCAACCGGCACCAAUCGCAAAUUUGGAUGAAUUAUCUCUGGGAUCACACAAGUUGGAUUUAUUCAUGUAAAAACACGUCGAAGACAUGUAAAGGUUUCAUCUUGAGAGUAAUUUUGUUGGUACGGACUUGCCGAGCUUGAAUUUAUAAAUGUACGAUUUGUCAAGUUUUAAUUUCAAAUCUUGUUGGUAGGGAUGAAUACAAUUUUGAUCGAGUUACAAUUUGCAUCUGCACACACACAUUUUUUUUUUUUUUUAAGAAUCUUGACUAACUCAAUUUGAUACGCUGAAAUGCAGGUCAUAUCAAACCGCUUAAAAGAUGCUUAUUCAGUAUUUACUCAACGAUUUGAGUUGUAAUUCACAUAUAUAAAAAUAGAUUUCCUGACUCUUUCGAUAACAAUUAGAAAAAAGGGAUAAUUCUUGAGUUCUCAACAAAAACUUGUAUUACCAUAUUUACAAAUUGUUCGGUUAAAUUAGAACUAAACGACAUGAAAUAAUUCGACGUUUCCUCAUUUUCCUUUCAAAUUGAUAAGCUUGAUUGCAUGUUUGUUAAGUGAUAAUUAAAAUUUAAGUUAUUAUAAGUUUGAGCCUAUAAAAUGUGUGAAUAAUUAGUGAGUAAUAAUUUUAAAUUUUACAAAAUUUUAAAUAAAAACCAUGUUUGAUCGAAAUAUUUUGAAUUAUACAAUCAACUUCCCUAUGAACUCGUUAAAAGAAAAUUAAUGUCCUUUUCCUUAUUCUCAAAACCAAACACUCCAUAUGUCCAAGAAAACCAAACAGGCAGUGACGCUGUGCUUGCAACAUUCUGCACACAACCUUAAAAGUCAAAAGUAAGCUCCAACCUUGCAGUCAUGACGUCAAAUCCUUAAUAUCAGUUAACCGUUCUCCAAACAUCUCCUUUCAAAAUUCAUUACCAAUCAAACAAUCUCGUGAUACAUAUUUUGCUCCCGUUUAUGCCCCCAUUUUCUAAAAAUGAAAAAGAGUGGAAUAAUAUUUUUUUUUGAAAUAUAGUGGUUGAAAAAAAGAAAAAUUUUCGAUUUACGUGUAAUGCUAUUUUAUGUAAGAUUGUGUGAUUAAAAAUAGGAUAAAAAAAUAGAAUGUAAUGAAAUGUAAUUUAAUAGAGGUCAAACGGGGUUUAUAAGUAAAUUACUAUUUCAAAAUAUCAGAAAACUCUUUUAGCCAUCAUUUGUUAGGGAUUAAAUCGAAUUUUUAGUAGAUUUUAAUAGAAAUUGAUUAAAUGUGUGGUUGAAAAGUUAUCAUUCCUCAUAAAAUUUAUGGAUUAAAAUUAAUUGUUGAGUUUUCAUAAGAAUCUAAUUUCAUAGUCUAAAUAAACCCAGGUUUGACAUCAUUCUUUUAAAAUUCCUUUUUUUUUUCUCAUACCCAUUUUCAAUUAUAUAGUCUAAUAAUAAUUUUUUUUUUACGUAAAUCUAUUUUUUUUUUUAUAUUUUUAACUAUAUAUUCACUAAAAAUUACUAUUUAAAAACUCAUUUUUACAUAUUAUGCCCUUUUUUGAGAUUCAUUUUGGGGGAAAAUAAUGCAUUUUGAACAGUAGAUUAAUGAAAAAUGUGUGGUUAAAAAUUUGAAAAUUUUUUUGAACUUACGUAAACAUUAUUUUAUUAAAAAAUAUAUGUUUAAAAAUAAGUUUUGAAAAAAUAACUUUUUAAAACAAUGAGACGGCAUAAAAAAGUGGCUGUCAAAUAGGGACUAAAUAAAUAAUAAAUUUAGUUCAAUGUUACUUGUACAUCCGUUCUCUCUUUUCUUUAUUAUUAUUAUUAUUAUUAUUUAUUUUUUUUUAUUUUUUUUUGGUGGACGGUACGCAUCCGACGACCAUUCUUCCUCUUCGGUCAUCCGUUCACAAUUUCUGACCGUAAGUGGAACGGGGCUCGUUGAGUCAAUUACAAGUUAGUAUGAUUCAAGGGUGGAAAGAAAAGUUAGCCGCUAAUUGUUUAACACGUGUGAUGUUGAAUUUAUCAGCUCGGAAAGUGAUAGAAGAAAUGCUUACAUCGUCACGGUCCACAUUUGUUUCAAACUUUGAAUUAUAGCACAAAUUGAGAUAUUACAUUUUUCAUCCAUUCUUUGGGCACGAAUAUUCAACCCCACGGGGGAUUGACCGAUCCCCAAAUCUAGUCAUAAGGGUUGAAAUUUUAAAAACUUAACGUAAUAAAAUUCAUAUAUAUAUAUAUAACAUAAAAAUUAAUUUUAUUAUGUUAAAGUUAUUUUCGAUUUAGAAGUAUGUUUGAUUAAAAUGUAGAGAAAAAUUUUGAGUUUGUGUGUAGAAUAAUUUAUUUUGUGAAUAUGUGAUUGAAAAUGAAUAUUUAAAAUUUUUUUUUUUAAGUAUGAUUGUAAAACAAGGGUUAAAUUUCUUUUGUAAAUUCUAUAACAACGAAUAAGAAAUAAUAAUUUAUCAAUAAUUCAAUGCUCGAAACAAUCAAUAUUCUUAAAAAAGCACCUAGACAAGCAAAAUGCUUUGCUUUAACCGUAAGUGCGAAUGAAGUGGUCGACUGCUAAGUUGAUCACUUAAUGCUCGCUUAAGCACUUUAUUAUUAUUCUUUUUCUUCCCCUUUUUCAAAAAUCUUUUAUUUGACUUUAUUUAUUAAUAUUUUUAAAAAAAGCUUUUAUUUGACUUUAGUGUCAAAUUUAUAAAUGACUUUAUUAUCUAUACAAAAGUUAAAAAUGACUUAUCCGAUUUUGAGACUUAUCAUUUUACUGAAAACUUCGAAAAUAUGUAGAAGUUCCUAUAAAUAUAUUAUGUAUAACUUAUCUAGUUGAAAGUUUAAAUUAUGAAAAAAUAGUUUAGUUUUUGUAUUUCAAAGCUUGAAAAUUGUAUAAUUGUUUAAUUAAAAGAAUUAUUAAGUAAAUAUAAUAUUUCAUAAAUUUAGAUCUUUGGUAUGUAUUAUUUUAAUUAAUAAAUGAUUUUUAGAAUGAUAAAAAAUUUAAAAGAAUAAUAUAAGUAAGCAUCUUAAUUUUUUUUUUUCACAAGCUCCGUAAACUUUGAAACUUGACCUCCAUGCAUAACCACGCUUUGUAUUUGUUAUGACACUGAUAACACAAACAACCCAAAAAAAAAGGCAGCUACGUGUGCAAAGGCCGAUUGAUAGAACUUACACAGAUGAGAUAUAGUUGAAGUGGGUGAUUUUUUCGCACUAUUUUAUUUAUAUGGGCCCAAUCCCCCAAGAGUUCUAUAUUACUUGAUUUACUUCUGUCAAACCAUUUUUGUACAAAUGGAUUUUCUCAUCCAAAUGUAAACAAAAAUCUAACAAAACAACGUCAGCCAUUAAUAAGUUUGACAAUGCAAUAACAAUUCAAACUAUCUAAUGAUAAGCCAACAUCGCAGUAACAAUUCAUUAAUUUGUCGACAAAAUGAAUAACAAUCUAACAAUUUCAUUUCAUAUAAAUUUUUAUAAACACGUUUUCACGGAGAUCAAAAUCAAAUUUUUAUUAGAUUUUGAUAAAAAAAAAAUGAUGAAAUAUGUAGUUGAAAAUCUAAGAUCCCAUAAAAUAUAUAGUUAAAAUUAAUUAUUGAUUUCAAUUUAAACUAAAAUCUAGAUUUUAAUCCCUAUCAAACACUAAAUAUACAACAGCAAUUAUCUAAUAAAUGAAAAAGAUAAACCAUAAUACUUUCUAAGUGCUAAAUUGGUAAACUAACGAUGUGGAAUCGAGUGAAGUACCAUGAAUUAACGGUAUCUAUAGGAGCAUUCUAAGCAAUCUAUUUUUUUUAUGCAUAAAAAAAAUUCAAGAUUCAAUAUACCAUUUAAUAUCAUUAAAGUAAUAAUGAGCAACCAUGAAAUUAGUGCUUUAAUUUUUCAAUAGGGCGCAAUUGCAAAUUAAAUAUAAAGAACAAAAAAUAAAAUAAAAAAUCAGAAAGUCAAUACUAGAAAGCUUGAAAAUAUAAAAUUAGGUAUUUUUCUUUCAUUUUCUAUACAUUUUUCUUGGAACCAUUAUUGAAAAGAUAAAAUAUCAAGUCCGAGACCACCUCCAAUGGUAUACCAAAUUUUAUUUAGUGUAAAAGACCCCUCCGAUGGCACACCAAAUUUGAGGUAAAAUUUGGUGUAAUACUAUUCAUUUGCACCAAUUUCGGUGUAAUUCAUUCUCAUUUUGCCUUCCAUUUUUCUAUCACAACAAUUUUUUUUCCUUCUAUAUCUUUUUUUCUCCUUUUAAAAUUAAUUUAUUUGAAUUUAUUUAUAAUUGUUUUUGAUAUUACUGUUAUUUUUUAUUUAAAAAUUAUUUUUAAAUUCUAAUUAAGUAAUAAAUAGUGAUCCAAUAAAUUAAAAUUGUUUAUUAAAACUAAAAAGUUACAAAUAUGAUAAUUAGAAAUUACUCGAUUUCAAGAAUUCCUUACUCGAUAUAGAGAAAUCAGAAAUAUAGAUGUGCACUUUGCACUUCAAAAUAUAUUAAUUGAUCAUUUGUGGGAUGAAUAUACUAAGUCUGAUAAAUAAGACAAAAAAGUUGUGAUUUUCAUUAUAUGUAACUUUUUUUUUUUUUUUUGCGUUCAAUGUAAUUUUAAUUAGGUAUUUUGUUUAAUUGUUUCCUUUAAUUUAUUAAUAGAUGCAUUAUUUUAGUUCAUUAAAUGUAAUUUUUAAUUUAAUGAUUUUAGUAAUAAUAUAAUUUGUAAUUAAAUAAUUUCAAAUAAAUUGAUUGUUGAGAAAUAUAUAGUAAGAAAAUAUAGGAAAUACUAUUCAUUUGGUGCAAAAUUUGGUGUAACCAUUGGAGACGUUACACCAAAUUGUACCAAAUUCGAUGUAAAGUUGCAUCAAAUAUGACGUAACCAUUGAAGAUACUCUUAGUUUGUGGCAAAUUUUCAAAGAUGGGGGCUGGGUGGUGAGUAAAAUCAAGAAUGAUGAUCAUUUAGAUUUGAAUUAUGUUUUCAAAUGGAUAACGGAUUUAACGGAUGAAGUUUUCUAGAUUAGGUGGGAUUUUAUUUGAAAAAAAUACAUUACUACAAUUCAUUAAUAAUAUAAUUACACAUUUAUUAAACUUGUAAAAAAAUUUCGCACAUCAGAUGUUAAAUCAUUAUAAUAAUAAUACUAAUAUAUAUUUUUAUACAUAUUGCUGAAAUUAAAAUAAGGAAAAAAAAUACAAUUUAAAUAGGGAUAUAUUAACAAAUAUUAUUACAUCCUAAAAUAUAGCAUUUAUUUCCUUUUCAUAACAUAUUUUCUCAUUUAAAAUAUUUCUUACGUCCUUUCUCUAUCUAUCACCACAGUUCACUCAUUCCAUUCCAAUCACAACGAAUUUAUCACACAAAUUGGCUACAAAUUGAUGGUUCUAUUGCAUCAACAACACGUUUCCACUGAUUAAGUCACAUUGGCGUUGUAGAUUUUUGAUAUUCAUCUGCCUACAGUUGUUGAAACGAAUUGAUUAUAGAUUCCGAUGAUUCCAACUCUCCAUGUUUCAAAAUCGAGUAAUUACACUUUCAUUCCAACUUAUUUCGGGUCACUGGACUCUACAUAAUUUCUAUUUCGACUACAUUAACAUCUAUCAAGGCACUUAUAAGUGCUUAUAGGUUCUCCAAUGAGUGAAUUAUUCAAAUGGUCACUAAACUUUGUAAAAAGUUUUCACGGGGUUACUGAAAUUUAUAAAUCAUCCAAUUCAUCGCGUAACUUUGCAAAAGAUUUCCACAAUGUCACUGAACUUAAAAAUAACGUAAUUCAUCACCAAACUUUACAAAAGGUAUACCAAGCUUCACUAAAUUUAGUGACUAUUGGGAUACCUUUUAUAAAGUUCAGUGAUCCGUGGAAAUCUUUUGCAAAAUUCAGUGAUAAAUGUGGUGAUUUUUAAAGUUCGCUGACCCUGUGGAAACCUUUUGCAAAGUUCAGUGAUGAAUUAUGUGAUUUUUGAAAUUCAACGAUCCCGUGAAAACUUUUUACAAAGUUCAAUGAUCAUUUGGAUAAUUCAUUCUUCUCUAACCAAUCAUAUAUCUUUGACCAUUCAUCUUAUUUGUGAACUUCUUCUGUACAUCAUACAUUCAAUUUGUAGCCGUUGCUUUUAUUUCUUAUCUUAUAAUUUUUAACCUUCAUUACGAUUGUGACAUUUCAUGCGUUCUGAUAAGGAUCGUGAUGUGUAUUUCGUUGAAUGUGACAUGUAAUGUGUUCAAUAUGACUUGUAUUAUGUAACUAUGACGUGUUCUACCAAAUACAUUAUCAAAUUUUCUCCAUACAAAAAGCAACAUAAUAUCAGUGGAUAUCAGCAUGAUUAAUUCUAUCCAUAUACACUAACUUUCUAAUCCAAUUGUACUUGUUUCGCACAUUAAAAUAAUAAAUAAAAAAAUUCAAAAUGCAAUACUAAACAUGAAAAACAGCCAUCCGUAGUAGAAAAGGGUAGAAUAUCCAUGCACAUGUAUAUAUCGACCAAUAUUCAUCUACAUUAACGUCUACCCAUAAACGAAAUUUCAUUGUCAAAUAUUAUAGGUACAUAAAAUCAAUCAUUUGUUUUCAUUUUUCUAGCCUUCCAAUCACUUUGUGUUAUGAUUGUAAAACCAAUUAAUUGUGGCAUAUGUAAUAUUAUUAAAUAAUUAAUUAAAGUGGUUUAUAUUUCUUAAAUCCAAUUGGCCCAUUUGAGAAGUGACAAUUUUAUAACCGUCCACUUUGAUGGAAAGUAAGUAGUUUUAUAGCCCAUAAGAAAUUAUCUCUCUCCGUUAUAAACUUGAGUGAAAUUUAUCUUAUAUUCAUUCAAUUACAGAAAGGAAAAUGGAGAGAACAAUUUAUUUAAUUUAACAAUUUUUUUUAAUUUUUUGCAAAUUUAAUUACUCAAUUAUUGUCAUGGAUCAACGUAUGUUUUUUGAUCAAUUAACUUAUAUAUGUGAAAAUCAUGAAUUUUAAAAUCUUGGUAUUAGGGUUUAAUUGCUUACAUGUGGUAUCAGAGUGAAGUUAUGAAAUUCUUGAUUUUCUUUUAAAUAUUUACUGUUUUUUAUGGAAUCUUUAAUUUUCUUAUUGAUUUAUGGAUCAAGUCAUUCCAUCAAAUCCCAUUUGCUCACUGUGUGAAAUUAUCGCCUCUCAAGAUUUGGGAAAAACUGCACUGUUUUCAAUUCUAAUUGGGAAAAUGCAAGUAUGAACAAUGAAUUAAAUGGCGAUUGGGCCUUUCUAUGGAUCUGAGAGAAAGAGACAGCAACGUAUGAUUUAUGCUAAUUAAUUAAUGGACGGCUUGACUGUACAAUUUUGGUGUUGCGGUUUUUUCAGUUUCGGUGGCUUUGUGUUUUAUUCGAAACAUUAUUUAUCGUCGAUAAUUAAUUUAAAGAAAUUGGAAUUUUGUUGGGUUCUUGUGAACUGUUUAUUCCAAGUCUGAUUGAUGUUUGCCAUUUAAUUGUAAUUUGAAUUUUUCUUUCCUGUAAUUACCGUAUAUGCAUGAAUAAUUAAUGGUAAUAUAUGAUAGUGCCUGCCUUUGACUUUGAAUUAUGAAUUAAGUUAGAUUACGUCUAAUUUUAAUAACAUUUUUUUAUGCCUUGUUUAUUUAUUAUCGAUAGUGAAUAAACAUAAUGUGGUAAUUAAUUUAUACUUGGUAAUUCGGAUCGAAAGAAUUUCAUCCAAAGUUUUGAUAAAUGUGUUAAAUAAAUGUCUUGUUUAUGUAAGUAAUGUUCAAUUAAUGUUGUCUGUUAGUCACCAAAGUGGUCAAACCUUAUGGUAUUUCGAACACUAAAUUGUAUAAUUUAUUUGUCAAUUACUCUUGAUAAUCUGAUACUUAUAAAUGAAGAUGACAUUUUGAUUAUUAUUGACAAGAGUAUAUUGAUGUUUAUAGAUUAUAAAAUUAUUAUGGAUCGCCCAAAUGUUGAUCAGUUAAUUUUAUUAAUCUUAAACAUGAUCGUGAUUAAUUGAUUCACAUGGUCGGAUGUGUUUUGUAUAUCCAAAGAUAUCAUAUAUGUUUGAUUAAAGUAUAUUUAAUUACCAAUUAAGUGAAAUUAAAUUAAUAUCGUUAUAUUUAUUAUAAUGGUAUAACGUAGUGUCGUCCAAAUGAGAACUACGGUAUACAUUUAUUGUUAUCUGAAUCUGAACUUAAGUGUUUAAAUCUAAACUGAAAGCAUUAAUGUUAGAGCAUUUUAAAUUUUGCAGUAUUUGUUCUCGUUUCUUUGCAUUCGCAUGCUUCACCACUGUUCAAUGGGCUUAAUUUCUCUGACCGGUGUGAAUAAGUCCAAUUCAAUUUAGAUGUUUUGGACUUAGACUUGGCACUUCAAGUUGAGAAACCUGCUGAUCUUACUGAUGAAAGCAGUGUUGAUAAAAGCUCUUUCCAUAAGGCUUGGAAAAAGCCUAACAGAUUAAGCCAAAUGUUAAUGCUGAUGACUUUAGCAAAGAAUAUCAAGUCUAAUAUCCCAAAAAUUGAGAUUGCUAAGGAAUAUAUGAAGUUUGUGGAAGAACAUUCCCAAAUAGCUGACAAGGCACUUGCUGGCACAUAGAUGGGUACCUUUACCACCAUGAAAUUUGAUAAUUUUCGUACCAUGGAUGAGCAUGUUACUAAAAUGAGUAAUAUUACAGCAAGAUUUAAGACUUUUGGGAUGAAUGUCGAAGAAAACUUUCUAGUACAGUUUAUCAUCAACUCCCUCUCUCUUGAGUAUGGUUCAUUCCAUAUGAAAUAUAAUACCUUAAAAGAUGAACGAAAUGUGAAUAAAUUGCACAGUAUGCUCGUACACGAUGAGACAAGGCUUAAGAAUCAAGGAAAUCAUUUUGUUCAUCCCGUAAGUCAUUAAAGAAUUGGAAAGAAAUAUAAGAAAAGGUUUGAAAAAAGCAUUAAGUAAGGACCACUAAAGAUAAAUGAGUCUUUUGCCCAAAUCCACAAUAAGGAAUACAAGAAAGAUACGUGCGAUUUUUGUCACAAACUUAGGCACCAUAAAAGGGACUGCCUGAAAUGUAACACAUGGUUUGAAAGUAAAGAUAAUAUUAUUUCUUAUGUAUGUUUCGAAUCUAAUUUGGUAAAUCCAAAUGAAAAGUAUGUUCUCAGGGGAAAUCGUGUCAAAGCUCCGUUGAAGUCAUUUGAACCUAUCGUUUGAUUUUAGAUACUAGACAUCAUAUAAAUUUAAUUCUAACUCUUUAUGUACCUUCUAUUUCUCGUAAAUUAGUUUCUUUAUCGAAAUUUGAUUCUGGUGAAUAUUAUUUUAAUGGUGGAAAUGGAUGUUUAAGUUUGUUUAAACAAAAUCUUCUUAUCAAUUCUGCUAUUCAUUGUGAUGGCUUAUAUAAACUAAAGUUUGAUAGCAUUUUCAUCGAGACUCUUUUAACCUUGCAUCAUAAUAUUGGUACUAAACGUGAUUUGUUAAAUGAAGAAUCUGCUAACUUAUGACAUAAACGUUUGGCUCACAUAUCCAAGGAAAUGAUACAAAGAUUGGUAAAGAAUGAAAUCCUUCCCGACUUGAAUUUUAUUGAUCUUGGAACUUGUGUGGAUUGCAUUAAGGGUAAACAAAUCAAACACACAAAGAAAGGAGCCUGGAAUGGGCUGACCAACUCAAAAUUGAGCCCUGAUGGUGCUUCCAUAUAGAUAUAGACCAUAUGGAUGAUGGUAAGCAAACAAACAACGAGCUGACAUGGCAAAUAAAUCCACCCUUGAUGCAAAAGUGCUACAAGAAGCACACAGCUUCUUGAGGUAAUACACGUCGAUCUAUAUGGGUCUUUUGAUGUUCUAUCCUUUAGUGGAGAAAAAUAUUUUAUCACUUUAUUGACGACUUUUCACGUUAUGGUUAUGUCUAUCUGUUGCAUGAAAUGUCUCAAGCUAUAAAUGCUUUAGAGAUCUUUGUUAAUGAAGUUGAACGACAAUUAGACAGAAAUGUGAGAAAUGUUAGAUCUGAUAGAGGUAGUAAAUACUAUGGAAGGUAUGGUGAAACUGGACAACACCCUGGUCCAUUUGCUAAAUUUCUUAAGAGACAUUGCAUAUUUUCUCAAUACACUAUGUCAUGCACACAACAACAAAAUGGUUUAGCCAAAAGGUAUAAUCGUACUCUAAUAGAAAUGGUUAGGUGUAUGUUAAGCAAUUCAUCUUUACCCAUUUUUUAUUGGAUGUUUGCAUUAAAGACCACUAUGUAUUUGCAAAAUAGGAUUCCUAGUGAGGCAGUUCCAAAGACUCAUUUUUAACUGUAGACGAAAAGGAAACCCAGUUUAAGGCACCAGCAUAUUUGGGGUUGUUCGAAAUAAGCAAGAAUUUAAAAUCCACAUGAAAAGAAACUGGACUCAAAACAAUCAGUGAAUUUUUCAUUGGUUAUCUUAAAAAAUCAAAGGGUAUAGAUUUUAAUGUCAUAACCGUAGUACUAAAAUUGUUCAAAUUGGAAAUGCUAAGUUCAUUGAAAAUGGUGAAGCUAGUGGGAGUUCGAAACCACGAAAUGUGGAAAUACAAGAAGUUAGAGUUCAUGUUUCUCUACCCUCAACUUCUUCUAAUAUUUUUAUUUUUCGAAUUGUUGAAGAGUAUGACAAUUUGCCAGGACAACAAAUAAAUGAUCAAACAUCUCACAAUGAAGUUGCUAUUGAUGAACCUGCACUAAAUGAACCAUAAGAAAUAGCAUUAAAAAGGUCAUAAAGACAUCAUAGGACUUCUAUUUCUGAUGAUUAUGUGGUUUACCUACAAGAGUCUGAAUUUGACUUAAGAAUCAUUGAUGACAAUUCAGUUUCAUUUUCACUAGCCAUCGAGAGUGCUAAUUCUGAUAAGUGGCUAGAUGCCAUAAAAGAUGAGUUGAAAUCUAUGAAGCAUAAUGAAGUCUUGAAUCUCAUCGAAUUACUUGAAUCAUUAAAAGAAUUGGGUGUAAAUGGCUUUUUAAGACCAAACGCGACUCUAAUGGUAAUAUCGAACGAUAUAAGGCUAGACUUGUUGCCAAAUGUUUUACUAAGAAAGAUAGUAUUGAUUAUAAAGAAACAUUUUUGCCAGUCCUUAAGAAAGACUCACUCAGAAUUAUAAUGGCUUUAGUAGCUCAUUAUAACUUAGAGUUACAUCAAAUGGAUGUGAAAACUGUUUUUCUAAAUGGAAAUUUAGAUGAAGAAGUUAUAUAGAUCAGCAUGAAGGUUUUUCAAUUAAAGAAAAGGAACACAUGGUGUAUAAGUUAAAGAAAUUAAUAUAUAACAGGCUUCCUGUCAAUGGUAUCUUAAAUUCAACGAUACCAUUACUUCCUCUGGAUUUAAGGAAAAUAUCGUUGAUCGAUGUAUAUAUCUAAAGGUCAGUGGGAACAAGUUUACAUUUUUAUUUUGUAUGUUAAUGAUAUCAUGCUAGCUACUAAUGAUCUUGGUCUAUUAUAUGCAAUGUUUUAAAAAUCGACUCGUAUAUCGACCCGAAAAAGAAAAAGGGUCAAUGGUCAAACGGUCGAACUGGGGUCCACCCGAGGUUAAACCGAAUAUCAAAAUUAAAUAAAUAAAUACUUCAACAAACUCUAAAAUAUUAUAACAAUAACAAAUUUCUAAAUUGUAGUAUUACUAAUUCAAAGUAAAUAUAAAUCAAUAUUUGUCAAUUAGAUUUAAUGAUUUAUUAUCCUAUAAUUUUUUUUAAAAUAUCAAAAACUAACAAUUGUUGUGUCUAAAAUAAUUUGCUUUGUUAAAAUUGAAAUUAUUUGUGCUUUUGGGGCCAAAAUUUCUUUAAUAGAAAGAAAAAAGUGAACAAUUAUUAAAUUUAUAAAUUGCAAAGGAUUUUACAAUUUAUUCCAUAUUAAAAGUUGAGGAAAACAUUGCAUGUUUCUUCUCUUUUAAAAACAACACUUAUACUUAUCCCACGUUGUAAGUUGAGGAAAACAUUGUAUGUCUCUCCUCUUUUAAAAACAACACUUUUAUUGGAAGGAACAUAAGAUUGGGCUUACCAAUGCUUGAGCCCAUUUAUCAAAGUAAUUAUACUUUUAUUAUUAUUAUUGUCUUUUUUUUUUUUGAAAAAAACCAAUAAAAAUCGUGAUCGAUUUUUCGGUUUCCGGUUAAAAUGGCUGGUUCGACCGGUUAUUUAUUGAUUUUUUUCAUUUUCGAUUAAUUUAUUGGUAUUGGACCGGAUUUGAGGCUGAUUUCCAGUUUUUUCGGUUGAACCGGCCGGUCCGGUCCAAUUUUCAAAACAUUGAUUACACGAGACUAAGAAAUUUCUCUCUAAAAAUUUUGAAAUGAAAGAUAUGGGAGAGGCAACCUAUGUGAUUGGAAUUGAAAUAUUUCAUGAUAGGUCACAUGGAUUAUUGAGGUUGCCUCAAAAGGCAUACAUCAACAAAGUUUUAGAGAGAUUUAAGAGGAAAAAUUGUUCAGCGAUUGUUGUUCCAAUUAAAAAAGGAGACAAAUUUAGUCUCAUGCAAUAUCCUAAAAACGAAUUGGACUGCAAACAAAUGAUAGCUAUUCCUUAUGCAUCUCUUGUUGAAAACUUAAUGCAUGCUUAGAUUUGCACCAGACCAGACAUUAGUUUUGCCAUUGAAGUGCAGGGCAAGUAUUAAAAUAACUCGGGACUUGAUCAUUGGAAAGCUGCAAAGAAAGUAUUGAGAUACUUGCAAGGAAUGAAAGAUCACAUGCUCACUUAUAGAAGAUCUGAUAACUUAGAGGUCAUUGGGUAUUCAGAUUCGAAUUUCACUGGAUGUGUGGAUACUAGAAUGUCCACAUUUAGUUAUCUGUUCCUUUUGGCUGGAGGGCUAUAUCAUGGAAAAGUAGGAAGCAGUCAGCCUUUGCUGCAUCCACUAUGGAAGCUAAGUUUGUGGCAUGCUUUGAGACUACAGUUCAAGGAAACUGGCUGUGGAACUUUAUUUCAGGACUUGGAAUUGUCGACAAUAUUGUCAAGCCGCUUAAAAUUUAUUGUGGCAAUUCUAUGACGAUCUCCUUUUCAAAGAACGAAAAGUAUGUUAAAGGUGCUAAACACAUGGAACUAAAGUACUAUGCCGUUAAAGAAGAAGUUCAAAAACAACAAGUGUCAAUCGAGCAUAUUAAUACCAAUCUUAUGAUUGCAAAUCUACUAAGGAAAAGAUUACCACCAAAGACAUUUAAUGAACAUGUCGAAAGAAUGUGUAUUAUUGGAAAUGAUCAUUGACAUUAUUAUGCAAUUUAUGGAUUGACACUUUGAGCUCAUUUAUGUAUUAUAUUUGACAAAAUACUAUUCUUGUCAUAAUUAUUGGUACAUGUACAUAAAUGGAUUAUAUAAAUGCUAACAGGGAUAGUCCUUUUAAAGAUAGUAUUGGAAUGUAAUUAUUGAACUUCUCACUACGCGUCAUGUCAAGUAGGGACUAUUAUUGUAGUACAUGGAAGGAAUUCUAUCGAUAUGAUGGUGUAAAAUCGCCACGACUCUUAUUAGUCUUAAGGAUGAUAAUUAAGUGGCCAAUGUACGAGGGAUUUGCUUAUGAUAUGUGCAUUAUGCUAUAGAUCACAUAACGAAGCAGUAUUAUAUGGGCCAAGUGGAAGAAUGUAAAACCAAUUAAUUGUGGCCCAUGUAUUACUAUUAAAUAAUUAAAUAAAGUGGAAAUUACAUAUUUCCAGGUAUAUGAAGAACUGAGUUCACAAGCUAGGUUUGAAAUAUUUAUAUGCACAUCUCCGGUUUCUAUUAUGUUAUUAAAAUAUUAAUAAUUAAUUUUUUGUUAAAUAAUUAAAUCAUACGUAUAGUAACUGGUGCCUUAAUUAUCGCAAUUAGGAUAUCCAUUAAGUUAACUUCUAUAAUAUACUAAUUCCUCUCUCUCUCUCAAUAUCUUCUGCACGAUUCCAAACUACCCAAAACUUUUGCCCCAUGAAUCCGCUUCGAUCGUUCGAUUUCACAUCCGGUAAUUUCGAAGUCUCUCGUUUUCCAUUUUGCAACUGUGUUAUCAGCUUCAUUCGUAGUAGUAUAUAAUCUGUUCAAGUACUUUUCGCCCAAUUUUUUUGCUUGGGAUCAACAAGCGAAGUGAAAUGGAGGAAUUGAAGGGCACAAAACCGGUUACUAAUGUCGAAGACAUGUCAAAACGAACAAAAAAGAGGAAAUUUGAGCAGAGCCCCAAAAGAACCUCACCUAAGAAGCACGUCGUUUCGGUGUCCGCGAGAAAAGUGCGAUCAAACAAGGUUUUUUAAAUUUCUGGUGUAUGCGUUCUGAUUUUAGUGGCACACAUGUUGGUGGAAUCAUGGGUUUAGCACUAUUGAACAUUAAUUUGACAUCUGUAAACUUAAUCUGUUGUAAUCGUAGGAUUAAAGUUUCGUCACCUCAUUGUGUGUGAACAACAUGUGUGCUAAAAUGUGUUUUGUUUACCCCGUCGAUGAACAUGACCAUCAUCAACAAUGAAGGUUCAUGUGAUGAUUAUGUCAACCUGUGACCGAGACAAAUAUGAAUUUGUGGCCUUAAUCAAUGGAUGACAUUAUGCAUGUACUGAACUGAUUGUUAACGUAAUUGUUGAAGAGUUUUAUGUGACCAUGAGCUCCAAUUUGUGACUACGUUUUUUAACACACUUAUGGCGUGUGACCAUGAUAUCCAUCGGUCACUAAGGUGGUUGUGUAUAUGAGGCUUGAAUUCAUAUUAUUACGCAUUCCUGCGACCAUGUUAUUAUUGUCUUACGAUAUUGUGAAUAUGUUUUGUGGCGUGAGUACACGAUUACAUAUAUAUGUGACCCUUUCAAAAUAAUCAGUUUUCUAGGCUGACUGUGUGAUUUGACUACGUUUGUGUGUAAACAUGUGUGCUGAAAUGAGUUUUUAUUACACCAUCUGUGAACAUGACCAUUAUCAACAUGAUCAUGUGACCAAUAUGUGAAUCUGUGACCGAGACAAUUAUGAAUUUGUGCCUUUAAUGGAUGACAUAGUGCAUGCAUGUGACCUGAUUGAUAACAUAGUUAUUGAAUAGUUAUAUGUGACCAUGAUAUCGAAUUAUGAAUAUGUUUUUGUGGUCUAAGUGCACAGUUGCAUACAUAUGUGACAUGUACAAAACAAUUUGUUUCAGGCUAACUGUACAGGUGCAUGCAUAUCUAAGUGUUUGUGCUUUCACUACAUUUGCUUAACAUUACGUCAUUCUAAAAACUUCGUGUAGGCCUGGAAAUUCAUCAUUCCAGAGGAACAGUGGUUCCCAGGCAAGAUUACAACAUCAGUGACCAAGGGUGUCUUGAAAAGUAUACAAACAAACUUAACCAACCAUCAGAAGCAAAUCAUGAGGAGAACCUGCUUCGCACAUUUCCUCGACUGCGAUGAAAUUGUGGUACAACAACAGCUAAUUCACUUUUUUCCUAUUGAGGCAGGUAUAUCAACCCAAUCCUGAAGAAUUGUGGUUUUAGUUGCCGGGCGAUAUGUAAGAUUUUCUAUAGCUGAGUUUUGACUGGUCACGGGAUUGAGAUGUUCCGGCAACAGUGACAUCAAUAUUUUUGAAAGUAGACCGUCACAAUUGAAGACAAAAUACUUUUCUCAGGUAGGUAGUGUAACACAUGAAGAUGUGAAGUCCACAUUUAUAUCUGCCUGCCAAAUGCCGGACUUAGAUCUUGUCGAAGCCCUCCUUGAUCAUGAUGUUGCACUGAUUAGUAUCCUCUAUUUUAUUACUGCCUAUUUGUUUCCUAGAGAUUAUAAGAAAGUUGUCGAUCACUAUUUGUUCACACUCGUUGAAAACUUCCCUACACUGAAUAGUUUUUCGUGGGGAAAGUUACUGUCCGAUGUUACUUUGAGUUCUUUGAAAGAUGGGUUGAGUCGUCGAACAACACACUACAGGCUACGAGGUAUGUUGGUAGCCUUUCAAGCAUGGAUCUACGAAACCUUCCCUGGUCUAGAUGAAGUUAUUGUCACGAAGAUAUCAACAACGCACCCCCGAAUAAAAAACUGGUUUGCAAACGAGCAACCAUCUGCUUCUAAGUUGGAGGAGCCUGAUUGCUUCAAGAAGCCUAAUGUAAUGGUCCAAUAAUUCUUUUUGUCUGAUAGUUGAAUAUAUGUAAAAAUUAUUGUUUUCUAAUCUCUACUGGAAUGCAGAUGCAGAUCUGUGACCUGGUACCAAGUGAAGCGGAAAUGGCGAUGCCAUAUAUGGAUGGGGUGCAGUAUAACAAAACAAAUCAACCGGAGUUUUCCUGUGGCAGCUAUCGAAGGAAAAACAGGAAGCGAAAGUCUGCUAACCCUGCUUGCAUGAGUGGAGAAUAUGUGCCUUUGGUAAUGGACAUUGGCGUUGGACCUGCUCAUGUUGCAGAUGACGACGAUGAUUUCGUGGAUCCUCCACGAAGAUGUGAGGUGACUUCACAUCAGGAAACAUCCAAUGCUGCUGAAGGCCCUUCGGCCCCCCAACAUUCACCAAAUGAACCACAAUAUCAUGGGACGGAACGGAGUGAUCAGACAAAAAAGAUUAUGCAAGAACAGAUAAAAUGUGACAUGACGGAAAUUAGGACGAAUAUGCAAUUCUUGUCCGAGUCUGUGACUGCAAUGAUAUCAAGUACUAUGGAUGAGAUUUUAAGGCUUUUCAACGAUAGGAAAGGUCGUCAUGUUAAAGAGUUUGGAGAUACGGAAGCUACUGUAGUUGGAGGUGAAGAAAGUCAUGUUGUCGAAGAAGUUUACAAGAUUGAUGAGGUAGGUAAACAAUAUGUUCAAUCCAUCCUUCACUGACCGUAUUUACAUUUUUUCACAUGUCAUAUUCUCCAAUUUCACAUGCAAGUGGGAAAUCAGGAACCUGUUGUUGACAGGAAAGGGAAGGGAAAGGUCGACCCAACUGAUGAUGCUACUUUUGAAUGUAGUCUUCAACCGCCAUCAUUUGACUUGGGUUUUAGAUACACACAAUUGGAUGUUUCUCACUCUGCAUAAAUUCAAAAGCGGGUAGAUGCUGUCAUAUCUGAUGUGGUCACAGCAUCUGCAAAUGUUGAGGAAGAGGUAUUUCCAUUUUGUUCUUUGUGCUGCAUGCUGGUCACUGAAUGUGUAGGUCACGAACGGUACACGUUUCGAAAUACACAGAUCACACGCAUCCAUGAAUUCAUGUUACAUUCAUUCUGCAUAAACUAACAUUUUAUCUUUUUCAAUACAGAGGAAUCUCCAACUUCUGAACCGCCUUCUGAAUUACCAAUGAAGCGGGUGUCAAGGCCAACGAGGAUUUUGUGUUCUCCAUUUGUUGCGGGUGCAGGAAAGUUAUUCCGGCAUGACGAUAACAUUAUUGUAUUUGGAAGUUACAAAGACAAUGUUGAAGAAGGUGAUAAGUCGACAUUCUUGGGUUGGUUCCAGAGAGGGUACAAGCCCAAAAACAGGCACGAAUAUUUUCUUCCCUUUCUUCAAUCUAUUGCUCAUAUGGUCACAGUAAAUUGUUCUUACAUUUCUGGUUUCAGGAAAAAGUUUAAUGAGCAUGAUGACGUAAUCAAACCAGCUUUUGUUAUUGGCUCAUAUCCAGUCGGUAACAAAACAUGGUUCCACCAACUCGUAGACCCUGAGACGUCUUUGAAUAGCGGGGUAUGGUAACAUUCAUGUAUUUGUUCACCUUACAAUUACUUGUUAACAAAUGAGACCACGUUACGACUCUGCUACCACAUCAUGCACGAACUACUAUGCGGUUCACUGACAUAGUGGUCUCAUAAGUAUAUGUUUUGUUCAACAAGUCACAUACCAACCUGGUCACAAGUCACAGAAUCACAACUUUAUGAAAUUUUCUGAUGUUGUUCUUAUUUCUUAUCUUCCUGAUCACACAGCACAUGGAUGCAUGCUUCUACUACAUUCGGCAGCUAGCAAAAUUUGGGAAAGUAUAGUACAGAGCUACAACAACAAACUCCUCUUUCCAGAACAUGAUAAAAGACAUAUACCCCGCUUUCAAAAAAGAUCCUAAUGUUCUGUUGUCAGGAAGCCGGUUGUUCCAGGUGGUCACAGGUGAUAGCAUAACUAUGAGCACACCUUGGGCUGAUGUAGAUUAUGUGUUCAUGCCUCUCCUGCCCACGAAUAAAGCUCACUGGUUGCUAGGUCUGCUAGAAUUCAGAAGCCACAGAUUGAUCGUGUUCAAUUCAGCUGGUAAAACUUACCAUGACUGGAAGGUGCUAAAAGGUGUUGAGCCUCAUGUGAAGAUAUUGCCUGCUCUUAUGAAUGCAUUGGGAAUUUCGAAAAAAGACCCUGACUAUAAUGGAUCUGGGUGCAUGGAAUUGAAGGUGACCGUUGACACUGCCAUACCCCAACAGAUGAAUGGGUGAGUAUGUGACCAAUACUACAUACAUAACAUAUUUUAAUAUUAUUUCAUAACAUACUGUUUUGUGUUAUUCCACAGUCAUGAUUGCGGGGUGUUCGUCAUAUUAUAUGCUUUAUAUAUCCUUCGAGAUGGCAGAUCUUCUAUAACACAGAAAUUUGAUGUCGCCAAGUGUAGACUUGAUAUUGCAUCGCUACUCUACAAACAUCGGGAGACCUAUGUGAAGAAUCCGAGGCAGGCCACAAAAGGAGAGGGCAUUGUCAUUGAAUGAGGAUUGUCACAAAAGUUUUUGUAAACGGAUUUUAUGCUCGAAUAUGUAGUCUUUUAUAAAUCAAUGGGGGUGAUUGAUUUGAACAUUGUCUUAUUGAUGUAAACUCAUUUUUUGCAUUCCAUGAGUGCCACUACUUUUAGUAUGUAAUGAACCGUUGUUUGGACACAUAGUAGUGUGACUAGUCAUCGAUUUCGUUUGCAUGUUAACAUGUCUUAUGAAUAUCAUGUCACAUAUUCACAUUGCGACACAAAGCAUAUUAAUAACAGGUCAUAGAUUGCAUUGUUCAAUAAAGGCACAGGUCACAGUUUAUAUUUUUCUACUGACGGGUUCGUCACAUAUUUAAUUUCCCGCACGGGACUUAUGAAUAUUAGGUCACAGAUUACUGUGUUCACUACAUAUUUUGUUUUGUGACCUGUUUACAAAUAGUUCAAGAUUUUAUAAAUUUUGUUUGUAAUGCUGCACGUUAACAUCAGUCACAUGUCUUAUGAUUCUGAGGUCACAUUUCAUGUUCUGCAGCAUUGAAAAUAUAUUAAUAACAGGUCACAGAUUACAUUGUUCAAUAAAGGCACAGGUCACAGUUUAUGUUUUUCUACUGACGGGUUGGUCACAUAUUUAAUUUCCUGCACGGGACUUAUAAAUAUUAGGUCACAGAUUACUGUGUUCACUACAUAUUUUGUUCUGUGACCUGUUUACAAAUAGUUUAAGAUUUUAUUCUAAGCAAAUUUUGUUUGUAAUGUUGCACGUUAACAUCAGUCACAUGUCUUAUGAUUCUAAGGUCACAUUUCAUGUUCUGUAGCACUGAAAACAUAUUAAUAACAGGUCACAUAUUACAUUGUUCAAUAAAGGCACAGGUCACAGUUUAUAUUUUUCUACUGAUGGGUUGGUCACAUAUUUAAUUUCCCGUACAGGACGUAUGAAUAUCAGGUCACAGAUUACUGUGCUCACUACAUAUUUUGUUCUGCGACCCGUUUACAAAUAGUUUAAGAUUUUAUUCUGAGCAAAUUUUAUUCUGAGGUCACAUUUCAUGUUCAGUAGCACUGAAAACAUGAAUGUCAGGUCACAGAUGACAAUGUUGAGUAGAAAUACAAGUCACCAUUUUGUGACCUGGCACCAACAAUUGAAGAUUUUGUAGUGAUCUUGUGGUCACAUGUUAUUUCCUAAUUUAUUUUUCUUUUGAUACACGAUAAUGCGAUUGGUCACAGUUGUAGUUUGUAAUAGAAAUAUCACGUCAUAUGAUUAUGAGGUCACAUAUGUGACUAUGAGGUCACAUGUUUACAUAUGAUUAUGAGGUCACAUAUGUGAUUAUGAGGUCACAUGUUUACAGAUGAAAAUGUUCAGUAGAAACACAAGUCAUCAUUCUGUGACCUGAAACCAACAAUUAAAGAUUUUGUAGUGAUCUUAUGGUCACAUGUAAUCUCCUAAUUUAUUAAUCUUCUGGUACACAAUAAUGCGAUUGGUCACAGUUGUAGUUCGUAAUAGCAGUCACACGUCGUAUGAUUACGAGGUCACAUAUUUACAGCGAACACAGUAAUACGACUAGUCAUCGAUUUAGUUUGCAGUUUCACAUAUUCUAUGAAUAUUAGGUCACAUAUUUACAUUGCGACACAAAACAUAUUAAUAAAAGGUCACAGAAUACCUUGAAUAAUACAGGCACAGGUCACAGUUUAAGUUUUUCUAUUGAAAGUGUGGUUAUAUCAGGUCACAGUUUAUAGUGUUCAGUUAUUUCCUGCUCUUACGAAUGCACUGAAAAUCUCGAAAAAAGACCCUGAUAUGAAUAUCAUGUCACAGAUUUAUGUGUUCACUGUAAAUGAUGUAGGUUCCAUAUGGAGGUCUUCAAGCUCUUCUUCUGCGCAAAUUUUGAUCGUAAUUCCGCACGUGAAUAACAGUCAUAUGUCUUUUGAUUAUGGGGUCACAUAUUAUGUUCUGAAGCAGUUGUAGUUCGUAAUGCCACAUGUGACUAGCAGACACACAUGUCGUACGAUUAUGAGGUAAUAUAUUUAGUUUUGCAGCACUAGAUAUACGAAUGUCAAGUCACAGAUUACAGUGUCCACUAGAUAAGAUAGGCCACAUAUCAUUUGAAAGACAUUUGGUCACAAGUGAUGUCAACGCUGUUAUUCCAGUAAUGUUUCAAAUUCAAGAAUAUGACAUAUGGUCACAAUUGAAUAAUGUUUCUUAUUCAAGAAUGAAAACUUUGGUGUUUUUAUCAGGCAUUGGUCCCUACUAUGAGUUGUCUUUUUCAAACGUUGUUACUCUGUCGAACGCUCUUGUUUAAUGGAAGAAAAUUUGAGCAUCUCCUGCGGUUGUGUCCAUGUUCACCACACCGUCCACAUCUUACUUUCGGUUUGCCUUCCCUAGAUGAUCUCUUCCUCUUCUCUGUAGGUCUUCCACAACUUCAUUUUUGGUCAGGAGGUAACACAAUUUGGUUUUGUACUUCGUUAGGAACUGUCCAUUCGUCUGGGUUUCCAAUAGGAUAUACUGAAUGUUCAUAAGCUUUUAAAAAUGCAUCCUUUGUGUAAUAAUAUGAACAAUAAGCAUACGGAUCCCUUUUUGUAUGCUCAAUUACAGCUAAUGCAUGUGGACAGGGCAUCCGAUCGACUUGCAUCAUCCGACACGUGCAUGUACGUUCCUCAAUAUCAACAACAAAGGUAGACCUGUCAUUGCUGAUGACAGAAAAAAUUGUCUGGUUGGAAGCAGAUACCUACAAGAAUGUAGUGUUGUAGUACCAAUUGUAUUUUGUCAGUUUCAAAAAGAUCAGUUCUGGUCACAGACAUGCAAAUUUCAGUGUACAUUGCUCAAAUCGGGUCACAUGCAGUCAUACUUUAUUUUGGAUAUCAUGGAUUCGAGUCACAGAUGCAAACUCCAAAUCACUCAGUGUUGCAAAUGCAAAUUUCAAGAGAGAUGAAUUUAAUACUGGGUCACAUGCAUUUAUAGUUAGAACACAAUCACAACUGUUCAUUCCAGGUCGGAUGCAAUUAUGGUCAGGUCACAUGUAUCUUCAUUUAGUACACAAACACAAACAUCAGGAUAAAGAUAAGAUACCUACCCUUAAGUUCCUUAAUUCUGAACUCAUUUUUCUUAAAUUAUUCUCAAACUUGCUUGUCAACAUUGUCAAAGGUCCAUGCGCCUCGUCUCUAUGUUUACAGAACCAAAUUUGCACUGUUUGUCGUAAAGACUCUAGCAACGACACAAUGGGGUAAUUCUUAGCUGCCUUUGUGACUGCAUUAACUGAUUCUACAAUAUUUGAUGUCAUUGUGGAAAAUCUGUUCACUGGCAUAUGAAUUCUCGAUCACUUUUCAGGGCCGACUUCAGCCUGCAAACAUGUAUCAUACAUAUGAGUUCCAUAUACAAUGACAUAUGUGACCAAUUUAGUGUGCAUGAUAUCUAUUUUUGGAAAGCAAUACAUUACUAGGUAUCCAGUAAUAUUCUCAUUCAUUGUGUGUAGUCGAUGCAUGUUGUAUUCAAAUUCCUCCAAUGUGUAAGCGCGGACAGCCGAGUUGAAAGCUUGUGUAAUAUUUUCUCCUGAUUUUCCAUAAUAAUCUUUUAGGUUCUGUAGCAAAUGAUACGAGCAAAUACCAUGACAGGCUCCUGGAUACACAUGUUCUAUUGCUUUCUUUAUACUGCCAUGACGGUCUGAUACAAAACAUAGUCCUUCUCUAUAUCCAUAAGUCUCUUUCAGUUUUUCCAAAAACCAUCUCCAAGAGUUAUCGUUCUCAUUAUCCCCAACACCAAAAGCAAGAACAAAUAUGCUAUUGUUUGCUUCCUGCGUACAUGCUGUGAAGAGUGUGCCCCCGUAAUGACCAUUUAAGUAUGUACCGUCGACUACAAUUACAGGCCUACAAUGUGGCCACCCACGUAUUGAAUCACCGAGUGCCAUAAAACAAUACUUCAACCUGUUGUGACUAUCAAUCUCUAGAUAUGUGACCGUACCUGGAUUCUUUUGUUGGAGCAUGUAGAAGAAACUUGGUAUCCUACUGAAUGAUUCGGUUGGAUCACCCCUAAUCAUCUUCAAGGUUUGUUCACAGCAUCUCCAAGCUUUCGUGUAGUUCAAAUAGACUCCAAAAGUAUGCAACAUUUCACUGCAUAUAUCCUUUGGUGUGUAUAUGGUGCUGGACGAUGUGUACUUAUACUUGAUUCUAGAUGAAACAACUGCAGUUGUGACUUGUCUAUGUGACCCCAACACUACAUUUGAUGCACAUGUGUGACUACCAAUCUUUCGAAUCUUAAAUAGAUCCGUUUUGUCCCAUUUCGAUGAUCUGCAUAUCCAACUACAUCCUUCCUGUGAAUACCUCACAACAUAUUCUUUCUUGUCUGACCGCUCAACCAUGAACUCAAACAUAUUCCUUAUGGCAAACAAGGAUAGGCUCAAUUUUAAAAUCUCCUUAUCACGGAAAACCCUUCCUUCUUCGACCUCCCCAGCUUCUGCUACUGAAACAACUGUGACCUCGUUGUCGUAAAUGUGACCUACAUGUUCACUCGAUGCUUUGCAUAUUUUAGCUGCCAUAUCCCGCAAUGUAUGAAGCUCGCUGCUAUGGUAAGCAGUAUAUGGAGCCGUGUUAGAUGGCUUCUCUAUUGCUGCAUCGGUAACAUCGAUGACUAAUGGGUAUUUAACAGGUUCGCGAUCGCCUUCCUUCAGCAGAAUGUACGAGAGGACGUUACUGUCAUUUUUUAUCUUGACUGGAGGCAAAUUGUCAUUCAGGACAUACUUCAGUGACACUGCCACCUUCGUAGGAUCCAAGCUGAACUCUGACAUGAUUGUGUCAACAAGGUUUACGUAUCCGCAACCACGGUCUACCAAUGCCAACGCUGACUGAGAUCCAUAUAGCAAACAUACGUGCACGUACACCAUUCCUACAAAAAUUGAAUUUCAUGUAGCUGAUUUAUUGUAAUACAAUGCAUAUAGUUCAAACAUGAAUGACUGUAAUGACAUGGAGGUCACAUUUGUGAACAAGUCAUAUAUGAGACUAAAGAUGCAAUAAAAUGGAGGUCACAUAUGUUGGAUGGCAACCACUGUUUCAUGUGGUUACAUUCCUGCCAGAUAUAUGAGAAGGUACGCUAAAUAUUUGACCCGAUAUUCAUAGGAUAUGUGAACUUCUGUUCAUAUGUGGCAUUGCUAACUAAAUCGGCGAGUAGUCGCAUUACUAUGUAUCCAAACGAAAAUACAUUAUCUUACUGUAGGUGAAACGGAAGUCACAUACGUGGAUGGCAACCACUGUUUCACGUAGUUACAUUUCGGUCACAUUUAUAAGAAGGUCACAUAUGACAGGAAUCAAUGUCAGGAUGCGUGGUGCAACAGACACAUGCUUCCAUUACAUUGGUCACAUUUGUUGUCAGUGUGCAUAAUGGAAUAAAUUGCAUGCCACAUUUUUUUUCACAUAGUUUACAUUUCAUGCUCGAAAACGAAGCCUCUACAUCUACCUAUUCCAGUACAAAUCACAUAACACUGGUAAUAUAUGCUGCCUACAUCCUCUGAUUGGUGUGGUUACAAUCUGUUCAGAUUAUUGAACCGGUCACAGAUCAUCGGAAUAAAUCCCAAAGAUGGUUUAAAGUAGUUCAGAUUUGUUCACAACACUGAUAUGGAACAAUGUUUUUGCAUCAAACAAAAUAUGCGCCCAGAAUAGAUCCGAUGGACGAUUAUGUGACUGCACGCAAAUCCUAUUCGAUGGAUCGUGACUACAAACAUAGUAGCUAUCCACAAUAUUGUCGAAGUAUUACCUAGAUUGUCUUUUUCUCUGCGAUUGUGUUAAUUUCACGAAAUUGAGUCCCAAAUCUGUGUCACAAACAAUUAAUUUCCAUCAAUCCAAAUACAAAAUUGAAAAUAUUCUGUGACACGGAGAAAAUAAUAAUUUCGAAAUCGUUCAAAUUCAUCGUCCGUUACCUUCUCUUUUCUUCUUCUCUGGCGGCCAAAAUAGGGUUGUGACAUGAAAUUCUGAAAUUUGGGCUCUUUUGGUUGAGAUCUCGAUUGUUGUAGUGGAAAGAAUCCUGUUAUAAAUGGGAACUGAGCUUGAUUUCAGGAAACUGCUGUAACAGAAAUAUAUAUAUAUAUAUAUAUAUAAUACACCGGAUACAAUACACCGGAUAUAUGUAUUCUUCCCUUAAAUAAAGUGGUUUAUAUUUCUUAAAUCCAAUUGGCCCAUUUGAAAAGUAGCAAUUUUAUAACCGUCUACUUUGAUGGAAAGUGGAUAGUUUUAUGGCCGAUAAGAACCCAGUGGAAUGAGACCCAAACUCUAUUUUUAUUUUUGAAAAAGGACUGUAUUUUUUUAUUUUUUGUUACGGCUACUCGUAAAAAAGAAAUAAAAAUUAACUUUAAAAUGGACAUGGGCUGACCCAAUCAUCAGCUUUGGAAUCUGCAUUUUUUCAACAAUGUGAUGAUUUUCUUGUAUCUUGAUGCUCUGGCUAGUCUAAGCCCUCGUUUGGCUCCCAUUAGUUUAAUUCUUAUUUUUCUCUCUUAUUUUCAAUCAAAUAAUUUCCAUAAAAUAAUAUUACACGUAAAUCGAAAACUUUUCUUUAUUUUCAACCACUUAUUUUUCAAAAAAAUACUAUUUUACCCAUUAAAAUUUGAAAUAAUGGGUGGCCAAACGGGGGCUAACUAUAAUUGCAAUUUCAUUCCCUAAUUCUUUUCAAGUAAUCUUGUGUUUCAGCUGAUGCUGGUUUUGAAAUUAUUAGAUUUUCAAUUGUCAUAGCUUACUUGAUCACUUUCAGAUGAGAAUAAAGUAUAGAUAUUUGUGUUGGUCAUCUUGUUUCAGUUUAGAAUUUCUAGUAGAAAAAAAUCUCGGUGUUUGAAGACGUAUUUAUUUUCUCGUAACUACUUGUAGGAAGGAGCUGAAUUAAUCUGGUACUGACUGUGAAUGCGUAGGUUCAAAUGCAGAUUCUGUAUUCUAAUGUGCUUGGGAUUAAAAGAGCAGACUUAAGAUUAUCUUUCAUUCUCUAUAGCUUGUUGGCCUUAUUCCACUGGGCUCGAAAAUUCCAUUGGAAUUCGAAAAUUUCGAUAGAGGAAAACAACUAUUGGAUUUCUUCAAAUGGGGACUUCGUAGUUGGGUUCUUUAGAACAUCUCCAAUGAAUGCACAAAAUCACCAAAAUACACCAAACUUUGGUGCAAAAUGGUACAACACUAUUCACUUUGCAGCAUUUGGUGCAAAGUCAAAUUUGCCAUUUUUUUUCCAUUGUAAUUGAUGGAUAGGUAUUUGUGUCACUUGUGUUAUAUAUUUUUUAAUACAAUUAGUACUACUACUACUAAUACUACAAAUACUAAUUAUUAUUAUAUUUAAAAUUGCAUUUAAAAUAAAAUUUUUAAAUGUAAAAAAUAAUAAUUAAUGAAUUAAUUGAAUACAAAAAGAAUAUUAAAAUAUAACAAACAUGAUUCUUGUGCUAAUCCAAAUGUCCUUGGGAUUGAAAGAGCGGACAUAGGAUUACCUUUCCUUCUCGAUAGCUUGUUGGCCUUAUUCCACUGGGUUUGAAAAUUCCAUUGGAUUCAAAAAUUUCGAUAGAGGAAAACAACUAUUGGCUUCCCUGAAAUGGGGAUUUCGUAGUUGGGUCCUUUAGGACAUAUCCAAUGAAUGCACAAAAUCACCAAAAUACACCAAAUUUUGGUGCAAAAUGGUACAAUACUAUUCACUUUACAUCAUUUGGGGCAAAAUGAUGCAAAGUCAAAUUUGCCAUUUUUCUCCGUUGUAAUUGAUGGAUGAGUAUUUGUGUCAUUUGUGUUAUAUAUAUUUUAAUAUAAUUAGUACUAUUACUAAUUAUUAUUAUUUUUAAAAGUGCAUUUAAAAUACAUUAUUUAAAUGUAAAAAAUAAUAAUUAAUGAAUUAAUUAAAAUAGGAAUACAAAAAGAAAAUUAAAAUAUAUCAAACACGGUUAUUUAAACAAUUCACGAGCCACGCGGUCCCAAAAAAGUUAUUUGCAAUGAAACAAGAAGUGUGUAGAAAAGAUGUUGAACGUGCAUUUGACGUUCUACAAUCAAAAUUUACAAUAAUAAAAGAACGGACAAGGUUUUGGGAAAAACAAGUAUUACAUAAUAUCACGGAUGCAAGUAUAAUCAUGCAUAACAUGAUUAUCGAGGACGAACGUAAUACUGAUACACUAGUUUGAGAAUGGGUGGAAGCAUCAAGUCUGAAAGUUGAGUUGGUUGAAGACAAAAUUCAUCGUUUUCAAGAAUUUCUUGCUCGUCAUAUACAAAUCAAGGAUAAAAAGGCUCACGUUACACUUCAAAAUGCAUUAAUCGAUCAUUUGUGGGAAGGGUAUAUGAAUUUCGAGAAUUAAAUUGUAAUGAUAUUUCGACUUCGUAAUAUCAUAAUAUCUAAAUUCGAAAUGCAUUACACUAUUUUUUAAUAUCAUGAUUUAAUAUUCUCAUUUUUGUAGUGUUUUUACUAAUUGUACUAUAUAUAUUUUUUUAUAUUUAUUAAUGAAUUUAAUUUUUUCCUUAAUUUAACGUAGUUAUUUAUUUAGUCAUUUAUGUAUUUGUAAAAUAAAUAAAUAAAUAAAUUUUCAAAUAAAUAACUUAUUAAGAAUUAAAAAAGAAGGAAAAUGAUUAAACACUAUUCAUUUGAUGUAAACUUUAGAGUAAUGGUUGGAGAUGAUUUUUAAUUUGGUGCAAAUUUUGGUGCACGAUUGGAGAUGACCUUAACAUAUUUAACCAAUAUAGUGUAAGGAUUUGCUUCAAUUCAAGUUUUACUCGAAGACCAUAAAAACAUUGCCUAGCACACUUCUAUUUGAUCAAAUGCUGCUGAAACUUACUUGAUGUUGAAGAAAUCCGAAGAUAAUUUGAUUGAAUCACUUGCUUUCUCUUUACUUGCACUACUUGAUCUAGAACUCGAUCGAAAUGGAAGAAGUUCCUUUGACAAAAUCAAAAUGAUCGUUAUGUGAUGAUUGUGUACCCAAAAAAGUUGAUUUCUUACCUUUUCAAUUUUGCAACAUUUAUCUAAUGAAUAUUGUUGUAUUUGUUGAAUCUUUAUGAAAUUUAAACUUUAUAAAACUCAAUGAAUUGCUAAGAUCAAAUUACCAAGAUAAAUAAUUAAUGUGGAACAUACCUUGAUCUAUGACUUCGAAUCUUUAAUCUUUAACCUUGAACAUCAACUUGCAAUCCUCUCUUGAUUUAUUUUUUUGCUUUUAAUCUUGAUUGUUUUGUUCUUCAAUUUAAUUGCUUCAAUCUUUCUUCUAGAUUAAUUGAUCUUGAUUCUUCAUUGUGGGUUUAUGAUCUUCCUCUUCAAUAUGUUUUCUUUUACAUUCUCGUGUUGAUGGGGGUGACACAAAGAAUGAGAAUCAUACAUGAAUUGGAGACCAUAACCUUAUAUAUCCAUAAGUAUUUAGCCCAUUAUGAAAUUCAACCCUAAUGGAUCCUAUUUCUAUUCAUAUUUAGAAUCACACUUUAUUUAAAUGCCUAAACCCAAUGAUUUUAAAGCUUUAUUAGAUCAUUUUAAACAGGCUUAACUUUAAGAUUGCCUUUAUACACAAAUUAAUUAUAUACGUAGACUAGCACGACAAAUUAAAAUCCAACAAUCUUUCACUUGGACCACAAAUAUUAUCUUAUAAAUGUAUAUAACCUUAUGAGCUCAAAACUUUUGCUAUCAUAACCGAAAGUAUCUUCAAACAAUGUCGUCCAUCAAUUGUGCCAAUAUAAGAUCAAAGUAGUCUUCGUUACAAGUAAUAUAAGUAAAUCCAUUGAUGACCAUGUAUAUCAAUACAAUCAAAUAACAUAAAUCAAGCAUGUAUGUGUAGCAUGAAAAAUAAAUGUAAUAUAACCCAAAUAUGUUUAUUUCCAUUUGGUCAUACUUUAUUUUUAAUGAGAUCAAGCUAAAACUUUAAUCAGAAUGAAAAUAAUUGAAUACUUUAUUUCUACAGAAUAGAUUGAAUAUCUAUAAGCAUAAAAUAUGUUUGAAUCAGACAACAGUUGAAUACAAACUCCACUUAACUGUCAUAUCAUCAAAACAUGCAACUUCCAUAUGAAUAGUAUGCUCAUGAAAGAUCUGGGUGGUAGUCCUUUAGUAAGCAGAUCCACAAUCAUAGAGUUUGUCAUAAUAUGCCUAAUAGAAACUUGGCUGCUCUAAAUUAUUUCUUUAACAACCAAGAACUUAAUGUCUAUAUGCUUUGAUAUCAUUGAACUCCUCUUGGAAUACAGGACUGCUAUUAUUGCAAAAUAACUUAACCGGUCUUUUCGUUCUAUCUAAAAUAUGCAGCCUAGUGACAAAAUAUCGUAGUCAUAUUACAUGAUUAGAAUCAAAAUAUCUAAUGAUCUCCAAUUGGUCUGAUUUUCUGUAUAUGAUCAUGUAAUCCUUAGUUCUCAAUGAAUACCAAAUAACCCAUUUAGCUACUUUCCAAAUAUCGAAUCUAGAGUUAUUUGUAUCUGUCCAACAUUCAAACAAUGAAUGUUACACAGGAUGUGCAAAUCUGAGCGCACAUUAAACUUGUAACUCCUGAAAUACAAGAAAUUUUCUACAUUUCAUUUUCUUUAAGUUUAUACUUCGGCAUUAAUUGAGACUAAACUUAUUUUUCUUAACAAUAGGGAUAUUACCUGGUUUAUAUUCCUGCACCCCAAAUCUCACCUAAUCGAUAUAAUUCAAAAACACAUCAAGAACGAUCCCAGUAUAUCUGUAUCUCUAACAUAAAAGAUGCAUCACCAAGAUCUUUCAUUUCAAAAUUUCAUGUCAGAAAUUUCUUAAUUUCGUGCAAUAAGCCUAUAUCAUAGUAGGAAAGUAGUAUGCCAUUAACAUAUAAUACUAGAAAAAUAUUGUUACUCCUACUAGUGAUACACACAACUAUCAACUACAAUUAUCUCAAAACCAAAUGAGAUAAUUUCUUAACGAAAUUUGUAAUACCAUUUGACGAGAAGCCUGUUUAAGCUCAUAGAUGAAUUUUCUUAAUGUGCAAAUGAUUUUAUUUUGAUCUCUUGAUAAAAAGUUAUCCGUUUGCACCAUAUAAAUUUGUUUCGUCAAUGUUACCAUUGAGAAACACCGUUUUUAUAUCCAUCUUGUGUAACUCAAGAUCAAAAUGUGUCACAAGUGUCAUAAUAGUCCUAAAAGAAUCUUUCGUAGAAAUCGAAGAAAGUCUCUUUAAAAUCAAUUUCUUCCUUUUAAAUAAAGUCAAUUACAACAAGACAAGACUUAGAUAUCUCCACAUUACCAUUCGAAUCCCUCUUGAUUUUAAAUAUCCAUUUACAACCAAUUGGCUUAGCACCUUCACAUAAAGGGAUGAGUUCCCAAGCGUCAUUGUCACUCAUAGAUAUUAUCUAUUUAUUCAUGACAUUAAUCCACUUUAAAGAAUUAUUUAUUUGCAUUGCUUGAUAAAAGUUGAUUGAAUCUUCUUCCACCAAUACAAUGCCAUCCUUAUCUUCUGAAAGAAAGACUAUAAAUUCAUCUGAAACUACCAUUCUCCUUCUCUAGUGGAUCUCUUUAAUGGCAUUUAUUUUUUAUGUUGUUCAUUUUGAUCUUCUGAAACAAUCUUUUGAUUAUUUAUAGAGGAUUUUGUAAUAUAGUCUUAAUUUGAAAUAGUAACAAUUGAUUCUAGAGUCUAGUUCCAUUUUAUUUAGCUGAAAAGGCCUUGCCUUAGUUGGACAAUCCCAAAUGUGCAGGUGCUUCAAACUAAAUUUCUUGCCUGUCUAAAGCUCACAAGAGAUUUUAACAGUUGCUUUACUUGAAACGUUAUUUAGAUCUUAAGCUACAGUUUUUAGUGCUUCUUUCUAUAGUGAUUUUGGUAAGAUAAAAUGACUAAUCAUACACAUUACCAUGCCCUUAAAAGUUAUGUUUCGUCUUUUAGUAAUACUAUUAAGGAAACUUGGCAUGGUGUAUCGUGUGACGAUUCCAUAUUCAUCUAGGACUUUAGUAAAAGGCCAUGGACAUUGUUCUUCAAAUCUGUCAUAUAUGUCAUAGUAUUCAUUGCCACGGUUAGAUCGAUGUGUUUUAUUCUCUUGCUGAGUUGAUUUUCAACAUCAACCAUUAAAGCUUUGAACCUGUCCAUUGAUUGGUAUUUCUCAUGGACUAAAUACAGGUAGCCAUAAUGAGAAAAAUCGUUUAUGAACGUAAUAAAUGACUGUUGACCAAUCCCAAAAGUCGGAGGGAAUAGUCAAUUGAUAUCCAUAUGAAUUAGUUCUAAACAUCAGAAAUUCUAUUGGCAUCUAAUCUCUUUACAUUUGCUUGCUUCAAGAAUUCCUUUUGACACAAGCUUUUCCUUUUUCUUUUGAUAGAUGUGACAAAAACACUUGUACCAUAAUGAAUCGAAAUUCUUGUUGUUAAUUUAUGUUCUAUACUAUGUGAAUUCACAUGAAAUGUUUCAUUAUAAGAGGCAACUAUAUUAAGCAAACAUAGGUUAUCAUAACUAGAAAAAAAAAUUGGUACACACGACAUUUGAAUUAAAAAAGAAAUAAAAUUGACCAUUUUCAAAUGAAUAAAAGUAACCAAAUUUGUCUAAUGUAGAAAUAGAUACCAAAUUACGUCUUAAAAGACAGUAAUGUAAAUGUCUCUUUCAAAUUCAAUUAAUAACCAGUCUUUAAUAAUAAUCUCAAAGUUCCUUAGCCUCAACUUUAAUUGAUUUGCCAUUAUCAUAAAUAGAUGAAUCUUUUAACAUCAAUUGACUAUUGACAGUUCAAACAAUCUCGCAUAGGCACACUUAUAUGAGUAGCAGCACCAUAAGUUAUCCACCAAGUGUGUCUUGGUAUUAAAAAAUGAGAAGAAUUUCUAGAAAUUAGUAAAGGAAAGGUUUUCCAAUCCUAGCUUCUGAAAGAAGAGAAAAUGUUAGACUUCCAACCCAAUAACUGAUAGCGAAGACGAAAUUAACCUUAAAACAUACCAAAGUGAGAAGUGUACUUUUCAUUACAUGUCUAAUGUGGUAUUUAGUACAGUUUAUCUUAAUGUGUCCCAAAUCUACACAGAAGUAACGAUCAUAAUUAAUUCUUUUCAAUCUUUCGCGAUUGAGCUGAACCAAACACAGCUUUCUUAUUUUUUAACUUUCCUUAAAGGUACUUUGCAAGUGAACACUUUCAAUUCUCUAUUGUUUUAGCAUUUCUUCUUAUUGCACACAAUAUGAAAUGAACUCAUUAAGAGUUCACAUUUCCUUUUGAUACUAUAACUGACCUCAAACUUACUGAAUUGUACAGGAAGAGAAAUCAAAAUCAAAUGUACGAAUAAAUCAUCAGAUAACUCAAAUUUUAAUACCUUUAGUUUUGAAGCAAGAUAAGCCAUAUCCAUGAUGUACUCCUUUAUGUUUUCUCAAGCUUUAUACUUUAGUGAAACUAAGUUUACCAGACGCAUGUUAGUUUCGGCCUUAUCACCUUUUGCAAGGUUUUUUUUUUUGUUUCAAUUUUUUAAAGAAAUUUCUUGAUAGUAGUUACCUUAUUGGAUCCAAUGCCCCUAAGUGUUACUGAAAUUUCACGCUUCAUUAUUAUAAGACUUAUGCAAUUUGAAUGAUCCUACUUUUCAAUUCCACUUUUUUAUCAAUAGAACUUUUAUCCUUAAGUGUAGUGGGUUAUUCGAUCCUUAAAACAAGGUCUAAAUCCUUGUAGCGAAUGAUAAGAACAUUCUCUUUUCAGUCCUUACAAUUUGGUUUAUUAAAUUAACUGAACAGAACUUAAACCUAAAUAAAACGCUUACAUGAGAAUCCAUAUUGGACAAUCAAUAACUUGAAAUAAUGGUGGGCCCAUCAAAAGAGACCGAACACAACAUUGAUAUUUAGUCUUCGGACUGAAAUAUUAACUUGUAAGUGGAACUCUUGGUGUAGUAAUAAAAUAUUGACAAUAAAUCAUAUCAAAUAAUAAAGAUAUCUUUGGAAUGAUUUAUUGUUCACAUAAAACAAAAAUUUAUAAUUGUUACAUGUUUAUUACCAUAGGUGUGUAUGUAAUUCUGGCAAAUAUUUACAAUACUUUGGGCCGGUGCAUAUCUGCAUGAUUUACAUACACACAAUCACCUUAAUAUUCCAAACAAAUUAAUUUGGACAUAAGAGGUUACUUUGGUAACAUUUUUCUUCAACUAAUCUAUUUUGAAAAAUUAAUUAUUUGAAAUAAACUUUAUGUAUCAAGAUUUGAUAUUGAUCGCUCUCUCAUAUUUUAGUUUUAUUUUUCUUUCGUUUUAAUAAAAAAGUAGAAAAAUCUAACAGAAUUACAGCGUUGUGGAACUGCUGGCUGUGCCCAGCACUGUAACGUUGCAUGAAAGGCAAUCGCCGGGUGUCGCAGCUCUUGAAUGCGGCGCUACAGCACCAUGACUGCUGUUAUGACCUAGAUUUUUUUGAAACAUCUCAAAAAAUAAAAAAAUUUGAACCUUAGGGCUUGGAAUUCGUAUCCCAAAAUUUAGAAAUCUAAAUUAUGAAUUUCAACCCUAAAAUUCUUCGUGUAAUCUUGAUAGUUUAAUAUGGAUUGGCUCUGAUACCACUUGUUGAAUCUUUAUGAAAUCUGAACUUUAUAAAGCCAUGUCAAAUUACCAAGAUACAUAAUUAAUGUGAAAAAUACAUUGAUCCAUGAGUUUGAAUUUUGAAUCUUUAGUCUUGAUUAUCAAAUUACGAGAAGGAUUAUAGGUAAUAGCCUCUUUUCUUUGUGUUAGAAUAAAAGAUUUUGUUCAAAACAAUCCUCUCUUGAUUUAUCUUAUUGCUUUUAAUCUUGAUUGCCUUGGUCUUCAUUUAAAUGCUUCAAUCUUUCUUCCUGGUUCUAGAUUAAUGAUUGUGGAUUUUGGAUAUUACUUUUCAAUAUGUUUUCUCUUAUAUUCUCGUGUUGAUGAGAUGACACAAUGAAUGUGAAUCACACAUGAAUUGAAGACCAUACCCUUAUAUAUGCAUUAGUAUUUUCCCUAUCAUGAAAUACAAUCCUAAUAUAUCCGACCUCUUCACUUAUUUAGACCCACACUAAUUUAGAUGCCCAAAGCCCAAUGACUUAAUUUUUUAUUAGAUCACUUUAGACAUGCUUAAUUUUAAAAUAGCCUUUAUACACAAAUUAAUUACAUAUGUAAACCCACAUGACAAAUUAAAGUCCAACAGUAUUUUCUGGGGAGAAUUCUUAACCUUGUAUUUUCAUGCUACAUGGGUUCGGUCAACCCUCAUGAAUGACCCGAUCAUUUCUAAAACAGUCAAUAUCAAAUGGUGGUUUGUAGCUGGAGCUGACCAUUCAGUUGUUCGCAAGUCAUAUUUCCAAUUUACUCAAGAAGGUGAAUUAAUUUUUAUUUAAUUUUGUCACGUGAGAUAUUGCUUCGACAAGCAAGACUUGAAACGCAUAAGCUUUUCCUCGCAAUGGUGGCAUCAUUUAAUAAUGUGCACCUUAUAUUUUAGUAAGAGAGAAACUAAUGUAGAAUUAUUAGUCCCAAUCAUACGUUUUAACCUUAAAAAUUGGAAAGAACUUGUAGAAAAUAUAAGAUUGAACACAAAAGAAUUUUUACCCAAUAAAUGGUCUGAAUGUUCAUAUACUCUAAAUGCAACUUACAAGUUGACCAUCUAUCUUAAUAUAUAUAGCCCCUGUUUGUUUCCAAUUUUUUCUUCAUUAAAAUGAAAAAUAUGACCGUUAUCCAUCACAUCAAGCCACCAAAUUUAAUUUUUUAACUCUUAUGUGGGAACCAUAACGACUAUAUUUUUCAUUUUCAUUUUUACAUUAAUGUGUACCAAAUGGGCCCAUAAUAUUAGAAACAAAUCAACUUCCAGAAAUUUAAUAAAAUGUGAGUAAUCACACAUAUUUCUCUUCUCUCUCUCGCCUCACGAAAAUGUUAUAAAACAUUGUUCACCUUAGUAAACAAAAACCUAGUUGACAAAUGAAAUCUACUAAGAAUUUCAGUAGAAAGAAAACGAAGAGGAAGAACUUUGGAAAGAGAAGAUGUCAUAAAAGAAAAAGCUUCACACAUAGGCUAUGUGAAGAAAUGAGGGUUAGGGCCCUUCUUAUUGACACAACAAUUUUGCCUUCCAUCUAAAGGCCAAGAGACCACCAUGUCUAGAUAAGGCGGGCCCUAAGAUUUUGGAGACCUUUGACCAAUUUCAAAUAUAGGGCCCUAUAUAUGUAAAAUAUAACUUUAAAAAUAAUAAUAUUUUUAUUUUAUUUAUUCAAAGUUACAAUAAUAAUAAUAAUAAUCUAAAACUUUCAGAUGUUUAGAUUAAAUUUAUUUUAUUACAAUUUUUUCACGAUAACAACUAUACUAUUAUAAUCAAUUUGUUUUAGAACUUCUUUUAAGAAAGAUAGAUUGAUCAAUUCAUUCAACAUUUGUCACAUUGUUGAUCAAAAAUAGAAAUUUAUAAACUUCAAAUUUAAGAAGGUGCUCUCCGCAAAUGCUACUGUAACUAGUAUAUCAAUAAUAUUCAAUAAGCAAUCCACACAUUUGGAAAACAAUCAUCAUUUUUAUAUAGUCUAAAACACCAAUUAUUUUUUGGUGCCUUUUGAUAAAUAGUUUCUAGCAAUUUAUAGUUCAGAAAAUAAAGUUGUGCUUAAAAUUUCUUCAAUCUAAUCACAUCAAUACUUCAAACAGUUAUCAUUUACAAUUUACGUAUUUUAAAUCAAACUACGACAUAAUUUUUUUUUUCAUAAUUUUAAAAUUGUUCAAACCUUAGCCUAGGCAAAUAAACAUCUUAAUCACCUAUAAAUACUAAAUGAUAAAAUCUAAAAAGAUUCUUUAGCAUAAUAUUUUAUGUCAUCAUUAACGUUUUGAUCUAAUUGCUUCUUUCUAUAGAUAAUACAUGAAAUGUAGGUUCAACUUCUACUCGUGCAUCAAUUUUUUUAGGAGUACUCAGAUUCUGUUUUUCCAUAUGUUUCAGAAAAUGAAGUAAGUGCAUUCAAGUUACUAAUAGUGCCAUCAGUACACAUACUCAUUAUGUUACAAUUUUUUUAUUCUAUUAAUGGCAGACAACAUAGUCUCAAAAAAUCGUGCCAAAAAAGAACUCAAAAUUUAUAAUGUCAGAAGACAAAUUUUUAGCAUCUCUAAAUGUCUUAGUGUUAUCACAUGUUCCCACAAAGUGUUUAAAAGCGAUUUAUAUUUUUGACAAUUGAAGUGUUAUUACUUUAACACUUUCAACUUGACGUUCUUAACGAUCUUUGGGUAGUGGCUUAAGUAUUAGAUCUUUUACCUUAUCCUGAAAAAUUUUCUAUUGCUUGAUAGAAGAUGAAAACAAUACUCUUUUUUUUUUUUUUUAGAAAUUUUCUUUAAUAUUUAUAAUUAUAUUAGAUAAUAUUUUUUUGUGGCCCUCACCAAAGUGAGGCAUUAGGCGAUUGUCUAUCCUACUUAUAGUCAGGGCUGACAUUGUGUCUAGUCACCAGAUCCUUUCUUGAGCAAAAGUUAAAGUCGCAUUUUAGAACACACUUUGGUCUACAAGUCAACUUUGAGGCGUAUUCCAACAUUUUACACAUUCGUAAAUAAUUGACUCCACUCUAGUAUUUUGAGCUAUACUACAUAAGGUUUCAUUUACUUUGCAGUACCAGCAAAGAAAAAUAAGCUAGUUUUGAAGUUUAUAAGAUUCUUGACAGCUCAAACUAUCAAUACUUAACCACCUACAAACAAUUACUCAUUAGUAACAUUUAAGAUAGUUAAAUAGUUUAUAAGUUUAUAUAAGUAAAAAACUUGAGUACCAAGAUCAGAUGGAUUAAAUUGAGUUGGGAUUUUAACUAAAGUUAUCAUACCUUUCUCAACCAUACCCUUAACAAAAUAAAAUUCAGUAUCAACAUGUUUGGUUUAGUUUGUCAUGAUAAACUGGUUCUUAGUAAAAUGGAUUGCACUUUCUUCGUUUGGUAUAUAAUUGACUAUUUCAAAAAUAAAACAACAAUUUCUCCCAACAAUGCCCUUAAUCUAUCUUUUACAACAUCAUAGGCUGUUAUAUACUUUGCCUUUGUAGAGGAUAAGGCUACAAUCUUUUACAACUGUUAUUUCCAACUAACACACCCAUCAAAAAAGUAUGAAAAUAUAAGUAGUAGACCUUUUUUAUCACGUGCACCUGGAAAAUUUGAGUGAGUGUAGCCUUUCAAAUAACGCCCUUAUCGCACCUUUUAAACUUUAAAAUAUUGGCCUAUGGUUGAAUCUAUCUUAAAAUUUUGAUCAUAACAAAUAAGUUGCAUCUUGUUUACUGACAAUUGAUUUAAAGUAAUCAUAGUCUUCAAAACAUUCACUGAUAAACCAAUCAUAAUCAAAAGAUCAAAAUCAAGACUAUCAUUACCAAUUGAAUUCUAUAAAGUUAAGAUUGAAGUCAUGUCUUCCAAGAAUUCAAGAUAUAAUCUUUCAAGACGAGAGGUUAAGAGUGAAAUUUAGAAAAUAUCGAUUAUUAAGCAUUUAGACCAAAUGUAAAGGAAAUAACGCUUCGAUCUAUGGCAAUCAAUGAUAAUAGCUCAAAAACUAUUUUGUGCACCAAACUAUUUUGACAUCACUUGCAUAAAAUAUUUUGAUCAAGCUGAAUUUGAUUUUCAUCAUUUAUGUUUUCUGAAAAUCAACAUUUGAUAUAAAAUGAUAUUUAAACUCAUCAUUUUUCUACAAUAUCAUUUACCCUUGAAAAACUAGUUAUUCCAAAAAUCCCAAGUUUUUCAAAGUAAUUCGGAUGAGGCCAAACUUGAUGAUCGUACAAUAGAACGGUCGACUAAUUGAUAGAUUGGUCAACUGAACUCCAAAAUGUUCAAAAUUUAAACAUUCGACUUUUGAUCCUAUACUUUUUGACGGCUACAUUUUUUAGUCAUCCGAACUUGCACCUGCCGAUUGAAACCUCUUCCCAAUUGCGAGAAAGUUUUGCAAUUUGUUUACUAUAAAUUGAUUUUAUUUUUGCAAAUAGUAACAGAUCUUUGAAAGUACAUUCUUACAAAAUAUAUUUUUAACUAAUCUUUAUUAAUAUUUCUUCUACAUAUUCAUCUUGAAAAACUUUUGAUUGAAUCAAACUCUUGAAACAUCAUCUUCAUAAAGCUUUUUCACCAACACUUGAACUAUCUUUUAUUUAUAUGUAUUGAAGUGUCAGUCUCUAUUUGGUACUUAAUUGUAUUUUUAUCAUUUAUUACGAGAGAAGUUUGAUUGUAAAACUAUUUUUCGUCAAACCUUUGGAUCAUAUUGAUGUUUUUUAAUGGGUUAAUUGCAGCAGAAGCCCCAAACUUUUGAAACAUUAGUAGACAUUCCAAUAACCUUUGAUUUGUUGCAGCCUUCACCCCCUAACAUUUCCAAACAUUACAUGUGAGGUCCUUUUGGAUGGUUUUAGUAAAAAAAAUCCGUUUGUUGACCAUCAAACUAAAUUUUGACCACUUGUUAAUCAAUUUUAAAAGGGUAAAAUGGUAAUACUAAAAAAAAAAAAUACAGAGAGAGAGAGAAAUGGUUCUUCUUCUUCCCACCCAACUCAAUCUAAAACGAUUGCUGCAAUCACCUUCACCACAUCCUUCAACACCAACAUUCAAGCUCUUUUUUUGCUAAAUAGCCUGCAAUAUCCUCAAAUUUAUGACUAAUCGGCAAUGAAACCAUGGACUUUGUCAUGUACUCAGAAACCCUAUUUUCCUUAUCAGUUACUUUUUCCCAUUCAGAUAUUUUAACAAUCCCCAAUAGCUUCGAUUUCUGGAUUCCAGAUUCAAUUACAAAAAUGCAAGGAGAAGACAAAAACUCAUCGGCGGAUAGAAUCAAAUUAGAGGAAGAUUUGAAGAUGAGUUCAUGCCUAAAGGGAAUUUGUGCGAUUUUGCUAGUCGAACCAAUGAGGCCUGAUGAAAAGGCGUGGUGUUAGAAUGGACUAUGUCGAUUGCACCAAGUGCGGCCAUGGUAGCCGCCAUGGAGGACUCAGUCACAAUGUCCAUGAGGGAAGCGACGCAGGGUGUAGGAAGGGCAAUGCGACGGCUGAGUUUCAUGGAGAAGAAGAAGAAGAAGAACCAUUUCUUUUUUUUUUUUUGGUUGUUGAUUUAGUUUUUCAAUCGUUUAAUGUGGUAAAUAGAAAAUUAUCAUUUUGCCCUUUUAAAAUUUAUUAAAAGGUAUUCAAAGUUUAGUUUGAUGGUCAACUAACGAAAUUUUUACAGAAACCAUUGAAAAGAGCCUCACAUGCAACGUUUGAAAAUGUUAGGUAUGAUGGCUGCAACAAAUGAGAGGUUUGGGGAAGUCUGCUAAUGUUUCAAAGGUUUGGGGCUUCAUCUACAAUUAUUAUUUUUUUAAAUCUCAACGUUGUGUAAGGAUCGAUGUUCUUUCUUCAUAAGUCAUCGAAAGCUUUUUAAGGAUUUCGAUUGUACUAUAAGACAAUCAAUAUAGUGAAAAUAUCGUGCUUAUGAUAGAAAGUCUUGCAAUGGAGGAUAUAGAUCAUUGAUUUGGAUGGAACUUACAUAAAUACAUUUUUUUGCAAUUUUUUCUACUCUUUCAUUUACCUUUUUUUUUUUUUUUUGCUUACAUUAUUGUUUGAUUGAUCUAUGUAUUUUAACUUGUUUAAUUUGAGGUCAAAAUUCGAAAAGUUUUAAAAGUCAAUACAUCCCGUUCGCUAGAAAAGUGCAAAAUCGCAAGUGUACCGAUUGCGUUCAAGUAAUAAAGUGAACCUUUUGAGUUCGGAUUGUCGAUCCCUCGAGAAAUAUUUACUUUCAAUUACACAACUUUAACUAAUUUAAUCUAACAAUAAAAAUAAAAACAAUUAAAUUAUGAUUUUGGAAAAGAACUAAAAAUCUACAAAAUAAGAAAAUACAAAAAUCUUUGGAAUUUCAAAAGCAAGUAUGGUUGGGAUUCAUGGUUUCGUCUAAUCUUCGCCUAAUUAAUUUCUCUAAAAUCCAAUUAAUAAAUUGAUCAUUUACAAUAUUAGACCUGAUUUUUCAAUUUUAGUUAGUUAUCUCUCUCGAGCGAAAUUAACCCUAAUUGAUUGGUUUAACAUACUAUAUCUCUAUGUCGAUUAAAACCAAACAACCGUAGUAAAUCUUUGUGAAAAUAGCUCGAUCAUCACCUAGGAUUGAGGGUAUAUCUUUAUCAUCUACACAAAUUUAGGGUUUCUACUAUUUGGUCUAAAAUGUACAAUCUUUUUUAAAACGAUGUACAAAUCACUAAACAUAAUCAUUUGUUGGACACAUAAAUGAAAAAUGCAAUAUUAACAAUAAUAAAAACACUUGAAAAUAAAUAACUUAACAUUAAAGAGCAAAUAUUAAAAUAAAUUAAAAGCUAAAUUAAAUUAAUACCAUAAACUCCAACACAAAUAUUUAGCUCAUAUUAUACAAAUAAUGAAAAGGAGAAUAUUUCAUAAAAAAACAUUGCAAAUAUGAGACAAUAAUGAGGAAAGUACAAAGUGAAGAUACAACCCUUUUUGGAUUUGGAUUCUUGUUACUUUGAUAUUGAUUUUCCCUAACUCUUUCUCCAAAAAUUAUUCUCCUUUGUGUUGUAUAAUUUGCUCCCAAAAACACCAAGAAAUAGGAAAGAUUAAGAAGAGAAAGAGAAGGAAAAUGAAAGAAAAAAAAGGAAAAGAAAACCAGCAAUAAAAAUCGGCCGAAAAGAGAAGGAAGCAGGCCUAGAAUCAAUUCCAACAAUUUGGUUAUUUUAUUGAAACCUAGAGAAAUUGCAACUCAAGUCCUGAAGUUUUAGAAAGUGACACCCAGACCUUUUCUAAAAUCAGAAACGGUGCCUAGGCGCUUGAACGGAGGGAAAGUGACACCUAGGCCUUUUCUAAAAUCAGCUUGAACAGAGGCGCUUGAGCACCGUGUUUCUGUCAGCAGCUAAGAAAAUAUGAAUUUUAUAUCAUUUGCAGCUUAGUCCCUUAGUAAUUGCAUGCCAAGUUCCUCAACUUUGAACUUGUAUAAUUUGGUCCUCAUAUUUUGACUUUAUAUCAAUUUAGCCCUUCAUAAAUUGAAGCCCAAGGUCCUCAACUUUCAACGCUUGUGCACUUUGGUCCCAACUUUACAAUUUUGUACGCUUUUGGUCCUUUUUUUUUUUUUUUUUUUUUCCCUUUUACCUUGUUCUCUUACAUUCAACGAUUUUUACUUAUUUACAAUUUUUUUCGCUUUUUGUCUUUUUUUUUUUUUUUUUUUUUAUCCCUUUUACCUUGUUCUCUUACAUUCAACGAUUUUUACUUACAAAAGCAAUAGUUAUAUAAUUGUGAAUAGAAUUUCAUUCAUUUAAUCAAUAUUUAAGCUUAUUUAGGUAUUAAACGAGUGUGCAAAACAUGUUUAUCAGUUAAUCUUACAUUAUCAAUUGGAAUUAGAGCAAAUUGCUCACAUUGAAAUUAAGAUUUUACAAUCUUAAGUAAUGGCUAACUAUAAUUUUCAAAAUCUCGAAGGACAUUCUAUAAGUCGUCUUCCUUUUUAUAAUGAUACUUAUUAUAACUAUUGGAAGCCUAUAACGAUAAUAUACAUUCAAUCAAUAUAUUAUAAAAAUUUGAAGUUAUUGAGACUUUGUUUGAGCCCCAUUUUGUUGAAAAAUAGAUUUGUAAUAGUAUUUUUGGGAGAAUGUGUGGUUAAAAGGUUAAAAUUUUUUUUUUCGAGAUUACGUGUAAAUUAUUUUAUUUUAAGAAUGUAUGCUUGAAAAUAAGUUUGGAGAAAAAUAAGUUUUGAAAUAAUGGGACUCAAACAGAGGCUGAAUUUGGUGCUUAUGUGCCUAUAAAAUUUAUUAACUUGAUGGUAAAUUGAACCAUAUCAUUUCAAAUCUAGAGAGGAGUAUGUUGAAGAUGAUAAACAAAAAUCAUCUUCAAAUGCAAGAGCAAAAAAUCUACUCUAUCAUACUUUAGUUAAAAUGAAUUUAAUUGUAUUAGUACAUGUGAUUUCACUUAUGAUAUUUUGCAUACUUUGGACGUCAUUCACAUGGGUAAUAGCAAAAUUAAAGAAACUAAGAUCAAUCCCUCGAUUAAAAAUUUCGUUAUGAAACAAAAUGAACGUAUUGUUUAUAUGACUAAUUGUUUUAACGAUAUUGUUUAAUGGUCUCAAACAUUUUGAUCAAAAUUUUACUAAUAGUAAACUUGUGAAUAAAAUGCUUAGGUCUGUCUUGGAAGAUUGUAACUCAUUGAGGAUGUUGAUAAAAAAACACCGAAGAUGUCAACAUAUAUUCAUUGGAGGAGCUUAUGGAACACUAUUGACAUAUAAGCUAAAUCACUUGAAAGGAAGGAAAAAAUAAGAUAAAGAAAAGAAGAGGAAAUGAAGGAGCCUCCUAAGCGACAAUUGCUUUAAAAUUAGUAUUUGAUGAAAGCACUUUGAGCGAAAACUUGAAUGAUUAAGAACUUGAUGAUUAUUUCUUAUUUUCAAGAGAUAGAGGGAUUUUCGCAAACAAUAAAAUGGCAAAGAAAAUAAUAAAAAAAUUAUUUAUUAUGAUUGUGACAAACUUGAUCACAAAAAAAAUCGAAUGUCCUAAUAAGAAGAAUUUUAUUAAAAAAAUAAAAAAUGGAAACACUCCAAGCAACAUGGGAUAAGGGUGAUGAUAAAGACCAUGUAGAAAAUGAGAGUCAAGAAGAAGUUAUCAAUAUAUGCUUCAUGGCUAUUGAAAAUGAGAUACACUCAAAUGAAAAUUCUUUAUAUGAUGAACAUCUUGAAGAAUUUGAAAAUUUUGUUCUCAACAGUUACUCAAAAGAAAAAUUAUUUAUUGAAAAAGGAGGUGACGAAUUUUUUGAAAACACAAAAGGAUUUGAGAAAGUAAAAGUUGAUCACAAUUCUUUAAUUAAAGAAAACUCUUCUUUAAAAGAAAAUAUUUUAGAUUUGACAAAAAUUGUUCACAAAUUCCUCAAGGCAAUAAAAGUUUUGACUUAAUACUUGAUGAGCAAAAAUGCAUUUUCAAUAAAGGAGUACAAACCUUUCUUGAAACAAAAAUCUCUAAAAAAUUUCUUUGUUAAAGUCUCUACCUCUCAUCUUCCUAAUGUUAUAUGUACUUUUACAUUAGAGAUAGACAUGUAGCUUUUGAUUGUUCAAUAAAAAAUGGGGGUUACACUUUGAAAGCAAACACAAGUGGAUUCCAUGGUCCACAAACACCAAGGACCUAAAAUUGUAUAGGUACCUAAGAUCAAAAAUUAAAUUAUUUCUUGUAGAUACCAAAGAAAAUAAGAACAAAUGGUUUUUGCAUAGUGGAUACUCAAAGAAUGUGACUAGAGAUCAAAGUUUAUUCUCAAGCUUCAAAAUGAAGGAUAGGUGUUAUGUCAUUUUUGGAGAUAAUGCCAAAGAAAAAAUCAGUAGCAUUGAAAAUAUUGGUAAUUAUUCAUAUGAUUUUAUUUAAAAUAUUCUUCUUGUUGAUAACCUUAAACAUAACUUGCUUAGUAUUAGUCAAUUAUGUGAUAAAGGUUAUCAUAUCAAAUUUAGUUCUUCCAAGUGCCUUAGAAAUUUGCUACAUCAAGAGAAAUUAUAUUUAUAGGAAGCUAUUAUGUCAUAAACAUUGAAUUUGAAAGAAAUGUAAAGUGCUUAUCAAGUUUAAAAGAUCGUAAUUGAUUAUGGCAGAAAAGAUUGGGUCAUGUUAGCAUGGACCUACUGUAAAAAAAAUUCAAAAAUGCUUGUUAAAGGUCUGUCAAAAUUAAAUUUGAAAAAGAUAAAAUUGUGAGAUAUGUCAAUUUGGAAAACAAGUAAAGAGUUCUAUCAAUCUAAAGAAACAUUCUUCAACUGCAAAAUAUUUACAACUUCUCUACAUAGAUCUUUUUGGACCAUCUAAAACUAUAUGCUUAAAUAGUAAAAACUAUACAUUCGUCAUUGUUUACAACUUUUCUAAGUUUACUUGGAUCUUAUUUUUGAACUUACAAGAUGAAACUAUGAAUGUUUUUAAGCAUAUUUGUAAAAAUGUUCAAAAUGAAAAGGAAUAUACUAUCACUACAAUUAGGAGUAAUCACGGUGGAGAAUUUGACAAUAUUGCAUUUUAUAAUUUUUGUAAAAUUAAUGGCUAUGAACAAAAUUUUCAAUUCCCAGAACUCUUUAGCAAAAUAGUGUAGUAAAAAGAAAUAAUAACUCAUUACAAGAAAUGGUUUGAACUAUGCUAAAUGAAAAUAGUUUACCAAAAUAUUUUUAUGCCCACACCAUCAACACGACAUGUUACACUGUGAAUAGAGUUUUGGUUGGUCAAUAAAAACAAAAACUCCAUAUGAGUUUUGAAAAAAUAAAGUUCUCAACAUUAGUUAUUUUAAAGUAUUUGGGCAUAAAUUUUUUAUUUUAGAAACAAAAGAAAUUUUGAGAAAAUUUUAUCCAAAAUCCAAUAUUUGAAUCUUUCUUAGAUAUUCAUCUAUUAGCAAGACUUACAUAGUUUUUAACCAAAGAACUUUAAUUGUUAAAGAAUCCAUGCAUAUAAUUUAUGAUGAAGUUAGUCCUCUUAAUCAAGAAAAAGGUAUUGAUAAUAACGUAGGUUUAGAGAUUCCUUUUGAGCAAAUGAACAUUCAAAAUCAAAAAACGAAGAUCCUAAAAUGUUUGAGAUCAAUACGAGAAAAAAGCAAAUGUGCAACAAGUUGAGGUGAAAUCUCCUAUAGUAAAAAAUAAUUCAUCUCUACCUAAGGAAUGGAAGUUUGUUUUUUCUCAUUCAAAAUAGCUUAUCAUUGGUGACCCAUCCAAAGGUGUAACUCGAGUUUGAACCAAAGAAUUUCAAAGAAUUGAGUUUGGUGAAUUUUGGGUUCUAGUUAUGUAAGAUGAAUUAAAUCAAUUUCAAAGAAAUUAUGUUUGAGAUUUAGUAGCUAGGCCAAGUAGUCAAAUCGCUAUCGGUAUAAAAUGGAUUUUUUUUGAAAUAAAUGAGAUGAAAACAGUAUAAUUAUGCUUAAUAAGUCUUAGUGGUUCAAUAUUACAAUCAAGAAGAAGGUGUUGAUUUUGAAGAAACUUUUGCACCAACAGCUAAAUUAAAAUUCAUAUGCAUGCUUUUGUUUGUCAUAAAAAGAUUCACUUGUUAUCAAAUGGAUGUCAAAGGUACAUCUAAAUGGUUUCAUUAAAGAAGAAAUAUUUGUUGAACAACUUCCCCAUUCAACAAUCACAAGCAUCUGGAUAGUGUUUUUAAGUUAAGAAAAGCUCAUUAUGGCUUAAAGUAAACUCGUAGAGCAUGUUAUGAAAGAUUAAGCAAAUUUCUUAUAUUAAAUUGUUUUAUAAUGGAAAAAGUGGAUACUACAGUUUUUAUCAAAACUAAAAAGAAUGAUAUAUUUACUGUCCAAAUUUAUAUUUAUAAUACUAUUUUUUGUGCUACAAACAUUUCACUUUGUGAAGAGUUUUCAAAUUGUAAGAGCAGGGAAUUUGGAAUGAACAUGACAGGGGAGCUCAAGUUCUUCCUUGGACUUCAAAUCAAACAAAUUAAUGAUGGAAUCAUCAUUAGUCAAACAAAGUACAUCAUGAAUAUGCUCAAAAAAUUUGAAAUGGAAGAGGUGAUACCAGUGAUACUCCAACGAGUUCAUCAAUCAUAUUGGGCAUUGAUGAUCAAGGUACUUCCAUAGAUAACAAAAUAUCGAGGAAUGGUCAAAUCUCUUCUUUAUUUAAUCCCUAGUAGACCUGAUAUUAUGCUUGGUGUAUGUUUAUAACAAGAUUUCAAUCAAAUCCUAUGUAUUCACAUCUUAAUGUCAUUGAACAAAUUUUUAGAUUAAAUAAACGUUAAGUGAUUACCAAAACUUGUCUAAAUCUCUUCUUGCAUUCUCGAACCAAGCUGAAUGAGAGUAGGCAUCACUUUCUAAGAAAUCAUGUACAAAAGGUGAUAUUGUUCUAGAAUUUAUGAAUACGGAAAAAUAAAUAGCCAACAUUCUUACUAACAUAAGAGGUUUGUGCACAAUGACUUCGAAAUACGUGGCUAAAAUUGAAUCUGUACUAUUUGCAUUUAUAUGACUAAUAUUAUGAAUAUGAUAUGAUGAUGAUUGAUUCAAAUUUAUAUGUUGAAAUACAUGACAAAAAUCAUUGCCUAAUUUUUUUAGUUCAUUCAAUUCUCUCAAAAUCCUGAUCAGUUAAGAAUUCAAUCGAUAGGUUGAGCAUGCAGACAACCUACUGUCUCAUCCAAAUUGGCAUAACCUUUUUUUCAUUUUUUGAUUUUCAUCGAAUGAUCAUUGGACGUUCGGUCAUAUUAUCCGAAUGGAUAGAAACAUUUGUCCAAUUUUCAUCCAUUAAACCCUUCACAAUCCUCCUCUGGGAGAUCAUCCAAACUCUAGCUUUUCAAAUCCGAUUGUACACUAUGACUCGACUAAAGAUGCCUAGAAAGCAUUCAAGGAGAAGUGAGAGGGAAUCGACUCCGCCAUCUGACGAAGAAAAUCCCCCAUUGUCGAAAACUAGAUUUGACGAAUGCUCAAUUCUUAUUGGUAAGCCCUUAUAUUUCACAUCGUUUACUUUCAGUGCUCCAUCAUUUCAAAUUGAGAGAUAAUUUAUGAGAAUGGAUUGGGUUUCUAUUGCUACGUUGCAAGAAAUAACCUAGCCAAUCUUAUCAAAGAAUUUUACAAAAACAUGAACUUUAUUCCAAGAAUGGGUAUAACUUGUUUUCCUAAGGGAAAGAGUAUAAAAAACACUAGGAGCCUCAUUAGGAUGUUUAUUGUGCUUUAGGAAUGUGAAAAUAGAGGAUAUUAUCAUAUGACUCCUCAUUUUGAGAGUUAUAAUCCGGUCGAAGCUUGUAGUAGAAUUAUCAGUACACCUUUCAAAAUGCCAUAAAACAUAGUUCAAAUUAACUCACUCUACUUUGCCAAGUUUUACACAACAUUAUUGUUCAUUUCAUCGUUCCUACAAAAUGUCAUCUAGAUGACGUUAAUCUUUUUGACCUAUUUUUUGUUGACUUGUUCAUGAUUGGAUGUAAAAUUGAUUUUCCCUCAUUGUCAUGAGUCACAUGAAUAAUGCCUAUUCAACCUUUAGUGUUCUUGCUUUACCUUAUUGCAUGAUUCUUGCAAAGAUUUUUCAAUAUUUUACUGUACCUUUGAGCGGUGAGGUUUUCGUUGGCCAACGUCGUACCAAAACUAUUGAUGUUAGCACCCCUGGAAGAAUGAAAUUUUGAAAGAACUAGGGCAAUGGGUGGCAAACACAAAGGUGUUUGAUAUGCUACUUUAACGUUUGAAGGUGAUGAAGCAAUGGAAGGUGAUAAAAACAAAGAAGAUGCAACAUUAAUUCAUCCUAUUCUGAACACUCCUCCUGACAUCCUGAGCUCAAGUAACCUACCUCCUUCCUUCAAUUUCACAUUAACAAAAGAUCACUAUAAUUUAUUGCAUGAUCAUAUUGUUUCUCUCAUUUCCACCAUUGAGGGUUUGCAAAAUUGUGCAUGGUCUACAAAAUUUGAUGGAUGGGUUAGCUACUUUGCUUAAGCAAGUGCUUGCAUCCCCAUAAGACUUAAAUGCUUAUUUUGAUUCGGCCUUUACUCCUCCAUCUACACUGAAUCACAUGAUUUUCGUUUAGUAUUCUUUUUUCUUUUUUGGCAUUUUCCAUUUCAAGCUUGAUGUAUUUUGGAGCCAUUUUUAUGGUCCUUAAACUAUGAUUAUGCUUUUGACCUUCAUCACUUAUGUUUUGACAAGUAUUUUUGCUAUGAAUGUGAUGAGUAUUGAUAUUUUUGGAUUCGUGUAUGUUUUUGCAAGUACAAGUGUUUAAUUUAGGGUGAAUAUUAUUAUUCUAUAUGUUCCGUUGUUGUUUGAUCAUUAACGUUGAAUUUUUGCUCUCAUAUGCUUUACCUUUUUUUUUUAUGCCAAAUGUCAGAAAAUGGGUGAUUUACAAUAUUCUUUAAAUUGAUAAUGUGAUAAUUGCAAGAUUACACUUCAAAAUAGUGAUAUUGCAUUUUUGGCAAAGAAAAUAAUAGUUUGUAAAAGAUAGUGGGAAUAUACGUCAAAAAUUGAGCAUUUUAUUCCUUAUCAAUUAUUGAUCUUACUUUACAAAUUAUUGUCAUAAUAAAAACUAAGGAAAUGGUUGACCACUUGACCUAUAAUUGAAUUUACCUUAAAGUUUUGAUUAUAAAAAACAAGUUAAUCUUAUUUACUAACAAUUGAUUUAAAGUGAUCAUAGUCUUCAAAGCAUUCAAUGAUAAAUCAAUCAUCAUCAAAAGAUCAAGAUCAAUACUAUCAUUACAAAUCAGACUCUCCAAGAAGAUCAAGAUCGAAGCCACGUCUUCCAAGCAUUCAAGACAAUAUCUUUCAAGAAGAGAGCUUAAGAGCCAAAUUUAGAAAAGAUCAAAUACUAAGCAUAACACAAAAUGUAAAGGUACUAACGCUUCGAUCUUUGACAAUCGUUGAUCAAAGUUCAAAACUAUUGUAUGCAGUACAUUACUUUGACAUCACUUGCUUAAAAUAUUUUAAUUAGGUUGAAUUUGAUUUUCAUCGUUUAUCUUUUUAAAAAUCAACAUUUGAUAUAAAUAAUAUUUGAACUUAUAUUUUAUAUUUACAAUAUCAUUUAACCUUGAAAAGCUAGUUGUUCCAAAAGUUCAAGUUUUUCAAAGUGAUUCGGAUCAGGCCGAAUCGGACGGUCGUUUGACAGACCAAUUCAUGGUUCGGUCGACUAAAUUCCAAAGGUUUAAAAUUUAAACGUUCUAAUUUUUGACCAUGUACUUUGCAACCCCUACACUUUUGGGUCGUUCGAACUUACACUGAAUGACUGAACCCUCUUUCGAAUUGCCAGAAAGUUAUGCAAUUAAUUAUCUAUAAAUCGAUUCUCUUUUACAAACAAUAAUAUGUCGUUGAAAGUAGAUUAUUGUACGAAAUAUUUUGAGCCAAUAUUUCUUCUACAACUUCAUUUUGAAAAUCUUUGUUGAUUGAAUAUAAAAUUUAAGAAAUCAUCUUCAUUGAAGCUUUUUACCUAACAUUUGAGCUAUCAUUUAUUGUUACUUAUUAAAAUGUUACUCUCUCUUGGGACUCGAUUUAUUUCUUUCAAUUAUUAAGAGAAGUUUAAUUGUAAAACUAUUUUCAUCAAACAUUUGGAUCAUAUUGAGGCCCCUUAAAAUGUCAAUGUUGUAUAAGGAUUGAUACUCUUGAUUUGUAAGCUAUUGGAAGCAUAAGUCAAGUAAUAUAGUGGAAAGACCUUACUCGUGACAGAGAUGUUGAUAAUAAAAGAUGUAUAUCAUAGGUUGGGAACGAACCUUCAUAAAUACAUUGUUUGCAAUUUUCUCUACUAAAUCAUGUAUAUUUAUCUUGCUUACAAUUUUGGUUGAUAUACACGUCUUUAACUUACCUAAUUUGAGAUUAAAAUUUAAAAAAAAAAGUUUCAAAAACUAAUUUACCCCUAUCGUGGUCAGUUAUUCAUAGAUUAUCAUAAUUUUGAUCCAAAUGAAUUGUUCCUGAGCAUCAACUUUGUAGCAACCCAGUGAGUUUCACUUAUAUUUGUCAUAAACUUGCUGUAGAUACUUACUGCCGAAUCCGAACUUGUACAAACCAUUGAUACAUAAUAGAGCCAACAGUAUUAGCAUAUGAUAUUUUACAUAUCAACUUCAACAAUUUUAGAUGAUUUUUUACUUGAAAGUUUAAAAUGGUUAACUACAGAAUAACAAGCUUAGUAUAAUUCUUGGAAAACUUUUCUAAAACCUUGGUAACAUAUUAAAAUUAAUUCAUAUAAAGAAUGCAGUUUUCCUAUAUAUUUUAAUUUCCAUGCCCAAAAUUCUUUUCUUCUUGUCCUAAAACUUUUGUUUUAAAGUAAUGUUUCAAUUUUGAUUUUAUACCAUCAAUUUCUUUUCUAUCAUGGAAUGCCAACUUUAUAUCAUCAACAAAUAAAAGCGAAUUGAUGAAUUUACUAACACCUGUACCUUUAUAGAAAAGACAUGAAUUAAAAUUGUUAUGAUGCGAACCCGAUUAACAAAGUCGCUAUCAAACCCACAUGAAUUGACACCGGAUCCCAAGAACACCCAAAUACGACCAAGGUUUACGAAUCGACCCGCAAAAGUAAACCAAGCAACCGAACUUAUACGAAACGAACAACCUCUUAAUCACACAAUCUUGAAAUCUCAUCCGGAUUUGUAGAUUUGAAUUCCGAAAUAGUGAAUUAAGCAACCAAAGGUAUAUUAAACCAAUGACCUCUUAAUUACACUAACGAAAUCGCACCCGGUAAUUUUGAAUGCCACAAGGAAAUUAAUCCUUUGAUAAGUUCAACCCGUUCAUUGAAGAACAAAGUUUGAAAGGAGAAAAUCUCAAUUAUUCAUUAUCAAAAGUCUUGUAUUACAAUGUAAAAAAAUAAAUAUAUUUAUACUAAAACCUAGAAUAAAGUUUAAAUGGAAUAAAAUUCUAGAAUAUCUAGAAAUCUAUUAAAAUCGGAAAUAGAGUCCUAAAAUAUCUAAAUUACCAAAAAUAAGAAAUUAGACCAAAAUAAAACUUCUCCAGAUCACAUCAGACCCUCUCUCUUCAAGAGGAUUCGUUCUCGAAUCCUGAUCCAAGUUAUAGCUUUUACUUUCAAUCAACUCAAGCACAUGAAAUGGCCCAUCACCUCUCGGAUGCAAUUUGGACCUCUUUUGAUAUCGAACUCUCCUCUUUUGAAUAUAGACCCAAUCACCCUUACACAGAUCAAAGUGUGUACACCUUGACGGUUUCUUUUUGCCAUUUUGUGAUGCUCCAAGAAUGUUUUCAGCUAAUAAAUCACUGUUCAUUUUCCACGCUUUACUCUGCCCAGGUGAUGUUGACAAUAUUACUUCCACUGGAUGCAUGUUUCCCAACAUAUCGACUUUGUAGCUCAACUCCUUGCAUAUUAAUUCCUUCCAUUGCUUUUGAAAUUCAUUUGUCUCCUUGGGGAUAACAAAAUUAAUCUUCGGUAAUAUAGUGAUUUCCAAACUAGGAUGUGAUUGUUGUUGAAUUGUAUCCACCAUUUGGUAAUUAAUGCCUUGAUUGUAAGGGAUUCCAAUCUGAUUAAUUUCUGGAAUCAAAUCUUCGUUAACCUGCAAAAUAGAAUUAGCAAAAAUAGGGAGGGAAAUGUUAGUAUUCACCAACGCCUUCUCAAUUUUAACCUCCUCUUCAUGCAACUUCACUCUCAACUCCUCAUUUACCUCCAAAGACUCUUCUUCACUUUCAUCCUAUGACACCACUUCCAUUUUAACCAUUUCACCAUUUUCAAUUUCACCCCCGACUUUCUUUUCACUCACUUGUGGCUCCUCUUCUUUUUCCUCACAAACUACCACCUCAAUAUUUUCAUGUUUUUUUCUCUUGCUCCUUUCGUUCUUUCGGAUGAUCAAUUUGAGACCUAAUAAUGUCGAGAAUAUCGAAGAAUUUCUAUUUAUAAUCCACCCGAGUCCUCUUGCUUGAUGUACUACCCGCUAGGCCGGGGAAAAUCUCCAAAACCGAGCCCAACGGUUCUUGUCAAAUUAAAUACCUGAACGAGUAUUUGAAUUGAGAACCGACGGGUACGAUUUGGUUCUCGAUUCUAGACUAAGAACUGAAGAACCGAAUAAAAAUCGAAUCUUUUUAAUUUUUUUUUAUAUUGAGUAAAUCAAAUUAAUUUAAUUUUAAUUUUUCUAAACAAAUUAACAAAUUAACGAUUUCUAAAUCCAAAUUUUUGGCCCAAUAAUUUGUUUCAUUUCUAACUUUUUAAUUUUUGACCCAAUUACCAAUUUUAUUAUUUCAUUUCUUAGUCAAACAAGAUCAAAUCCACUAAAUAACCCUAAACACCUAUACUAAAGUGCAUAACAUUGUCUCGACUCUCGCACUCACUUUCCCAGCCUCGCUAAUAUUCCAAAACAUAUACAAUCGUCGACAAACACUGUGAUCUCCGCCGAUCGAAACUUUGAUCGUAGCGAUCAUUUGAACAAGGUAGUUUACUAGUCUCUGACAUUUCAAAACCAUUGAAUGUAUCAUUAGUUGUAUUUAUAUAAUGUUGUUAUAAAUGUUAAAAAAUUUAAUUAUAGUACAGAACCGAACGGAACUGAACCGAACCGAACCAAACCCGAACGGUUCCAUAAUUAUAUUUGGAUCCAACGGUUCCAUUUACUAGAUACCCGAAAAUUUUGGUUAGGUUCGGUUCUCUUUAGAAUCGAGCCGAUCCAACCUACGCCCACCCCUACUACCCGCACACUUCGCACUAAGUGUUUUCAUUUCCACUCGAUAAUUAUCCCCAUAGCAUCUCCUAGGUUUCUCCCUAAAUUUGACUUCUCGCCAAUCUCUCUAAUAAUAAUUUGUAUCCCUUCUCCCAUGUCUAUCGCCUCUAUUUCUCGAUUCCCAUACUUCAUCAAUGCCACAACCAUAUCCAUAUGCAUCACAAAUUUUCAUCCUAGGUUCCCGUCUCCUCACACUGCACCCCUCAUCACAUUGAUCCCUAUGAAUUUUUUUUCAAUUUUGCAUCCAUCAUAUCCAUCUUAUUCCACAUCUUCUCAAAUCUCUGAAUAAAAUUUUCCGACAUUUUUUUUCUUUUUUUGACUCUUUUUUUUUUUUACUUUUUUUCUCAAAAAUUUUUUCCAAGUAUUGUACGGACGUGAAUGGUACCUCGUGAAACAGUAAAUUUUUUUUUUUUUUUGAAAACUUGACGACGAAUCAAAGACUCAAAAAAAUUGAAAAAUUACAAGAACUCAAAAAUAACAAAACAAAGACUCAAUAAAAUAAAAUAAAAACUGGAUAUAACCUUGAUUUUGGUGUCUUAACUCUGAUACCAUAUGAUACGAACCCGGUUAACAAGGUCGUUAUCGAACCCACAGGAAUUGACACCGGAUCCCAAGAAUGCCCAAAUAUGACCAAGGUUUAGAAAUCGACCCGCAAAAGUGAACCAAGCAACCGACCGUAUAUGAAACGAACGACCUCUUAAUCACACAAUCUUGAAAUCUUAUCCGGAUUUGAAUUCCGAAAUAGUGAAUUAAGCAAAUAUUAAAUCAAUGACCUCUUAAUUACACAAUAACGAAAUUGCACCCAAUAAUUUUGAACGCCACAAGGAAAUUAAUCAUUUGAUAAGUUCGACCCGUUCAUUGAAGAAAAAAGUUUGAAAGGAAAAAAUCUCAAUAAUUCAUUAUCAAAAGUCUUGUAUUACAAUGUAGAAAAAUAAAGCUAUUUUUACUAAAACCUAGAAUAAAGUUUAAAUAGAAUAAAAUUUUAGAAUAUCUAGAAAUCUAUUAAAAUCGGAAAUAGAAUCCUAAAAUAUCUAAAUUACCAAAAAUAAGAAAUUGGACCAAAAUAAAACUUCUCCACAUCACAUCAUGUUGUUUCUAAAUCCCUAGCCUUUGAUAUAAAUAUUAAUUUUUUUACCAUUGCCUUGAUGCCUGCUCUAAACCAUAGAGGUUUCUUUAACAAGCAAACUUUUUUCAGUUUGCAACUUAGAGCUAAUAGCUUCUUCAUAAGUACUUGAUUCUGUACAAAAGGAUCCAAAACUAAAAAUAAUAACAAAGUCAUCACUGUUCAUUCUAGAUGAAGGAAACCUAUGUCUUUUACAUCUAUCUCUUGCAAUUGAUAAUCAGCUAAGUCUCAGUUUGAACUUCAACUUUUUCAAUAUUAGACUCAACCUGAUUUACUCUAGUUUGAGGUAUCUCCACCUCAAAUUGAACCCCAUAACCAUUGUCAUCAAGAUUUUGAGAUUUUAAGACAGUUUCUUUGCUUAUCUAUCUUAUUUCAGAAAUUGAGACACUAAUACUCAAACAGGGCUUCAACUCGUCUAUAAAAAUUGUAUUUCUACAUAUAAUAACUUAAAAAAAAAUUGUUAUUUAACCCACAAUCUAAAGGAUCUUGGCACUAGUUUUCCCUCACUUUGGUAUGGGUGGGCAACACAUUCAAACAUGGCUGACUCUGAAAAUUUUGAGGGCCAAGGCAACGAAAUAUUAUGAGGCCCCUUAAAAAAUAUAUUUUACCAACGUAGUAAUCUCUUUAGCGUCAAGAGAAAAUUAUGCCACACACCUACUUUUAAUAAAUAUUUCUGAUUUCAACAUUUUUUAACCAUAUAUACUGUUUCUAUAUAGUAAAAAGGAAUGGGAAAAAGUAACCAAAUAAUCAGCUAUUCAUUACCUACCUAAUAUUACUCCAACAAACACGCCCUUAUUAUGUCAAAUUACAAAACAAAUCCCAAAAUUAGUGCUCUUUUAUAUUCCACAUCCAAAAUCCCUAAGUUAUAUUAGAACAUACAUAGUGAUAUAGCGAAAAUCUUGACAAUAUUUCGUCAAACAAUGUGUGUAUCGAUCGCUUUAGAAGAUUAAUAUGGUUUAGCAUUUGUGUUUUCAAUGUGGUAAUAUUUUCUGUAUUUGGAUCGACAUGUAAUGAAUGUGUACGUUCAUCACACUUUUUUUUUUUUUUUUCAUAUAACUAAAUUCUGUUUAUGGAAGGACUAGAAUGAGAAUUGAAAUUUACAUCAGUUACAAAUUUUGGUUUGAGCUUUAAUUUUGGGAGCUAGUAUUUUAAAUAUAAUUAACCAUCGAACUAAUAUUUUAGUUAAUAUUAUCAUGACAUAGUAAGAUGUGAAUUAAUAUCUUGUUUUGAUGUAUAUGUGAAUUUUUCCAUUAGCAUCAAUGAUGGUUGAUUCAAACACAAUUUUUUGUGAUAAAAAGCAUUGAGCUCAUGACACUCACUCACCAUUUGAUAUGUUCAAGAAUCAAAUUUAACAUUCAAGAAAUAGAACUAAAGUCUUCUGAAAACUCUUGAGGCAUGUGCAGGGACGGAUCCAGGAUUGGAUCCAAGAUCGGACUACAAAAUUUCAAGCCGGGCUACUAUGUGGAAAAAAAAUUUUUACACAUAAAAAGCUAGUUUUUCACCAAAAAAAUAAAAAUAAAAAAUACCUUCAAAAAAGCUAUUGGGCCCCUAAAUCUGUCUUUGGACAUGUGAGUGGUGACGACCAUUUAUUACCUAAAUUUUUCUAUAUUAAAAAGAAAUAAAAAUUGUAAAGAAGCAAUCAAAUCUACAAAGUAAAAAAUAACCUUGAAUAAUUACACCAAAAAAAUUCAUUACUGGGUAGUGGGAUAACCUUUCUUUUAUUUGCACCACUACAUCUUCAAGCAAAUAUUUAAUGUAAGAAUUCCAUGAAUUUUGUACAAUAUAUACUAAUUUUGGACUUUGAUUUUUUUUUUUUAGGCCCCUUAUAUUUUGAUGCCCAAGGCCACACUGCCUUGGUGGCCUUGGGCCAGAACCAACUUUGCAUAUAAAACCUCUAAGUCUUAAGUUAUUUACAAGUUUUUAGAACAAACCAGUUCAGGUAUUUUAAAGUUAAUAUAUCUAGAUGGACUCAUGUUAUCCCCAAAAUAAUUUUGGAAGACCUAUGUUGAAAAUUUAUGAAACUUAUAAAUCAUAUCAACUUAUAAGUGGUACUUUUGGUGUAGGAAUAAAAUAUUGACAAUAAACCAUGUCAAACAAUAAACCUAUAUUUGGAUCGAUUUAUUGUUCACAUAAAACAAAUCUUUAUAAUUAUCAAACAUUAGGAAGGUUGUGUGUAUGUACUUUUGGUGUGCAUGUAAUUCUGUCAAAUAUUUACCUUCAUUUGAGCUAGUAUAUAUCCGCAUGAAUUACGCACAUAUGAUCUUCAUAAUAUUUCAAAUAAAUUCAUCCAGACAGGUGAGGUUACUUUGGUAACACGUUGUUUCACUUAAUCUAUUUUAGAAAAUUAGUAAGUCGAAAUAAACCUUAGUACCAAGAUUUGAAAUUUAAUUGUUUUAAUCAAGAAAGAAAAAAAAAUGGAAAAUCAACACUGCAACGCCCAGAUAUGGGCAUCAUGACGCUGCCUCGAUAUCAUCAGCAAUGAUAGGGCGUUGUAAUAUCCAAUUUGGGAGCCGCAACCCACUAUGCAGAACUACGGCACUAGAAGACUAAUGCUGCGACGCUGCUCACUUUUCCUGGCCGAAACGUAGCGCAACAGUGAUGGAGAUUCAACGUCGCAACGCUGCCCGUGCUACUGCGCACCCGUAACACAGUACCACGACUUCCAAACACAGCACUGCAGUGUAGCGAUGAUUCCUUAAUUUUGAAAAAUUCCAAAACAUUUUGAAUUUUGAAAUUUAUGGCUUGAAAUUCACAUUCCAAAAUUUAGAGAUCAAAAUUAUACACUCUAAAAUUCUUCUUUUAAUUUCAAUGAUUUAACAUAGAUUGGCUCUGAUAUUACUGAUUUAAACUUUAUAAAAUUUAAUGAAUUUCCAAAAAUCUCCAUAUCAAAUCACCAAGAAAAUCAAUUAAUGCGGAACAUUUUUUAAUCCAUUGAUCUUAAUCGGCUUCUUGCUUUUAAUCUGAUUGCCUUGUUGAAGAUAAUUACUUCAAUCCUUCUUCUUGAUUCUUGAUCUUAAUUGUGGAUUUUGGAUCUUUCUUUUUAAUAUAUUUUUCGUUUAUUCUUGUGUUGAUUGGACGACAUAAAGAAUAAGAAUCAUAUAUGAAUUAGGGCCCAUAACCCCAGGAUUUCGCCCAUCACGAAGGACAAUUCUAAUAUAUCCGAUCUCUACACAUAUGUAGGCCCAUACUUUAUUUUAGAUGCUCAUAGCCCCUAGCUUUAGUUAAUUAUUAGAUCUCUUUAAAAUGGUUUAACUUUAAGAUAAUCUUUAUACAUAAUUAAUUAAAUAUGUAGGCCUACAUGAUAAAUUAAUAAUUUUCCAACAUCCUAAAGCUAGAAUCAUGCAUAUGACUUUAUCUAGUAAAGUUUUAUUUAUCAUUUCUGCCACACCACUUCCUUUUGGCGUUUAUAUGACAGUGUUAUGUCUUAAUAUGUCCCACUCUUUAUAGAAAAGAUCAAACUCAAGAUUGUACAAUCCAACCCAUUGUUAAAAGGUUGAACCCCAACCUUAAGGGUCUUCCACCGCCUUUGCUCUGGAGUAUUGUGAGGGAGGUAAAUCGCAGGUUAUGCCUCCAAGGGUACAUGGUGGAAGGCUGCUUGUACACUUGCACUUACCCAAGAGCCAAAUCCAUAUUUCAGGAUUCGAACCCUUGACGCAGCAGCCUCAAGCAAAGCUGAAUUUUUCCACCCUCCCCUUUUACCACUUGGAGAUGUGCCGUGGGGGCAAUCCAACCCAUUGUUUGUUUUGAGAACAUUGGUUUUAUAUUAAGAUCUUCCAUUGUUUGAAAUUUCAAGAGGUGUCAGAUUUUGAAGAAAGGUUCAAAUUUUUCUUGAAAAAUCAUGUGAAAUCAAUAGAUAAAAAUCUAUACCCACUAAGAGUAUUUACAGUUUUUGUUCCUCAAAGAUCAACAUACAGAUAUUCAUGAUAAUAUUGAACUUAUGAAUUCCACUUACAAAAGGCAACGUACUUUGCUUUUCUAUGACACGCUCCUCACGAAAUUUAAUUUGUUCUAUAUUAUGCUUUCUAAAUAUCCUUCUUUUCAAAGUUGGAGUCCCUUAUCAUUUAUAUGGCCAGUCUUUUAUGUCAAAAAAGUGGUCAAGUUUUACACUUGUGGCUACAGUAGUUUUACCUACCAAAGGCUUUGCUUUUACAAUAUCAAUGUCUUAGGUGUAGCUAGUACCUUUAGAGAAUUUAAGAAAAAUUUAGCAAAUUAAAUCCUUCAUAAAUUCUUAUAUCAUAUUCAUCUUCUAAUUUACCCGAAGAGACUAGAUUUCUUCGAAGGUCAUGAACAUAUCUAGCUCCCCUUUUUUUUAUUAGGUAAAUAAAUUUGUAUUGAUCAAAAUUGAGUACAACUGCUCCGGACAUAGAAGUCAAACAUUACAAAAUAUCUAAUGAUCCAAAGCAAAAGACUCAAACCGAAAGUUGUUGCAACUUCAUCUAAUCAAAACUAACCUAAGAUGUUGAACCUCUAUGCAAACGUAGGGUGACCCCCUUCUUGCAUAAUCAUUUCGAUAUCAAGCGGGGGUUAUCCUCUUUUUAUCUUUCUCGACUGCAGCAGUAUGUAGAUCAUCCAUCUUGCCUUCAAGCUUGCCAUUACAUGUUGCCGUCAUCUGUCGUUCUUCUUGAACAUGGCCAUUGGACUUAUUCAUUCUCUUCUUUUUGCUAGCGACCUCAACAAAGGGAUAUUCCAACUCAUCCCUAUUUUCUUGCACUGAUUCUCCACUAGCAUUCUCGCCAUUUCGCCCAACAACGUGCUGGCCAUUUUGUCCGCAACUGUUCUGUCCCUUGUGCACGACCUUUUUCCUGUUGACAACCUCAACAAAUGGGUCGUCAACUAGUUUAGUAAGCUGCCUUUGUUAUGCAUCAAUCUGUUGUAUAUCUUACUGUCUAACGGAACCUGCCCGCUCCAAAUUUACAACAAACUGUCUAUUUUUCCCAGAUUUUGCUGAAAUUCUGUCAGCAAUCUAUCCAUGUAUCCCAUGCUGAUUCUGCUGUGUUUUAGGCUCCACAACUAGGACCUGUUUAGUAUUUGCGCCCCCAGCCUGAUUUAUUAUUGCAGUCUAAUUUUUCGAUGAGCAUAUAGUCGUCUUGUGCACAAACAUUUUACAAAUUCACAAAAUUUAGGCUCAUGCUCAUAUAUUACCUGUUGUACUCUCGACUUCCAUGUAGAUAAAUUCAUUUCAACAAUUCUCACCAACUCUUUAAACGCAUCAACUUCCACGAGCACCCAGGCAUCAGACAAUCUACCUUUGGUAGAUGUGAGCUUGUCCGUGCAAUAAGAUUUCCAAACUCUGAAGCGAUCUUUCCCAAUGCUUUUGAAUUCCAAAAAUCUAAAGGUAAUCCGGGUAAUUUGAUCCAUACUGACAUAAGACUAAUGUCUUCGUCAUCAAAUUCAAAACAACGGGCCACGACCUUUAACAUUAGCUGUCUACCGAACACAAGAUAAGGGCCUCCAUGCAACGCCCUCUAUCUAGCCCUUUAUAAUUACAGAAUGUGACAAUUAUACAGUACAUUUUUCCAAUUUUUCCCAAAAUCGACAACUCAUAUCAUUUCCAUUUUGUACUUGUCGACCAUUUACAUCAACUAAAUCGGUGAACCACUCUCUAACAUGGUACAUAUGAAAGGUGCAACCAAAAUGAAGCACUCAUUUAGAGUUACUUUAGUUGAGGCCACUAAAACCACCCCAUUCAUUUCAUCAUUAUUGUUGCAAGCUGCAGUUCCAUCUAAUUUUACUUUUUCUCUCACAUCAGCUCUUUUUUUUUUUUUUUUUUUUUUAAAAUUAACUUUAAUUUAAUGUUGUGUUUUCCCACAAUAAUAGCAUGUUAAAAUUUCCCUUUGUAAUUUUCAGUGUUAUCAAAGUUGGAUCGAAUCCAAUCAACCAAUUCAACUGAAAAGCUUUGAAACCGGAUGGUGAACAGGUUCGGUUAUGACUUAAAACCCAGCAGACUAAUAACCAAAAAAAAUCCAGACAAAAGCAAGGUUCAACCAAAAUCGUUGACCCGGCAUCAAUUUCUCCAGUUUAAUUGGUUCAUUUUGUUAAGUAAACUAAAAUUUCAAGGCCCAAUGUCGUAAAGAGUUUAAGCCCAAAAUUUAUUGUUCCUUUACCUUAUGCCGGCCAUCUUAUAUUUGCUUGUUUUAUCUUUUGGGAAAAAAAUCAAAAUUAAGAAGUUAAAUAUCACUCAUUUCAAAACUAAGAACAAAUAUUUAAAAUUUGAAAAAUCAAAUAUUUGAUAAAAUUUAUUUAUGAUUUGUUUAAUUAAUUAUAUAUUUUAUUUAUUAAAUAUAUUAAGGUCACGAAUCUAUAAAAUUUGGCAACGGAUCAACGAUUUUGUUAGUCACAUAUUAUUUUGUUCAUAAAUUAGAAUUUUUAUAUAUCACAAAUAUUUUACGAUCACAAUUAAAAAAAUUUUAAAGUCACACAUUAUUUCUUGAUCACAAUUUAUCUUUUUUAUUGGUUAUAUAUUGUUUAUUGGCAAAAAUUAACCAAAUUAAUGGUCACAGUCGACCAAAUAAUUUGUGACUACUAUCAACACUUGCGACCACCAUCUCACCACUACCACCAUUAUCGUCAUCAGAUCUACCACCACCAUCACCUACCAACAGAAACACCACCAUAAAAAAACACCACAACAUCAUUGCGCCAAAUCCACCACUACAAAAAAGAUUAUUAUAGUAACCGCCACGGCCACAGAUCGAGACCCAUCACAUCCGUCACCACCACCCGAAAUGAAAAACGGUGGUCUCAGCCCCCACCACCUCCACCACCACAUUACCAACAAUCUCCCAACUCUACCAUACCAUACCACCAUGACCAACCAAAAAAAUCUCAAACCUACUGUCAUUGCCGCAGCCGCAGCCGCAGCCGCCACCACCACCAACACUGCUACCUCCACCAAUCUACAAUCACAACCAUAGUCAUCGCCACCAUCUCCAUCACAUCCGCCCUCGCCACUGCCACCACCAUAUCACUUGAACCAAAAAUCAUUAAUGCAGCCCCAGCUACUACGUCCACCACCACACCACAAACAGUCCUCCAUCUCUACCACACCACAGAUUCAGUCCUCGUCACCAACACCAUUACACCUUCCCACCAUAUGGUACAUCAUAGUGGCUACGAACAGGAAAAAUCUGCAGGAACAAUAUGUGAUGUAAGCGAUUACCAAUACCAUUACACCUCACCACCACUCGAUCUAUGAUGCAGGCAAUUGGCACACAAAUCAUUGCCAAUGACGGUGAUCGGCCUCGCGCAGCAUUGCUUUGGCAUCUGGUGGCGAUAGUGAACUAAAGAGAAUCGGUUGAAAAUGAAAAAGGAAAUGGAGAUAAGGGUUUAAGGUAUGGGUAUAUAAUUUUUAAGUGAAAAUUACCAAAAUAGUCAAUUUUUUUGCUUUGCAUUUACAAAAAUGUCACAUUUUUUAAGUCUUUACAAGAUUGAUAAUUUUGAAAAAUUUUAGACAUUUUUACCCAUCUAAAUAAUUCAAAUACCCUACAUGUUCUUCAUUAAAAAUUGAUUUGACUAGAUAGAAAAAUAUUACAAAAAACUUUAAAACAUCACAUCAUAUAUAUAUAUAUAUAUAUAUAUCCUCUCAUUCCUUAAAAGAUAAAAGUUCUAUCAUUCUCUCUCUCAUUCCCUAAAUCUAAAUGGCUCAAUUUCCUCUUGCUCAAGGUCAUCGACGACGCUAAAGUCCUCAAUUUUUGUCCAGGCUUGAAGCCAAAUAACCGUUAGUCAAUCCACCAUCAAUGAAAAUCACCAUUAAUCUUUUGAGGUUUAAUUUUUUUUCUUUCUUUUGUAUUUGUUGUUCUCUUCUCCUCUCUUCUGAUUUUUCAAAUUUAAGGGUAUUUAUUUUUUUAUUCUUCACAAAUUUGGUCUGAAUUGGUACAAUAUGUCUCAUUUUUUUGUUGUCUAUUUUUCUAGUGACAUGAAAAUGUUAACGUUUUGGUUUAUGUAAGUUAUCUAUGAAUUUAUUUCUUACAAUUAUGUUUUUCAUUUUUCUUUCCUGUAAAUAAUGGUUAUUGAUCAUUAUUGGACAAAUUGAGUUUGAGUUUGUGAAAUGAGCUAAGAUUGAAUUGGAUAUAUUCUGAUCAACAUGCACAAAUAAGUUCGGUUAAAUGUUUCUUUAUAUGAUUAUUCGGGGUUAUUUGAAUGUUGAUUGAAGUGUUGGAUUAUUAUAUUUUCAUUCUUGAAAAUGUCUUUGCAUUUAUAUAUAAAACUUGUGGUUGAGUAUAUGAAAAGUGGUGCUAUUGGAAGCUAUAAGUAUAACACAUAUCAUGUUUGUAAUAACUUGGCCCUUCAUGUCUUGGAAAGUCAAUAUGAAUGUGAAAUAUGUAAUGUCCAAUCUGUCGACAGACGAACUGUCGUUCUCAACAGUUAGGCUCUGAAAUUCUCGAUAGUUGAUUGCAGAAACCAAAUUUUGUUAAGCUUCCCUUCUAUGUAUGAUUUUAGGGUAUUGAAAUGUAUAGCAUGUCAUUUGAGCACCAUUAUUACUUCAUGAAUUAUAGACAUAACAGUUAUGAAUCCAUCUGUAAAGAGAAACUGUCAUUCUAGAUAGAGAAGUCAUCGACCCAAAAGGUGCUUGCCUGGACUACUGGAGGGUCCAUCAGCUAGCUAGGUGGAGGAGGGGAUUGGUAUGUAUUAUCACUUUAAUUUAAUAAUGCAUUUGUUCCACUAUUUGAAGUUUUUAUCUUUAUGAUUUCAAACAUGGUUGUUUCGUAUGAAAUUACUGACCUGAAAGUUGGUAGCCGAAACUACCGAAAGGUCCAUUGACUAGAUGGGUAAAAUAGGCAAUUAAUAUGUGUUACUACUUUCAGUUUUAAAAAACAAAUAUUAGAAUGUUUUGAUUUCUUAACUUGGCAUUUGACACUUGAUUAUUUCGUAUGAAAGUGUUGAACCAAAAGGUACAUGAUCGGACAGUCGUGAAGUUCCUUAUGCUUGUGGUAGAUGGUAAGUUCCGUAGUAGGAUAGUUAUACAAUGUCAAAUUUUUAUAUUUUACGUUAAAUAUGUUUAGUUGAAGAUAAACGUAUAAUUUCGAUGUUAUACUUCAAAUUUUGGUAGAAUCUGUUAUUUUCUUCCAUUAUUAAAUUUUGGUGCCUAAUACAACUCCAACCACUUUUGCAUAGGAGUAUACACUGAUGUACCACUGGCAUCAACUAUACCCGUUCAAGGUGACGAUGAUGUUAACGCAACUAUGCAACGAUCGACACGUGUUCGAGUGCCCGCUGCAUUGACUAGAACUCCUUUCACAAUGGAGAGUGGAUAGAAAGUCAACCAACAUUAAAUCAAGCAACAUAUCAGAUACAUUGUAGCAGUUAACUAGAGAAAUAGUCACAUAUUCUCAAGGAUAACAUAACAGCUGUUUUAAGUAGUUAAUGACGUGAUAGUAUUUUUGGAUGUAUUUAUUUCACAAUAGAAACGUAUCGUGAUAGUACUUUUGUGUAGCUUUUUACUUUAAAAUAUUUUACAGUUUCUAUUAGUGAUGCGCAUAAAUAUUUUAGUUUGCGAUAACUAUUGCUUAAAUGUUGUGUGCUCCUAGGUGAAAUUCAAUAGUAACAUAGUUGAAUUUAUUAAUUUUGAAACUAUUAUACUUAUGUGUAGACUAUAUUUAUGGUCUCUAGUUUCUAUCAGGAAUUCAUGUGAUAAUGUAUGUACAUAAUGCUGUGUAUUUGAAUAUUUGUUACAUUGAAAUUUUUAGUGUACUUUACUCAAUUGCAAUGAACUGUCGAAAAUUAUUCAUACAAUUUGUCAUGACCAAGUGUCGAGGAUGACAAAAACAAUCCGUCGAGAACGGCAUAUGAACUGUCUGGCUAUCAUGCAAUAUGUUGUUUAUGGAUCUGUAUUUUACUUGUGAAGUUGGACAUAUAUUUGCCUAUCUACAAAUGAUGUGGGAAUGAUGAUGAAGAUGUAAGUUGAAGAUGGUAAUGUAAGUUGAGAAUGUGUUGAGGAACACCGUAAGUUGAAAAUGCCUUUAUGCAAGAUAUGUACACUCCAAUGAAAUCAAUAGGUUAUAAACAUAAUAAAAAUGAAUAAAGAUAACGAAAACGUUAAAUUGUUAAUUUUUUCUAAAGUAAAAAAAGUACUCCACCUCUAAUAUUGUAGUAAAUAAUUCAAUCCAAUUUUGUAAUUUUUAUCCUCAUUUUCUUCAUAGUAAUACGAUUUAACAUUAGUGACAUUUAUCAUUUAUGCGUCAAUUGAGUCCACUAUUUACAACUUACAAACAAUGUGUUUUGUGGGGAUUAAAAUUAGAUUUUUUUAGUGGAUUGUGAUAGUAGUUUUUGAAUGGUGUGGUUGAAUUAUUUUCAACAAUAAUAGAGUUCGAUAAUGAAAACAUAAGGACCAAUAAUGACCGCAAACGAUAAUGACAACAAAGCUAUAAUAUAACUUGAUAAUGUACAACGCAGUAGGGGGAACAUUCGACAUACAACGUCAACAACAACAUUGAGUGGUUGUUUAAGAAACUAGUAUUAUAUUGAGGGUUGAACAAACUUUCCUCUAUGCGACACGAUGAAUCUCAAGUGAUGGCUCAUACCUGAAACGUUAAGAUUGCAAAUGUGAGAAUUUUGUACAUUCCAUAUGUCGACAUUUAUUACCACCAAAUUGGAGCUUUCGAAUAUUUAGAUCCAUAUAAUAGCAAAAAGGAAAAUAUAGGGUUUCAACAGUUUUCAAGUGUCGAAGUCGACAGUUAAAUUAUCUAUCCCGACAGUGAGUAAAUGUCGAGUUUGACAGUUCAAAUGUCUAAACUGCUAUAAAUUUCGGGGAACCUUGAAAACCAUGUAUUUAGUCCUUUGGAAGAAAUUAUUGAAAAUAUUAAUGGUGAUAAUAAAUUCUUAACUACAAUAUUGCAAUAUCUUCCCACAAAUAAAUAAGGAAUGACUCAAUGCUUCAUUAAAUAUGAAAUCUUUCACUUUUUUUUAGAGGAUGUUGGUAUUUUUUCCCUUUGAAAAAUAUAUCAAAAAUAAAAUACAUCAAUGAAUAAAAGAUUCAAAAAGUUCAAUUAAAUAUAACUAUGUUAUAUUAAACAUCUAAAGUAGUAAACUAUGAGAUGAAAAUAUAAAUAAUUUCUAGUAACUCACAUUUGAGAUUGAUCAAUAACUUUCUCUUAUUAAUGAUGGAAUGAAGAUGAAGAUGAAAAAUGUAGGGUUUGUGUUCAUACAUGCUUAUGUAUUUUUUUUAACUUUUCACCCAUUUUUUAACAAAAAAUCAUAUUAUACAAUAUAAUAAUUAUAUUUUAAAUGUUUAAAAUAUAUAAAACAAAUCAUCACAUCACACCAUUGAUUGCAUUCAAAUCAAUCAUUUAUUGCUCCUAAAAAGGUGUCAUAAAGGGUAAAUUGGACAUUUUGAAUAAAAAAAGUGACAUUUUUGGAAGAAAUUUGUGCAAAUGAAAUUUUUUUAUGCAUUUUAAAUUUUAGUGACAUUUAUGUAAAUUUUCUAUAGUUAAUUGAAUUUUAUAAUAUUAUUUUUUAAUAUUGAAAAAUGUAUUAUUAUCUGAUAUUUGUAUAUAUAAACUAGACUUCUGAUUUUUGAAAUGCAAUAUUUAAAAGUAUGUCUCUAUAUAGUUUUCACUUAUCCUUUUCCUUUGCUAAUUUCGAUGUGAGGUUGUAGUUAUACGAAUGGACACCCUUCAAGCCUUUACUCACCUUUGGGAAUAUAAGGAGUGAAAUGUUUUUUUUAUUUGAAAAUUUAUUCCUCAAGAGUCAAACUAAAUUAUUUCCUUUCUUCAAAAGCGUAGUUACAUUUUGACUUUGACAAGUAACUUUUGACUUUUUAGCUACAUAUACUCAUUAAUUUUAAAACAUAACAUAAUUUACUUAAAUUGUUGUGGUAUAUUUGUUUCUUUAUUUAUUAUAGUGGAAAUUACAAAAUGGUCAAUUUUUGACUUUGCAUUUACAAAAAUGUUACUUUUUUAAGUCUUUGUAAGAUUGUUAAUUUUGAACAAUUUUGGACAUUUUUACCCCUCUAGAUAAUUCAAAUACCCUACACGUCUUUCAUUAAAAAUUGAUUUGACUAGAUGGAAAAAUAAUACAAAAAAUUUUCAAACAUCACAUCAAGUGCUCACACACACACACACACACACACACAUAUAUAUAUCAUUUACAUUAUUGCUUUUUGGCCUCUCAUUCAUCGCUUAAAUACAUCUCUUUGGACGAUCGAAGGAUUUGAAGCCCUAACUCAGAAAUUCCUACCUGUAAGAAGAAGAAGAAAAAAUCUGCAAAAGCCGCUUUUGGUGGUGGUCAGCGGCAUAGCGGUGCUAUGCUUCUCAGUGUUUUAUUUCAAGAUCAUGACAACCUUAUUUUUGCCAUCGAGACUGUUCAAUGUUUGGUAAGAUUUAGGAAAUUAGUUGGGGAAUUCUGGAAUGUUAAUUUUAUGAAUUUUAUCAGCUUCUUUUGCUGGAUUUGAAUCAAUCUUUGGUCAAUUGUAGUGUCUGAAAGAUAGGGUUCCUUAUAAUUAUUUUCUUUAAUUCCAAACGGCAAAACUAAUGUGGCAAAAUGGAAAUAUGUUAAAUAUAUAUAGCUAAAAAUAUUCACUGGAAUCUCAAUCUUCUGGCCAAGAAUAUAGCUCAAAAAAGUUCUUUGGGAUCUCAAUCUAGUAACCAACAAUUUUACUGUAAAAUGAGUUUUGCGUUACAAUUUGAUCAUUCUAGCUUGUAGCCAAUUUUAGUUUUUAGGAAAUGUAACAACCAUAUGCAAAAUAUAUAACAUGUAAUGAAUGUGAAUAAUUAGUCAUUGCUAUGAUUAUUGCUGACUGUGUAUUUAUAGCUCCAUUUUAUUAGCUUCUACUUCUUGGGCAACAUAUCUUCUGACAAAGAUUUUUACUAUUGCUUCAUGCACGUGUGCGUUCAUAUGAUAGUGAAAGGUUGUUCGGAUAUGUCCAAGUGCGGGUAAUUCCAUUUUCGUUCUACGAAAUGUCUUUGCAUUGCUUAGAAAUGGUGUCGUAGAUGUCGAACUUCUAUGUCUCAUGUGUACAUUUUAGCAGAUUGCUGAAGUGUGCAAGCUGCUUAAACGUUGUUUUCGACAGUUCAAAUCUGCCAAUCUCGACAGAUAGACAGAAUCUCAGGCAUAUGUUGACAUUAACCGUCGGUAUCGAUAGAUUAACCGUUUAUACUGACAAUUGAUGUUAGUUUUUCGCGACAGUUCACCUCAUUACAAGCAUGAGUUUGAUUCAUUACGUGUUACAUUUCUAUGUUUUACCAUGAUCUAAUCCGUAUUUUUCUCAUUGUACCUUGUAGGAGAAAUGGAGUUUGAAUUCCUCGUUUCGAAAAAUGCUCGGUUGCGGAAGUUGGUCUAAUGUGCUAGAUGUUGGUAUGUUGUUUUUUAGUUUGAAUGUUAUAAUGCGAAAACUGAAGAUCAGCAAUGUAGGGUUAGUGCAUGGUGAAUGUAUGGAUUUUGCAACUAAUAAAUGGUUAUGUACACUAUAAUUUAUUUUGUAAUGAAGGCACGAGCACGUUGUGUAAGAGUUCUUAGUUUACUUGGACCAUAUUUUCUUCUUUCCUGAUCAAUUUCAAAGUCGUUCGUCAAUGAUGAUUAGGUUAAGAUGACUAGCCAUUAAAUUUUUUUCAUUUCACGAAACCAUGUUACAACUAAUUCUCAAGGACGUUAAUGUGAGUUUUUUUUUAUUGGGUUAAGAUGAUGAGCCAUUUUUAUAAUUAUACCAAAGUAAUGACAACCAUUUUCAGCUAAUUUACAAAGUGCAUAAUGUGAGUUGCAGGAAACUUGAAUCCAUUGUUCACGUGAUUUAAGAGUCACAAUAUCCUAAUAAUUAUGUGGAAAUGGGGGAUAAAUGUACAGAUAUUUUAUUGAACCAUCAUACCAACACAUUUAGAUGAGAUUGGAUUUUGUGGUUAGGUAGUAAAUGACAACAAUUGCUUCCUCCCUUCAAGUUGAUUAUAAAUAGCAUGUUGUCAUUGUCAGUUACACAUAAAGCACUUCAUGAGCAUUGAAAGACUUUCAAGUUCUCACAUAUACAAAUCGUUUCAUCAAUUGUAUUACGUCAAUAUAAUGAGUUCGUCCAGAGGAAGCAACGAAACGUUCGAGCCUAUCUAGCCUUUGCCAGUUCUUGGCUCAUCCCAGUUAUUUCCAAUAUACAUUUUCGUAAUAACACUAUUUAAUAUUAGCUGUGUUUAUCAUUUAUGCGUCACUUGAGUCUACCAUUUACAAUUUAGAAACUACAAUUUAGUAGGUGGGGAUUAAAAUUAUCAUUUUGAGUGGAUUGUGAUAAAAGGUUUUGAAGCAGUAGAUUGAAUUAUUUUGAACAAGCAUAGAGUUGGAGGUCCUUUUAUACGUUUUCAACGAAUCAGCAAUUUAAAUUUUUCGACAUGUUUUAUACAUUCCAUAACAGACAGGUAGAUCGAUGUAGUACCAAAAAGGGAAAGGGUCACAACAGUUUUCAGGUAUCCAAAUCGACAAUUAAAUUAUUUAUCCCGGCAAUUAUUAAAUGUCAAAUUCGACAGUUAAAAUGUCUAACACGACGGUUUCAAGGAUACUAUUCGACAGUUGAACUGCCAUAAUUUUCAAAAAAGUUUAAAAACAUGUGUUUGAUUAAUUGGAAGAAAUUAUUGAAAACAUUAAUGGUGAUAAUCAAUUCUCAACUACAAUCUUCCCACAAACAAAGAAGAAAUAACUCAAUACUUCAUUAAAUAUGGAACCCUUCACAUUUUCUAGAGGAUGUUGGUAUUUUUUCCCUUAAAAAUAUAUCAAAAAUAAAACAUACGAAUAAAUAAGAGAUUCAAAAAGUUCAAUUAAAUAUGACCAUGUUGUACUAAAAUUUAAAGUAGUAAACUAUAACAUGAAAAGAUAAUUUUUUUAAUAGUUCACCUUUGAAAUUGAUCAAUAGUUUUUCCUCUUUGAUGAUGGAAUGAAGACGGUGAAGAAGAAGGUAGGAUUUGUAUUCAUAGGUGUUUUUGUGUGUGUGUGUGUGUGUGUGUUUUUUUUUUUUACCCCUUCUUUUAACAAUAAAAAAUAUUAUACAAUAUAAUAUAAAUAUUUAAAAUAAAUAAAACAAAUCAUCACAUCACACAAUUAUUUGCAUUCAAAUCAAACAUUUAUUGCUCCUAAAAAUGUGUCACAAGGGGUAAAAUGGACAUUUCGCAGAAAAAGUGACAUUUUUGGAAGAAAUUGGUGCAAAUGAAUUUUUUUUGUGCAUUUUCAAUUUUAGUGACAUUUAUGUAAAUUCCCCUUUAUUAUAAUUGGUUCAACAUUUUGAUCCUUGACUCUUUAUCUUUUUUCGGGUCAAUGCCGGGAUCGAUUUCCGAAACAUUAAUUUUUUCAAUCACUUUAUUUUCAUCCUUGUUCUUAUUUGAUGAACAUUUUUUUCCUUUUUUUUUUAUAAGAAUUAAAAUUAAAUAAGUUAAAAUUCUUAUUAGUUGAUUUUUCUUUCACAAUUAAUCCCUCACAAGCCUUAAAAUUAGUUCUUUAUUUCUUAAAAUUGAAACAACAAUCUGUUGGGAAAUUUCAUGCCAAUUCCCUUAUUUCUAUUUACCCGCAUGAUCGUUUGUUGUUUAGAAUAAUAUUAGCAAACAAGAAAAAUAAAUAAUAUAACGCACAAACUAAACGGACCAUCAAAGCUUUUCACUAUAUGAAAAAUUGUUACAAUAAUAUAGAAUUUCACUCAACAACCCAAUAUCAAAGUAUUACAAAGAAAAAAAUAAACCCGAGCUUUACCACACUUAUUUUUCUAUCCAAUGUAUGAAAAGUUUCAAGAUACUAGGUUCAUAAUAUUUUUCUCUCAGAUCAACUAUUUGGCUACAUUCAAAAUAAUGAAAUACAUCCACCAUUUAUAGGAUCAAUAACUAAGUAGAAGAGUUUAAUUUAAACUCAAAUAAGACUCCUUUAACUCAACAAGAAUUCUUUCAUGUGCAAGACUCCAAAAUCGACUAUAAAUUAGAGACUAAAUUUUGUAAGAAUUCUGCUCUCAACUUUAAUUAGAAGUCUUCCAUAUAAUAACUAACUUUUAUUAUUUGCAAUAGAAGUCCUCCAAUUUUUGACUUUUGAGACAAUUACCCAACAAAAUCUACAGUUAGUUCGUCUCUUUCAUAUUCUAAGGAAUUUCUAAGUUCUUUGUAUCUAUCUACCUGAGAAUUAAGGAAAGCAACAACAUGUUGAUCGCCUGAAUCAAUUUAGUAAAGCUAUCAAUGUUUUCUUCUAAAUUUGAUGAUGCAUUGAAUCUAAACUUGUAAAAAUUCUUAAGAUAUGACAUUUAUUUGACAUAGAUUUGUCUAUAUAAAGAUUUUUUUCUAAUUUAUUCCACAUUAUAUCAGCACUAGAAGUUCACCUACUUUCUUAAUUACACUAUCUGACAAAUGAAGAAAAUUUGAAUGCCAAGCAAUCUCACGACAUUCCUUUUUCUUGAAGGCAUAAGUUCCUGUUGCCCAAGAUCCAACGAGGACAGAAGCACAUAAUUGUUGUAAUAACAGACCUUUCGUCUUUUGGCCCCUGAUACUAAAGUCUUAACCAGCUUUCAACGCAAGAUCCCAUUCCUUUCAUCUUGCUUUACCUUAUUGUGUGCUUCUUGCAAACAUUUUUCAAUAUUUUAAUGUGUAAGUGUUGAGAUUUUCAUGAGCCAAUGUCAUACCAACACUAUCGAUAUUAGCACCCAUUGAAGAAUGAAAAUUGUGAAAGAACAAGGACAAUCAUUGGCCAACACUAAUGGGUUUGAUACGGACUCGGUGCCCUCUACUUCACAACUUCAAAGUGAAAAAGCAAUGGAAGUCGAUAAAAAAACGAAGAAGAUGCAUCGAUUCCUUCUAUUCCAAGCACUACUCAUGACAUCCCAAGCCCAAGUAACCUACCUUCUUCCUUCAAUUUUAAGUUAAUAUCAUUAGCUGACUCAUGUUUAUUAACUUGUAGUUUUGAAGUUCUCCCCAAAAUUAUUUUGAAGUCAUAAACCUAGAAUCAUGCAUCUCGCUUUAUAUAGUAAAGUUUUAUUUAUCUGUGUCGCCAUUUUGUUGUGGUCUGUAUGUGACAGUCUUAUAUCUUAAUAAGUCCCACUCUUUACAGAAAAAAUCAAACUCAAGAUUGCACAAUCCACACCAUUGUUUGUUCUAAGAGUAUUAAUAUUCUUAAUUGUUUGAUUUUCAAUUAACAUCUUCCAUUAUUUAAACUUUGAAAGUUGUCAGAUUUUGAUUUUAAAAAUUAUCAAAAAUCCGCUCCAAUAUUUGUUCUAAGAAAACUAACUUUCUUAUUUAUUUAUUUUUUAAAUAUAUAUUAAAAUCUUCCGUUUGAAAUUUUGAAAGGUGUUAGAUUAUGAUUUUAAAAUAAAGUUCCAAAAUUUUCUUGAAAAAUCACGUACAAUCAAUAGAUAAAAAUCUAUACCCACUAAAGGUAUUUAAAGUUUCUGGUCCCCAAAUUCAGCAUACAAAUAUUUAAUGCCGGUAUUGGAUUUAUGAAUUCCCCUUAUAAAAUGCAACCUACUUUGCUUUCCUAUAGCAUGCUCCUCACUAAAUUUAAUUUGUUCUAUAUUAUGCUUUCCAAACAUCGGGUUCCCCCACCCCCCCUCCCCUCCAAAUUUGGAGCCCCUUAUCCCUGAUAUGGCCCAAUCUUUUAUGCCAAAUAAAUGAUUUGUCAAAUUUUAAACUAAAGGCUUUGACAUUAUAAAUGUCAUUAAUUUUAGAUGUAGCUAGUACCUUUAGAGAAUUUUUAAAGAAAAUAUCAAAUCCUUCAUGAAUUCUUAUAUUCUAUUCCUCAUCUAAUUUACCCAAGGAGACUAGAUUUCUUUGAAGGUCAUGAACAUAACUAGCCCAUUAUAAUUACAGUGCGACUAUUAUUCAGUAACUGGUUUAUUUUCCAAUUUCUUAAAUUUGACAACUCAUGUUAUUUCAUUUUUGUACUUGUCGACCAUUUAUAUCCACUAAAUCCGUGAACCACUUUCUAACAUGAUACAUAUGAACAGUGCAACCAAAAUGAAGUACUCAUUUAUAGUUGCUUAUAGUUGAGGCCACUAAGACCAUUAAUGUUACAAGCUACAACUAAAAGGUCUAUCCUUAUCUUAUUUUAUCUAUUACAUCAGCUAUUUUUUCUUAAACACUCUUUAAUUAAAUGUCACGCUUUUCCACAAUAAUAUCAUGUUUAAAUUUCCCUUUUUGUUGUAAAAUAAUGAGAUAAUUAUUGAUAAUUAUUUAGUAUUAUGAUGAUACAUAAAUAAAUCUUAUUUAGUCUAGAAGAUUUAUUUCAUUUCAAUUGUAACCCUUAUUUUUGGACCCUAUAAAUAUGGGGUAUUGAUUUUUAAUAAUACACACAAGUUUAUGGACUCAUAUUAUCUCUUCUGUUUUUUCUCUCUAGUUUAUAACACGUUAUAAGCACAAAUCUCUAAAAAUUAAAGCAAAUUAGUUUGAAUAUAGUUUAUAGCCAAUCUCAAAUCGUACAAUUUAUUUUUUUAGCUUAUACGUAUAAUUAACUUGCAUGGAUUGAUUUCCGUCCAAUUAUUUUUUAUUGUCACAUAGCAAAUUGGUUUCUACCUAGUUUUCUUUGUAAUUUUGAAAUCCAAUUGCCAAGUUGUGUAUGUCCAAUCGUCAUAUAGUAGAAUGAGCAAUCAUAAUUAUGCAUAUCCAAUAACCGUAAUCAAUUUUAUUUUUUUUUUAUUUUUUUUGCUUCUUGUUUAUUAUUAAUUAAUUACCUCAUUAUUGUUCUUGUUAAUAUGAGUAUACUUUAUGAGUUUAGUACUCAUAUUUCUAUCUAUUAUAAAAUAUUGUUGCUCCUAAAGUAGCACAUUAAUAUUAAUGUUUUAGUUAGAUUUUACUUGCUCCUGAAUAUCAUAAUUAAGUAAAAUCCAACAUAAAUUAUGUUUUCUCUCAUGAAGAGUAAAUUCUUAAUUUAUUAUUUCAAACAUUAAUCUGUUAUUCCUUCUAAAAAGUAUAACAUUGUGGUUCCAAUAUAUUUCAGAAUAAUGUUAUUCGCAGAUCUGUCUAUUACAAAUAUUUUGCUACUCUUGAAGUAGCACAAUAUUGUAAUUAAUAUUUUAAAAGAAUACUAAUUGCUCUAAAAGAGCAUGAUAUUAUAAUUUUGAUAUCCUAAAAGAACAUUGAUCUAUUGCUCUUAAAAAAUAAUAAUAAAAUAUAAUGUGCUCUCGAAAUAGCGCACAUUCCGAAUAAUAUAUAUCUCAUUGUGUUCCUGAAAAAACAUAAAUUAACAACUCAAUAGUAGAUUGUAAUUUUUUAAAGGAAACUAAUUUUCUAUGUUAUUAAUAUUCAAGAAAAAAUAUUAAUUUAUCGUUCUUGAAGAGUAUGAAUUAUAAUUUUCAAGAUUCCAAAGAAGUAUUAACAUAUUACUCUUGAAGAAGCAAUGAUUAAAGAUAAUUUUAUCUCGAAGUAGCGUAUUUUCAAAAAAUAUAUCAUUUUAAAUUCAUAUUUAUCCUUGAAGGAAAACAUAUAAUUAAUGUCAUAUGGAUAUUGAAUAGUUUGAUUACUUGAAUAAUAUAUGAUUAUAUAAGGUUUAGUCGUAUUUUUCGAAAUUAAAUAAUUAAAUUAUAUCUUAUAUCGAACCAGAAGUUCAUUUUAACUAUAUUGUUUGGUAUGACUAGUUGGAUUAUUUUUGGAUCAAUAAUGAUACGAAAUUACAAAUUAAAAUGAUAUUCAAUGAAGACCAGAAAAUUUUUCAAUAUAAUGAAAUCCUAUAUGAUGUUUGUUCUCUUUCAUGAAAAUUUUUCAUUAAACAUCAUUAGUUAAAAUAAUGACUAAAUUCCCUAUAUUUUUGGAAAAUUUUCAGGAUGAUAAACAGAGCUCCGUCAUCCUCCAUGUUGAUCAUCUACAUAUUAUUUAUUAUUUUAACAUAUAUGAUACAAAUACUAGACGAGUACGUGGUGUUCGCAACAUGAAGUUUAUGAAAAUCUGCUCGAAAUAUGAGCAUAAAUUUCAUAUUAUACAAUCAAGAUGGUGCUACUUUUAAUGCUAGUGAUACUAAAUCUCAACUUUUUUAAUAAGGGCUAGUUGAGAUAUCGAUAAAUAUUUUAACGCUAUUGUUAUUAAAUGCUUUCAAUUAAUUUAAUUGAAGACAAAUUACUUUAUAUUUCUAUUUAGGAAUUGCUAUUACGCAUUAUGUUAACAUCAUAGUUCUUCCAGUUAUAACUUGGCUUAUGAUCAGAGCUUAAUUUUUCAUUUAAUUAUUUCGAUAGUGCGGUAUAUGCAUUAAUUCACUACAAUGCAUUGAGAUGGAAAGUAAAGAAUGUUGAGAAUAAAUACGUAGUUUGAACCCUUUAUCCCAAAUGAGUGAUGUUUUAUAGGUUGAAAAAAAUGAUUGUCAAUUUGCUUGGACAAUUCUCUCAUCAUUAGGAAGAGAAAUUAAGAAGCGAAAAAUAAUUUACAAAUGUGUCAUUAUAUAAAUCCUCGCAAAAGAUAAUUCUAACCAGAAGUUCGAAAAAUAAUUUAUUUAGAUGUAUUUAUUGACCAAAGAUUUCAAUAAUAAUUUAUUUAGAUGCAUUCAUAAGAGAACAAUUUGUUGGCAUUAUAUUUGAUAUAUUUUGUGGCGCGUCUGAAGCGUGAUGGAGUUCGAUUCUAAUAAACAAACCUUCAAAUAAAAAUGGAGUGAUUAGCAAAGAUACAACCCAGUGGAACUAAAUAAUAUUACUCUAUAAUAAAUGGUAAAAUAACCUUUACUUCAUUCUUACAAGGUCUAUUGUAAAAUUUUGUGUAAAAUCGUAUAUAUUGAGUUGCUAUCCAUUUUCUAGUCAUGUCAAUGAACAACAACGUAUUGUGAUAUGUAUAUAUUUAUUUUAAUAUAUUAAGUACAAUGGUACCAUUGUGUGAACCCCAUUAAAUAGACAUAUACUCUUAAUGAGUAUUUAGAGAUAACAAAUUAUAAAAUCUAAAAAAAGGUUUAGGUAUUUGAUAUGUUGAAGUUUGAAAUAUCAUAAUAGGUUAUGUUGUCAUGAUGAAAGAAAUAGAAUUGAAAAGAAAAAAUUAUUGAUAAUACUUUUGUACCUGAUGUACUGCAUCAUAUUAUGAAUAGUGACAAAUCAAAAUAAAUUUGUUGAAAUUCAUCGAUCGAAGUAAUCAUUUGCCCAAUAAAUGGGAUGCAAUCCUAAAAUUGAAUUUACUAAAAGAAAUCUAAAGUUUCUAGGCUUGCAAUCGAAAAAUCUAAAGUUAACUCAUGCGAAAAGGAAAUAAAGAAAAUAAGGCCGUGAUAUGAAAUGUACGAGUCAUUAUAUAAUGAACUUAGUGAAAACUUGUAUAAAUAGAUAAAUUAUCGUGUGAUGUAUUUCACUAGGUGACAAUGUAUGAAAUUUGAUAUACAUAUAAUAAAUGUGGUUAUAGACAAUUUAUCUUAUAUAGCUUUGAUAUUAUUUUGGAAGGAUUUAAUAUGCAUGAAGUAUAAUUCAAGUGAUAUUAUCAUGAUGGAGAGUUAAUAUGCGUUGUACUCUUUUUUCCUUGACUAAGGUCAAUGUUUUAUCCCAUAAAGUUUUUCUAUCAAAGUUAAUGAGACAAUUUUUGUAACGUACUCAAAAGAAUAAUGUAUUCUUUUUUUUUUUAGUAGAAUUUUUUGAUAGGAUUUUUUUAAUAAGGUUUUAAUGUGGCAUAUUCUUUGUACAAUAAUGUCCUUAAUCUACAAGGCAUUUGUCCUCAAAAGGUAUACUUUUAUAUUUACCAGACUCUCAAAGAGAUCAACAAGAUCUAUUUUCUAAACCAUCAUUUUACUCCUGUUAUCAAAGGUUGAUAAAAUAUCACUUAUAAAGACAGUGUUAUUUGAAGAUAAUGACUUACAAGAUAUAGAUUGCCUGAUACAAGAAUUUUCACUUAAUGAAAUCAAGGAGAGUAGCUGUAUUCUUUUUCAAGUUUUGUUUCACUAAAUUUUCUUGACAAAGUUUUAAUGAAACAUCAUUUUAUUAUUCCAAACCAUUUUUACUCUUUUUUUUCAUUUAUUGGCAUUUUUGUCCCAUUGAAAUUUUUGUCAAACAAUGUUUCAAUAAUAUAAUUAUUGUGCAAAUAAUCAUCAAAGAGGGAGUGUUGUAAAAUAAUGAGAUAAUCAUUGAUAAUUAUUUAGUAUCAUCAUAUCACAUCAAUAAGUUUUAUCUAAUCUAGAAAAUCUGUUCAUUUCAAUUAAAACCCUUAUUUCAAACCCUAUAAAUCUAAGACAUUGAUUCAUAAUAAUACACAUAAGUUUAUUGACUUAUAUUAUCUCAUCUUUUUCUCUCUAGUUUAUAAUACUUUAUAUUUUUCUUCACCUUAUUUUUUUCUUUUUUCUUAUUUGAUGAACAUUUUCCUUUUUUAUGAGAAUUAAAGAUAAAUGAGUUAAAAUUCUUGUUAGUUGAUUUUUCUUUCACAAUCAAUCCCUCAAAAGCCUUAUUUUCUUUGAGGUCUAACUAAGUUCUCUAUUUCAUAAAAAUGAAAUAACUAUAUCUACAGUCUGUUCAUUUCUUCCAUAUCCUAAGAAAUUUCGAAGUUCUUUGUAUCUGUCUACUAAAGAAUUACGAAGAGCACAUGUUGAUCACUUGUAUCAGUUUAUCGAACCCAUCAAUGUUUUCUUCCAAAUUUGAUGAUGUAUCAAAUCUAAAAUUAUAGAAAAACUAUUAAGAUAUAACAUUUAUUUAAUAUAGUCUUGGUUAGAUAGAGAUUUUCUAAUUUAUUCCACAUUUUAUCAGCACAAACAGUUGAAUCUAUUUUCCUAAUUACACUAUCUGACAAAUGAAGAAAAUUUGAACACCAAGAAAUUUCAUCACAUUCCUUUCUCUAGAGGCACUAGUUUUUGCUGCACAAGAUCCAUUCGAGACAAAAGCACAUAUUUGUUGUAAUAACAGAACUCUCAUCAUUUGGCACCAAAUACUAAAGUCUUGAGCAUCAUUUCGUUAAUCUACCUCAUUUUUUGUGAAGAAGUUAUUUUAUAGAUGUAGUCACAAAUUUAGUAAAAGAAUAAUAUACCCCGUGAUAGUCUGGUUUAAGUAGUUGAUAAGCUGAAUAUUGUACAGCUUAUAAAAAAAUGUUUUAACUAGAAAGACAAUUUAUCAACACAGAAUUUUUCUGGUUUCAAAAUUUGUAUUCACACUUGCUCAACCAAUAUACAAAACCUAAUUAAUGUUAAACACAAUUUCAGGUAUCAAUAGAAAACAUCAAGGAGUUAUAGAAUAUAGAAACAUUUAGAUACAAUAUUUGAAGUUUAAGGGCCAAAAAGUGAAAACCCCUUGAACCCGAUGUUCCCUUAGAUUUUCAAAUUAUCAUAGGAGAUCUUGGACAAAGUAAACACACAGAAGAGUCUAUUACCUUAGUAACUUCAAAAAUCAAAAUAGUUUAGAACAAGAAGGAUUAGAAGUUAUUAAUAUGGAAACCCAAGGUUUCAAUACUGCAUAUUGAAAAAAAUAGUAUUUGAGAAAUUAAUUUCUUAUAACUCCGUUAUCUCAAAUGACAAGCUGAUACCUCAAAUAACAAACUUUCACAUAAGAUAACUAGUGUAAUUGCUGACUAUAAAUAGUAUUACUCUUGGAAAAAUCAGGAGUAAAUCUCUAGUAAUCACCAAAAAUACUAGUAAAUCAUCAAGAAUUUUUAGUGCCAUGUGUUAGAAAAAACUACUUGCAUUAACUUGCAGAAAAUAGUAAAUUACAGAAAGUAAAACUAAUCGACUGACCAAGUCUUGCGAUAGCACGAUAUCCUAAAGUAACUGUUAACUGCUAGACCUCCGUGGACAAUCACUCUCAAAAUACAAUGAUCAAACAAACCACUUGUUCAGCAUCUCUCAAGUGUAGUCCAGAAAAUAAUAUAUAAAUAUAGAACUUAAGUAGGAAAAAUUAUACAAUAUGAAAAUGAUAAUUUCAUUUUUAUGUGAUUUUUCCAAAAUCGGAUAUGUGCAUAUAUAGCCAUAAUAGAUAUAACCACAUUCACAAUGAUCCAAAAAUAUUUCCAAUCUUAAACGGGUUGUUGAUCAUGUAUUGCUCAUCAUUGAUUGUUAAAAAAGGUUAUAUUAUACUGGCUUAUUUGAACCAUCAAAUAAAUUCAAAAAUGGUUAAAAUCAAUAAACAAAAAUAUCAUUUUAAUCAGGAAAACCAUGGCCCAAUCAAAGACUUUUUAUUUAUCGCAUGGAAUGUAAGCUGAACAUCGGACCUCCCACACAAAUUCCACACUUCUCACCAAUGGGCACUUGCUCUAACUUAGUUAUUUCUUUCAAAUAAUAUAUUGUUGACCUAAUGGUUGGAUUCUUGUUUUGAUUAUCAUAAACAAUUUGCUUUUAAUUCUAACAAAUUGAAUUUAAGUGUUGUUAGUGAUUACUGUGGAAUUAACGAAGAAUGAAAACACAAGAAUCGAAGUCAAGAUUCAUGCAUAUAGACGAACUACCUUGGCACCAAACGAUCAAUGCACAAGCAAAGUUUGGAACAAAGAGAUUAAAAUCAAGCUUUUGAGUCAAAAAUCAUUUGGAAAGAAGAAAUUGAAGACAAUAGAUAUAGAUGCAUUUUUGUACUCAAAUGUAAAGGUAUAACUCUUCAAUUUCUCGUAUCGACUAUAGUUCAAAAUUUUUAUGCAUGAUACUUCCUCACGACAAAUAAUACUUGUAUAAAAAUUAUUCUCAGAAAGAUGAGUAUCUCAAUUUUCAAGAUUAUACAAUUACAAAAUACUUAUCUAUACAAUAAAUGUAAAAAUCCUUCAACUAUUUGCAUGAAAAUUCGUCACGAAGGAGAAAGUCUGGAGGGGCAAUUUUCUGUCCUUCUGGACGUCCGGACGAGUCCUCCAACGGAUAGUUAACCUUCCGGAUCCUAAGCGGACGUCCAGAUUCCGUGUCCGGAUUGACAGAUUUUUUGACCGUUUGAUGGCUAUAAGUACCCCACUUUCUACCACAAUCAUAACAAGAAUUCUAGAGCUUUAAAGUGCAGCAUUUAUUGAUCUUUUCUACCUUGUUUUCAAUUCUUUUAAGAUCAAAUCAUUUAACUUUUGAAAAACUUUUUGAGUGAUCAAAUUUUUGUGAAAUUCAUAUAUCUCAAAAAGGUUUUCUCUUUACAACACUUGAGAUAUAUUUUUUGUGAAUUAUUGAAGUGUUGUAUCUACUUCUCUCUCUUUAUUCUUAAUUAAGCUCAUAUCAUUAAUUAAGAGAGAAGUCUUUGAUUGUAAUUUCAAUUUUUCUUUAAACUUUGAAUCGUGGGUCAGUUGAGGUCCGGAAAAGCUCCAUGUUGUAAAGGAUCGAUGCUCCUUAUUUGUAAGUCACCAGAGGCUUUGUAAGAAGGUUGGAUUGUACCAUAACUCAAUCAAAUAUAGUAUAAAGGACCUUGCUCGUGACAGAGAGCUUGGUAACGAGGGACGUAGAUCGUUGAUUGGAUCGAACCUCCUUAUUACAUCGUUUGUACUCUCUUUUCCCUUCCUCUUAUUACUUUUGUGUUAUCUUGCUUAUUUAUUAUUUUAAUUGCUUAAUUUUGCACUUAUUUUCGAAAAAGUUUUAAAUAACCAAUUCACCCCCCUCUUGGUUAGUUGUUUCUUGGGCUUUUAAUUGGUAUCAGAGUUUGGUACUCUUUUUUUUUUUAAAGAUUCUAAAAUCUUGAGUAAUGGCUAACCAAGUUUUUCACAAUGUUUAGGGGCACUCUACAAAUCAACCUCUUUUCUUUGAUGGCACACAUUAUAACUACUGGAACGCUCGGAUGAUGAUAUAUAUUCAACUAUUGAUUACAAAAUUUAGGAUGUUAUAGAAUAUGGUCCAUAUGUUCCCACUAAGAUCAUUAAAGUAGAUGGUAGAUCGGACCAAACUAUCCCCAAAUCUAGAAAAGAAUACGAUGAUGAAGAUAAGAGAAAACUAUCAUUAAAUGUCAAGGCUAAAAAUUUACUUUAUUGUGCACUUGAUAGAAAUGAGUUUAAUCAAAUUAGUACAUGUGAUUCGACAUAUGAUAUUUGGCAUGCUCUUGAAGUUACUCAUGUCGGCAUAAGUAAGGUUAAGGAAACAAAGAUAAAUAUGCUAGUUAAAGAAUUUGAAAAUUUCUUUAUGAAACAAAAUGAGUCUAUUGUUGACAUGAUUACUCGUUUUAUCGAUAUUGUUAAUGGUCUUAAAGGUUUGAUCGUAAAUUUACUAACAGUGAACUUGUGAAUAAAAUGCUUAGGUCCUUAUAGGAGGAAUGGAGUCCAUUGAGGAUGUUGAUCGAGAAUACUAAGGAUAUAUAUACAUAUCCUUUGGAAGAUCUCUACGGCAAAUUAAUGAUCUAUGAGCUAAAUAAUGCCAAGAUUAAAGAGAAAACAAGAAAAAGCAAGGAGGAAUCAAAAGAGCCUCCUAAACGAUAAAUUCCAUUAAAAUCGACAUUGAGGAAGGAACAUCAAGUGAAAACAUGAGUGAUAAAGAGCUUGAUGAUUUGGUUUUUCUUGUCGAAAAAUGGAGAGGUUUUCGCAAUAAUCGAAUAUUCCAAAAGAAAGAAGAAAAAGGGGAAGAAAUGGACAAAAAGAUUAUUUGCUAUGAUUGUGAUAAGCCGGGUCAUAAGAGAAUCGAGUGUCCGAUCAAAAAGAAAAAUUUCAAAAAAAAAGGCACUCCAAGCCACAUGAGAUGAUAGCGACGACAAAGAACAAAAUGGGAAUGAUAGUCAAGAUCAAGUGGUGAAUAUGCGCUUUAUGACAAUUGAAGACAAGGUAUGUUCCUAUGAUAAGCUUUCAAAUUCAUAUGAUGAAAUGCUAGAAAAAUUUGAAAAUCUUGCUUUGAAUCAUGCUAUUCUUAAAAAGAAAAAUUCUAUUUUAAAAGAAGAAAUUAAGAAUAUCUAAGAAAAGCAAAAAGAAAAUAUUGACCAUAAUCUUUUGAUAAAAGAAAACAUCUCUUUGAAAGAAAAGGUCAGUGACUUAACAAAAAUUAUCCAUAAGUUUACCAAAGGUAAAUCUUGAUUUAAUGCUUAGUAGUCAAAAGUACGUUUUUGAUAAAGGGGGAAUUGGAUACAAACCCUCUCUAAAAUAAAAAUCACUCAAAAAUAUGUUUGUUAAGGUUUCAAAUACUUCAUGUAGUUUUUGUAAUAAAACUGGACAUAUAGCAUUCAAUUGUGUAACUAAAAAGAAAUUAUUCCUUGAAAACAAAUACAAGUGGAUACAAGAAUCCACAAAAACCAACUACCAAGGACCCAAGUUUGUAUGGGUACCAAAAGUCGAAACUUAAAUUGCCUUUGUAGGUACCAAAGAAAACAAAAAGCAAAAAGCAAAUGGUUCCUAAAUAGUGGAUGUUCGAAAAAUAUGAUCAGAGACCGAUCAUUGUUAUCAAAUUUCCAAGAGAAGGAUGGAGGCCAUGUCACCUUUGGAGAUAACGCCAAAGGUAAAAUAAUUGGCAUUGAAAAUAUUGGUAACCACUCAUCCCCCUCUAUUGAAAAUGUUUUACUAGUUGAUAACAUUAAACAUAAUUUACUAAGCAUUAGUCAAUUAUGUGACAAAGGAUAUAACAUAAAAUUCGAUUCUACUAAAUUCCUUAUUAAGGAUGCUACAUCUAAAGAGGUGAUUUUCAUAGGAAGCCGAAGUAAAGAUCUUUAUAUUAUAAACAUUGAAUUUGAAAAUAAUGAAAAGUGUUUACUUAGCUUGAAAGAAGAAUCAUGGUUAUGGCAUAGAAGACUUGGACAUGUAAGCAUGGAUCUUCUCUCAAAAAUUUCUAAAAAUUGUUUUGUAAAAGGUUUAUCAAAUUUGAAAUUUGAAAAAGAUAAAAUUUGCGAUGUUUGUCAAUUUGGAAAACAAGUAAAGAAUUCUUUCAAACUAAAACUUUAUGCUUCAACUACAAAACCUUUACAACUUCUCCAUAUGGAUUUUUUUUGGACCUUCUAGGACAACUAGCUUAGGAGGUAAAUAUUAUGCUUUUAUUAUAGUCGAUGAUUUUUCAAGAUUUGCUUGGGUUAUAUUUUUAAGCUUAAAAGAAGAAGUUUUGAAAACUGUUAAAUACUUUUGUAAGAAAGUUGAAAAUGAAAAAGGCUAUUCUAUUACAACAAUUAGAAGUGACCAUAGUGGAGAAUUUGUUAAUGUUGGCUUUGAUGAAUUUUUUGUAAAGAAUAUGGAUAUGAACAUAACUUUUCGGCUCCUAGAACACCUCAACAAAAUGGUGUAGUAGAAAGGAGGAAUCGCACAUUGCAAGAAAUGGGUUGGACUAUGUUAAAUGAAAAUAAUUUGCCUAAAUACUUUUGGGUCGAGGCCGUUAAUACCGCUUGUUACAUUGUUAAUAGAGUAUUAGUAAGCAAAAAAAAAAACUAAAACUCCUUACUAACUUCGGACAAAUAGAAUUUCAAAUAUUAGUUAUUUCAAAGUUUUUGGAUGUAAAUGUUUUAUUUUAAAUACAAAAGACAAUUUUGGAAAAUUUGACUCCAAAUCCGAUGUUGGAAUUUUCCUAGGAUAUUUAUCGACUAGCAAAGCAUAUAGAGUUUUUAACAAACGAACUCUAGUCGUUGAAGAAUCCAUGCAUGUUAGUUUUGACGAAACUAACUCAUUUGAUCAAGAGAAAGGUAGUGAUGACGAUGUAGGAUUGGAAGCUUCUUUCGAGCAAAUGAAAAUUCAAGACCAAAAUAAGGAGGCACCAAAUGAAGAAAUAGAGAAAUCAAAUGCCAAAAUAAAUGAAAAAAGACAAACUGAAGAACAAAGUGAUCCCCCAUUGCCAAAAGAAUGGAGGUUUGUUCCAUCUCAUCCCAAAUAGCUUAUAAUUGGCGAUCCAUCAAAAUGUAUCACUAGUAGAAACUCUCAUAAAAAUGAUUUCGGUAGCUAUGCAUUUAUUUCUCAAAUCGAACCUAAGAAUUUCAAAAAUGCCGAGUUUGAUGAGUUUUGGAUUCUAGCGAUGCGAGAAGAAUUAAAUCAAUUUGAAAGAAACCAUGUUUGGGAUUCAGUCGCUAGACCAAACAAUCAAACCGUUAUAGGAACGAAAUGGAUCUUUAGAAACAAAAGAGAUGAAAAUGAAAUAAUUGUGCGUAACAAGGCUAGAUUAGUGGCGCAAGUUUACAAUCAAGAAGAAGGUAUCGAUUUUAAAGAAACAUUUGCACCCGUAGCAAGAUUAAAAUCCAUUCGUAUGCUUCUUGCAUUUGCAUUUGCAAGGGUUUACACUUUAUCAAAUGGAUGUUAAAAGUGCAUUUUUAAAUGGUUUUAUUCAAGACGAAAUUUAUGUUGAGCGACCUCCCAGUUUUAAAGAUCACAAGUAUUCGAAUCAUGUAUUUAAAUUUAGAAAAGCUCUUUACGGUUUGAAACAAGCUCCUAGAGCUUGGUACGAACGAUUGAGCAAAUUUCUUCUCUCAAAUGAUUUUUCGAUUGGAAAAGCGGAUACUACACUUUUCAUAAAAACUCAUAAAGAGGAUAUGCUCAUUGUUCAAAUUUAUGUUGACGAUAUUAUUUUUGGCGCUACAAAUAUUCAUCUUUGUGAAGAAUUUUUAAAUUACACGAGUAAAGAAUAUGAAAUUAGCAUGAUGGGUAAAUUAAAAUUCUUUCUUGGUCUUUAAGUUAUACAAACAAAAGAAGGAAUUUUCAUCAAUCAAAAUAAAUACAUAAUAGACAUGCUUAAAAAAUUUGAUAUGCAUGACAUUAAGUCUAUGAACACGCCAAUAAGCACAUCCCUGAAGCUUGAUAAAGAUAAUCAAGGUACAUCCGUGGAUGUCACAAAAUAUCAAGAUAUGAUCGGAUCUCUUCUUUAUUUAAUUGCUAGUAGGCCCGAUAUUAUGUCUAGUGUCUGCUUAUGUGCUCGAUUUUAAUCUAAUCAUAAAGAAUCUCACUUGAGUACCGUUAAAAGAAUUUUUCGAUAUUUAAGUGGAACUAGGAUCCUAGGACUUUGGUAUCCAAAGGGUACACAUGUUGAUUUAAUUAGUUAUUCGGAUGCCGAUUGUGCUGGAUUUAAUGUUGGCCGUGAAAGUACUAGCAAAAAUUGUCACUUUCUAGACUUUGCACUAGUUUCUUGGUCUAACAAGAAAAAAAUUUCGUGGCACUAUCCACGGUCGAGGCGGAAUAUAUCUCAACCACUAGUUGUUGUGCACAAACAUUAUGGAUGAAACAGACAUUAUGUGAUUAUCAUUUAUCCUAUGAUCAUGUGCCUAUCUUAUGUGAUAAUACUAGUGCUAUUAAUCUAUCAAAGAAUCCCGUCUUGCAUUCACGAACUAAGCAUAUUGAGAUUAGAUAUCAUUUUCUUCAUGAUCAUGCACAAAAGGGAUAUAUUGAAUUAGAAUUUAUAAAGAUUGAGAAUCAAUUGACCGAUAUUUUCACCAAACCUCUUAUACACGAUCAUUUCUCUUCUAUUCGAAGAAGUCUAGGAAUUAUUGAUGAAAAUUUGAUAUAUAAAAAAGGGCAUCCAGACGCAUCCUAUCCGAACCGGACGGUCCAGACUGAAUCAUUCGGAUUGACAGUGUAUUUUGAACACUGUCUAUCAAUCUGGACAUCGGAUCUGUUGCGGUUCGCGUUAUUCAAAACACGAACCAGAGGUCUUCUUCAUCAUUUCUUCUCCUCUUUUCUUCAAUAUUUUCCUCAAACUUUCUCAUCCACUAUCAAAUUCCUCUCCGAACAUCACUUUCCUUCCAAUUUCUUGUUUCCACAAGAUUUAAACUUCAAAAUAUUCACACUUUUCCUAAAAUCAUUUAAAAUCUUCAUCUUUUUACUCCACUCAAACCUCCGGUAACUUUUGGCUAUUUUUCACUCAAAUUGCUCAAUCUUGUGUCAAACUACACUACCCACUGUAGUAUUCAUCACAUAUUUAAGCAUUUCACCAAUUCAAUUGUGAAUUUUGGCUAUGAAAUCUCUCCAAAGCCUAACUUUCAAAAUUUGGGGCUUAUUUGAAAUUCUUGGAAAUAUAAUCAAUCCUCAACAAUGUCGGGAUCUCAAAGAGGAAAAAGGGUGAAAAGAACCGAGAAAUGACCCCCUUCAUUGUCGUUGGAUGAAGAGAUGGAUUUGAAGCCGGAGGUGCCGCCAAAUUCCUUUGAAAAGUCACACAUUUUAAUUGGUAAGAAUGUUGAUUUUGCGGAUUUUACAAUUGAAGCUCCCGGAUUUCAAAUUGAUGAAUAUUUUGAAAACAUGAGGUGGGUAACUAUCACGUCUUAUAAAAGAAUUUUAUCAAAAAAUGCAAACUGCACCUCGUUCCGUCGAGAUUACAUGUUUACUUAAAAAUGGACACAUUACGAUUUCAAAAGCAUUGAUUCGUGAAAUUCUCGAACUUGAGACUUGUAACUUGGAAGUAUUUGUGCAUAAAUCUCCACAUACUGUGGAAGGUUACGAUCCUUUUAAGACUUGUCGACGAGUCACCGGGAAGGACUUCGAGAAUAUCAUGAAAUUAAGCAAAAUCAAUUAACUCUCCCAUGCAAAGUUUUGCAAAAUAUAAUUGCCCACAUUAUUUUUCCCCAAAAAUGACACCGAGACGAAGUCAAUCACUUCAAUCUCUUUAUUAUGGACUCUCAAUUAUUGUUGGGCGUCUCAUUGAUUUUCCUACUAUUGUCAUGGGACUUAUGAAACGCGUGCAUGCAUCACGUCACACUAAAGCUUUACCUUACAGGAUGCUUCUUACAAAAUUUUUCAAACACUUUAAUGUUUCACUUGACGGGGAAGUUUUCAUUACAUUAUGCCCUACCGAUAUUAUCAACAUCCAAACACUAAAAAUGAUGAAAAUAGUAAACGAACACGGGCAAUGGCUGGCUCACACGAAAGGGUUUGAUCCUACCUUCGGCCCAUCUACUCUUCCAUUUGAAGAUGAACUACCUGAGACCGAGUCUGAUGAAGCACCUGCACCCAGUAUUCCAGGCUCUAGUACAUCUCAUCCUUCAAUACGUCAUUCUAGAUUCACCGAGAAAUAAUAUAGUCUCAUUCAUAGGUGUAUUCACUUACCUCGACGGUCGAUAGCAUGGAUAGCCUACUACUCCUGAUUCAGGUUCAGCAGACUACUAUCCAUGAUCGACAGCCUGCGAUGCAACAACAACAGCUUGAGAUGCAGGCUUAGCAGGCUGCUUUUUUCAGUGAUUUCUAUGCUCGAUUUCCACCACCUCCAUCGCCUUCGACCCCUUAGUUUAUUUGCUUGUCGUAUUCUACUAGAUAUAUUAUUAUCUAACUCUAUAUUUCGUUUAUUAGACUUUUAUGUUCGUCUAUUGCAUCGUUCAUUUCUCCUAUGUACUUUGCCUAUUUUCCCUUAAAUGGUUGACUUUCUCCAUGCUAUUAUUUCAUUUCUGCUGCUUGUGUUCUUAUUUUUGCUUAUGCCAAAAGGGGGAAGAUAAGUAGAUGAUUAUGCAAAAUAAGGGAAAUAUUGUAAGGGAGAAGUAAUAAAUUUUUAUAUGCAUGACAAUAAAGGAAAUUUUUAAGUGAAAUCGAUAGGGAGAACGUUACUUGUAAUUUUCAAUAUUUUUGUUUGCGCCAAUUCAAUUUGUUUAAUAUUUAUAUUGCAAAUCAUCUAAUUUGUCAUAAUCAAAAAGGAAAAAAAAUGUUGACCUAAUGGUUGACUUCUUGUUUUGAUUAUCACAAACAAAUUGCGUUUAAUUCUAACAAAUUGAAUUUAAGUGUUGUUAGUGAUUAUUAUGGAAUUAACGAAGAAUGAAAAUACAAGAAUUGAAGUCAAGACUGAUGCAUAUAGGCGAACUACCUUGGCACCAAAUGAUCAAUGCAUAACCAAAGUUUGGAACAGAGAGAUUAAAAUCAAGCUUUCGAGUCAAAAAUCAUUUGGAAAGAAGAAAUUGAAGAUAUUAGAUAUGGAUGCAUUUUUGUACUAAAAUGUAAAGUUAUAACUCUUCAAUUUCUCACAUCGACUAUAGCUCAAAAUUUUUACGCACGAGGCUUCUUCACGACAAACAAUACUUGCAUAAAAAUUAUUCUAAAAAAGAUAAGUAUCUUGAUUUUCAAGAUUACACAAUUACAAAAUACUUAUCUAUACAAUAAAUGUGAAAAUCCUUCAAGUACUUGCAUGAAAAUUCAUCACGAAGGAGAAAGUCCAGAGGGGCAACUUUCUGUCCAUCUGGACGUCCGGAUGGAACUGUCCGGACGAGUCUCCAACGGUCAUUUCAGUGAUCGUUUUUCAAACGGCUAGUUAACCGUCCGGAUGCUAAGCAGACGUCCGGAUCCCGUGUCUGGAUUGACAAAUUUUUUGACCGUUUGAUGCUAUAAAUACCCACUUUCUACGACAAUCAUGACAAGAAUUCUUGAGCUUUAAAGUGCAACAUUUAUUGAUCUUUUCUACCUUGUUUUCAAUUCUUUUAAGAUCAAAUCAUUUAACUUUUGAAAAAAAAUUUGAUCACUGUGAAAUUCAUAUAUCUCAAAAAGGUUUUCUCCUUUAUAACACUUGAGCUAUACUUUUUGUGAAUUAUUGAAGUGUUGUAUCUACUUCUCUCUCUUGAUUCUUAAUUAAGUUCAUAUUAUUAAUUAAGAGAGAAGUCUUUGAUUGUAAUUUCAAUUUUCCUUUAAAUUUUAAAUUGUGGGUCGGUUGAGGUCCCGGAAAGCUCAACGUUGUAAAGGAUCGAUGCUCCUUGUUUGUAAAUACCGAGAGCUUUGUAAGAAGGUUGGAUUGUACCAUAACUCAAUCAAAUAUAGUAGAAAGGACCUUGCUCGUGACGGAGAGUUUGGUAACGAGGGACAUAGAUCGUUGAUUGGAUCGAACCUCCUUAUUACAUCGUUUGUACUCUUUUUUCCUUUCCUCUUAUUACUUUUAUGCUAUCGUGCUUAUUCAUUAUUUUAAUUGCUUAAUUUUGCACUUAUUUUUGAAAAAGUUUCGAAUAACUAAUUCACCCCCCUCUUGGUUAGUUGUUCUUGGGCUUUCAUAUAUUUGUUGUAGAAAUAUCUACAAUCUCCAACAUGAAAGAAAUAAGAUAAAUAAAAAUAUUAUUUUGGCGUAUAGUAGAAUCACGUAAGUUUAGGUGUCUAUCGACUUGAACCUUGGCUUUAUAUACCUUUUGAGUUUUCUAAUUGUAGAGUGAAUUAUAUUUUGAACUCUACAAUUAUAGUUACAAACUGAGACAAUAGAAUAUCCACAUGAUUUCUAAAACAAUCAUCGAGUUCACACAAUUAUCAUUUUGAUUGUGAACUUUCCUAGUUUCUUUGAAUGUUCUAGAUAAUCAUCCUCAAUUAUCAUUGAAAGCGGCCACACUUUCGUACUCAAAUAUGUGCUUCUAUCAAAGGUGCACUAUAUCUAAACACUCCACUGAAUAUCAAUUAUAGUAAGCAUUAAGAGCAUUGACUCAUCCUCUAAUCAAUACGGUUGGUAUUACACAUCAUGGGAAAGGGUUUGGAAUAAAUUGUAUAUAGUACCUUCACAGAUCACUCCAAUAACUUUGUUGUUCCAUUGAACUUUGUCCAUGGGAUCUCCAAUUGCAAUGUUGGGUUUCCAUUAUAGGUGAUUUAAUUUGUAAUAGGCUUUUUAGCCUUAUCUCCCUCGAUGUUUUCUGAACUAGCUCUUUAGCUAAUCCUUUAAUUAAGGGUCAGUAAUAUUAUUACUUGAUUUCACACAAUCAAUAGCUAUAAUCCCAUCCUUAAGCAGUUAACCCAAAGUAUUGUACCUCCUACGAAUAUGUCUAGACUUUUCAUUAGAGGAUGAAUUUUAAAUUCUUGAACUAGCUGGAAGUAAUUUAAACUACAAAUGAACAUCCAUAAGAAAAUUCCUUACUCAUUUAGCCUCAUCACAUGCUUUAUCUAAAGCUAUGAAUUCAAAUUCCACAGUAAAUAUCGCAAUGCAGGUUGCUUCAUGGAUUUCCAAGAUACAGUACUGCCUGUUAAUAUAAAUAUAAAUCCACUUGUAGAUUUACUUUAUAUCGAAAAUCCAAUUAGUAUCACAAUAUCCCUCAAGUACAGUAGGAAAUUUGGUACAAUGAUAUUGUAUUUCAAGUACCUUAAAGCUCGAAUGAUAGCAUCCAAAUGUUCAUCCUUAGAAUUACUAGUAUACUUGCUAAGUCUAUCUACCACAUAUGCUAUAUCGGGUCUUAUGUAGUUCAUGAGAUUACCGAUCAAUCUAAUAUAUUCUAAAGCAGAAACAUUAGGACCCGAAUUUUUCUUAAAUGACUUCUUGCAUCGUAAGGUGUUUUAGCAGGAAUACAAUUGAAUUGGUUGUGGAAUACAAUUUAAUUGGUUAAAUUUUUUAAGUACAUCUUCUACAUAAUGAGAUUGGUUAAAGUAAUUCAUUCGGAAUGUUUUUCUAUUUAAAUUUCUAGAAUAACAUUAGCAAUACUCAAAUCUUUCAUUUCAAAGUGCUUUUUCAAAAACUGUUUUGGUCUUAUUAAUCACAUCUACACUAGUUCUCAUUAUAGCAUAUCAUCAUUGUAUAAGCAAAAUUAUCACAUUACAAUUAUUUUCAAAUUCGCUAUAUAUGUCAUUGCUUAGGAGCUUGUUUAAGGUCAUAAAAUUGUUUUUUUUUUUUUAACUCUGUAUACUUUAUUAUCAAGACCUCCUACAAUAAAACCUCAUAUUGAUUAAAAUAAAUCUCAUUUUCUAAGUCUCCAUUUAAAAAUGCAGUUUUGACAUCCAUUGAAUAUAUAAUAAGAUCAUAUAAUGAAGCAAUUGCAAUUAAUAUCCUAAUAGAGACAAUCCUAGUAACGGAUGAAUAAAAAAAAAAAGUCAACUCCUUUUCUUCUUUAUAGCUUUUAGCUACAAGUUUUGCUUUAAACUUAUCAAUCAAACCAUCAAGUUUAAGUUUUUUCUUAAACAAUCAUCUACACUCAAUUAUCUUAAUUCCUUGAUGUAAGUCUACUAACUUUCAAGUAUUGUUUAACAUAAUUGAAUCAUAUUCACUAUUUAUUGCUUCCUUCCAAAAUAUAGAAUCUGGUAAAAACAUGACUUCAACGAAAGUAAUAGCAUCAUCCUCUUCUAAGUAAGUUCAAAAGUCAGGAUCGAAAAGUGUAGUGGCUUUAGAUUUUUUGUCUAAGCCCUUCAGCAGAUUCUCUAGCAACAGCUGCCAGUGCAUCUUAAGAAUAAGCAAGACGAGUCUCCAAAGGUUUAUCGAGGUGAAGGUUUUGGCAGCUCGUCCUAUUUUCAACUUCUUCUGAUUCAACAUGCUCCUCUCUAACUCUAGGAGGAACGCUAAUAAAAUUACUUGAUCAUUCAAAUUUUUCUUUAAAAGGAAAUUUAUAUUUAAAAAAUUUAACAUCUCUAGUUUUACAAAUUGUGUUCUCAUCAUCAACCAAAUUAUUUUUAGAGUCAAUGACUACAAAUCUGGAGGUAUUAUUAUGAAGAGCAUAGCUUAUAAAAACACAAUCAAUAGUUUCCAGACCAAAUUCCUUUCUUCUCGAUCUUGCAGAAAGAAGCAUUUCCCAAAAACAAACAUUUUUCAUCACCAAAAGGAGCGAAAGAAGAUGAUUUACCUCUUGUGCUGUAAAUGUGUUUGGUAACUCUAGAAUCUAUCCACUAGUCUAUCAUGUUGCUUACUAGAUUAACUUCUGCACCAUAGUAGAGAAACUCGCGUCUUUACUAUAAAUGCCUGAUUCUUCAUAGCUUUUUUUCCACCUAUUUUUGCAAUCCUUUACUAAGUAACUUGGUUUACCAUAAAUAAAACAAUUACCAACAUUUUUAUUCUUAAAUUGAGGUUUAGACCGAUUGUUCUUAUCUACAUAUUUCUUUUCCUUGUUUAUCCUUAAAGUUCUAACCCUUGGUAAAGUUUUCAACAAAUUUUUUUACUCCGGAAUUCCCUUCAAAAGACUAGUUUUGGUACCGAAAUUUGGUGUCUCCCUAUGUUCUAUCAUCAUAUUGUCUUCCUCCAUUCUAAUAUUAGUAAUCAGAUCUUCUAAAGACAUUUCUUUCAUUUUAUGGUUCAAACUUUUUAAUAGUCCUUUCAAACAAGUGGUAGUUUUCAGUAAUAGUCCUUUCAAACAAGUGGUAGUUUUCAGUAAUAGUCCUUUCAAACAAGUGGUAGUUUUCAGUAAUAGUCCUUUCAAACAAGUGGUAGUUUUCAGUAAUAGUCCUUUCAAACAAGUGGUAGUUUUCAGUAAUAGUCCUUUCAAACAAGUGGUAGUUUUCAGUAAUAGUGGAUACUUGAAAAUCCUUACAAAUUUUAUAUCCCUCAGCAAUAAUUUCAUGAAUUAUAUGUAAUUCUUCAACUUAUCUAACCACGGUUCUAAUAUAAUUCAUUUUAGGUUUUAGAAAUUUUCCUAUAGCAAAUUUCUUAGUUCUAGCAUCUCCAGCAACAUAUUUUUCUAAAGAAUUCCAUAAUUCUUUAGUAGAUUUACACGUCUAGUAAAUAUCAUUUAAAUUUAAAGUCAACCAAUUCAGUAUGUAAUUUUUGCACAUAUAAUCAUUAUGUUCCCAACUAGCUAAAUCUUCUAUUUAGGCGUAGGCUUAUCAACAAUUUCAACAACAAGUUUAUCAGAUUUAAUAGCAUCAACCACUUUAAGAGUUGUCAAGUAAAAUCGUAGCUUCAUUUGCCAUCUCUUAAAAAAAUUUCCAUCCAAUAAUUUGGAUUUUUAAGAAUACCUAGGGACAGGUGCAUCUAUUACAAACAUAGCAACUAAUUAUAAGAGGAUUUCACUUCAAAUUGUUAGAAAAUAACUAGUUACAAUAACUUGUAUAAAUAAUAAAGUACAAAAAAUAAAAAUUUUCGACUAAUCGAGCAUGAUGCCCUAAAUUGAAAUAACUCGCCGUUAACUUGUAACCCAAAACCCCGACCUUCCACACUUGCUCUAACUUAGUUAUUUCUUUUCUAUAAUAUAUUUAUUGUAUAAAUAUCUAACAUAGAGUUACCACGAAUGAUUUGAAACCAAAACAAAUCACCAAAAAUCAUUUAAAACCACGAUGAGUUACAAAGAUUCAUUUAAAGAUAGAACAAGUCACCAAGUAUCAUUUGAAAAAUCCAACCACAAGACACAUUAAGUCAUUAAGCCACGUAGACUUGGAGACGAAUUCAUUUCCACUCAGGUUCUCCGAAUUGAAAAAAUGAUUUGUGAUAUUUAAAAAAGAAGAACUAUAUAAGAAUUAGGAAUUCCAAUACCACUUGUCAGUUCCAAUAAUACAUUUUAACCCUGAAAACCUGAAAGAAGUUGCAUAAUAUAAAAGAUUGAAUACAAAAGAAUUUUCGUCCACUAAUGAGUCUGGAUGUUCAUGUGCCCUAAAAUUUACACACAUUGAUUUGAGCAUCUACCUUCGUGGAUAUAGCUCUAGUACUUGAAGGAAAUCAACUUCCACGAGUUCAAUACAAAUGUGAAAUCAUACGAAUUUCUCAUCUUUCUCGGCUACAUCUAAAGAGGUGAUUUUCAUAGGAAACCGAAGUAAAGAUGUUUAUAUUAUAAACUUUGAAUUUGAAAAUAACGAAAAUUGUUUACUUAGUUUGAGAGAAGAAUCAUGGCUAUGGCAUAGAAGACUUGGGCAUGCAAACAUGGAUCUUUUUUUUAGAAUUUCUAAAAAUUGUUUUGUAAAAGGUUUAUCAAAUUUGAAAUUUGAAAAAGAUAAAAUUUGCGAUGUUUGUCAAUUUGGAAAACAAGUAAAGAAUUCUUUCAAACUAAAACUUUAUGCUUCAACUACAAAACCUUUACAACUUCUCCAUAUGGAUUUUUUUUGGACCUUCUAGGACAACUAGCUUAGGAGGUAAAUAUUAUGCUUUUAUUAUAGUCGAUGAUUUUUCAAGAUUUGCUUGGGUUAUAUUUUUAAGCUUAAAAGAAGAAGUUUUGAAAACUGUUAAAUACUUUUGUAAGAAAGUUGAAAAUGAAAAAGGCUAUUCUAUUACAACAAUUAGAAGUGACCAUAGUGGAGAAUUUGUUAAUGUUGGCUUUGAUGAAUUUUUUGUAAAGAAUAUGGAUAUGAACAUAACUUUUCGGCUCCUAGAACACCUCAACAAAAUGGUGUAGUAGAAAGGAGGAAUCGCACAUUGCAAGAAAUGGGUUGGACUAUGUUAAAUGAAAAUAAUUUGCCUAAAUACUUUUGGGUCGAGGCCGUUAAUACCGCUUGUUACAUUGUUAAUAGAGUAUUAGUAAGCAAAAAAAAAAACUAAAACUCCUUACUAACUUCGGACAAAUAGAAUUUCAAAUAUUAGUUAUUUCAAAGUUUUUGGAUGUAAAUGUUUUAUUUUAAAUACAAAAGACAAUUUUGGAAAAUUUGACUCCAAAUCCGAUGUUGGAAUUUUCCUAGGAUAUUUAUCGACUAGCAAAGCAUAUAGAGUUUUUAACAAACGAACUCUAGUCGUUGAAGAAUCCAUGCAUGUUAGUUUUGACGAAACUAACUCAUUUGAUCAAGAGAAAGGUAGUGAUGACGAUGUAGGAUUGGAAGCUUCUUUCGAGCAAAUGAAAAUUCAAGACCAAAAUAAGGAGGCACCAAAUGAAGAAAUAGAGAAAUCAAAUGCCAAAAUAAAUGAAAAAAGACAAACUGAAGAACAAAGUGAUCCCCCAUUGCCAAAAGAAUGGAGGUUUGUUCCAUCUCAUCCCAAAUAGCUUAUAAUUGGCGAUCCAUCAAAAUGUAUCACUAGUAGAAACUCUCAUAAAAAUGAUUUCGGUAGCUAUGCAUUUAUUUCUCAAAUCGAACCUAAGAAUUUCAAAAAUGCCGAGUUUGAUGAGUUUUGGAUUCUAGCGAUGCGAGAAGAAUUAAAUCAAUUUGAAAGAAACCAUGUUUGGGAUUCAGUCGCUAGACCAAACAAUCAAACCGUUAUAGGAACGAAAUGGAUCUUUAGAAACAAAAGAGAUGAAAAUGAAAUAAUUGUGCGUAACAAGGCUAGAUUAGUGGCGCAAGUUUACAAUCAAGAAGAAGGUAUCGAUUUUAAAGAAACAUUUGCACCCGUAGCAAGAUUAAAAUCCAUUCGUAUGCUUCUUGCAUUUGCAUUUGCAAGGGUUUACACUUUAUCAAAUGGAUGUUAAAAGUGCAUUUUUAAAUGGUUUUAUUCAAGACGAAAUUUAUGUUGAGCGACCUCCCAGUUUUAAAGAUCACAAGUAUUCGAAUCAUGUAUUUAAAUUUAGAAAAGCUCUUUACGGUUUGAAACAAGCUCCUAGAGCUUGGUACGAACGAUUGAGCAAAUUUCUUCUCUCAAAUGAUUUUUCGAUUGGAAAAGCGGAUACUACACUUUUCAUAAAAACUCAUAAAGAGGAUAUGCUCAUUGUUCAAAUUUAUGUUGACGAUAUUAUUUUUGGCGCUACAAAUAUUCAUCUUUGUGAAGAAUUUUUAAAUUACACGAGUAAAGAAUAUGAAAUUAGCAUGAUGGGUAAAUUAAAAUUCUUUCUUGGUCUUUAAGUUAUACAAACAAAAGAAGGAAUUUUCAUCAAUCAAAAUAAAUACAUAAUAGACAUGCUUAAAAAAUUUGAUAUGCAUGACAUUAAGUCUAUGAACACGCCAAUAAGCACAUCCCUGAAGCUUGAUAAAGAUAAUCAAGGUACAUCCGUGGAUGUCACAAAAUAUCAAGAUAUGAUCGGAUCUCUUCUUUAUUUAAUUGCUAGUAGGCCCGAUAUUAUGUCUAGUGUCUGCUUAUGUGCUCGAUUUUAAUCUAAUCAUAAAGAAUCUCACUUGAGUACCGUUAAAAGAAUUUUUCGAUAUUUAAGUGGAACUAGGAUCCUAGGACUUUGGUAUCCAAAGGGUACACAUGUUGAUUUAAUUAGUUAUUCGGAUGCCGAUUGUGCUGGAUUUAAUGUUGGCCGUGAAAGUACUAGCAAAAAUUGUCACUUUCUAGACUUUGCACUAGUUUCUUGGUCUAACAAGAAAAAAAUUUCGUGGCACUAUCCACGGUCGAGGCGGAAUAUAUCUCAACCACUAGUUGUUGUGCACAAACAUUAUGGAUGAAACAGACAUUAUGUGAUUAUCAUUUAUCCUAUGAUCAUGUGCCUAUCUUAUGUGAUAAUACUAGUGCUAUUAAUCUAUCAAAGAAUCCCGUCUUGCAUUCACGAACUAAGCAUAUUGAGAUUAGAUAUCAUUUUCUUCAUGAUCAUGCACAAAAGGGAUAUAUUGAAUUAGAAUUUAUAAAGAUUGAGAAUCAAUUGACCGAUAUUUUCACCAAACCUCUUAUACACGAUCAUUUCUCUUCUAUUCGAAGAAGUCUAGGAAUUAUUGAUGAAAAUUUGAUAUAUAAAAAAGGGCAUCCAGACGCAUCCUAUCCGAACCGGACGGUCCAGACUGAAUCAUUCGGAUUGACAGUGUAUUUUGAACACUGUCUAUCAAUCUGGACAUCGGAUCUGUUGCGGUUCGCGUUAUUCAAAACACGAACCAGAGGUCUUCUUCAUCAUUUCUUCUCCUCUUUUCUUCAAUAUUUUCCUCAAACUUUCUCAUCCACUAUCAAAUUCCUCUCCGAACAUCACUUUCCUUCCAAUUUCUUGUUUCCACAAGAUUUAAACUUCAAAAUAUUCACACUUUUCCUAAAAUCAUUUAAAAUCUUCAUCUUUUUACUCCACUCAAACCUCCGGUAACUUUUGGCUAUUUUUCACUCAAAUUGCUCAAUCUUGUGUCAAACUACACUACCCACUGUAGUAUUCAUCACAUAUUUAAGCAUUUCACCAAUUCAAUUGUGAAUUUUGGCUAUGAAAUCUCUCCAAAGCCUAACUUUCAAAAUUUGGGGCUUAUUUGAAAUUCUUGGAAAUAUAAUCAAUCCUCAACAAUGUCGGGAUCUCAAAGAGGAAAAAGGGUGAAAAGAACCGAGAAAUGACCCCCUUCAUUGUCGUUGGAUGAAGAGAUGGAUUUGAAGCCGGAGGUGCCGCCAAAUUCCUUUGAAAAGUCACACAUUUUAAUUGGUAAGAAUGUUGAUUUUGCGGAUUUUACAAUUGAAGCUCCCGGAUUUCAAAUUGAUGAAUAUUUUGAAAACAUGAGGUGGGUAACUAUCACGUCUUAUAAAAGAAUUUUAUCAAAAAAUGCAAACUGCACCUCGUUCCGUCGAGAUUACAUGUUUACUUAAAAAUGGACACAUUACGAUUUCAAAAGCAUUGAUUCGUGAAAUUCUCGAACUUGAGACUUGUGACUUGGAAGUAUUUGUGCAUAAAUCUCCACAUACUGUGGAAGGUUACGAUCCUUUUAAGACUUGUCGACGAGUCACCGGGAAGGACUUCGAGAAUAUCAUGAAAUUAAGCAAAAUCAAUUAACUCUCCCAUGCAAAGUUUUGCAAAAUAUAAUUGCCCACAUUAUUUUUCCCCAAAAAUGACACCGAGACGAAGUCAAUCACUUCAAUCUCUUUAUUAUGGACUCUCAAUUAUUGUUGGGCGUCUCAUUGAUUUUCCUACUAUUGUCAUGGGACUUAUGAAACGCGUGCAUGCAUCACGUCACACUAAAGCUUUACCUUACAGGAUGCUUCUUACAAAAUUUUUCAAACACUUUAAUGUUUCACUUGACGGGGAAGUUUUCAUUACAUUAUGCCCUACCGAUAUUAUCAACAUCCAAACACUAAAAAUGAUGAAAAUAGUAAACGAACACGGGCAAUGGCUGGCUCACACGAAAGGGUUUGAUCCUACCUUCGGCCCAUCUACUCUUCCAUUUGAAGAUGAACUACCUGAGACCGAGUCUGAUGAAGCACCUGCACCCAGUAUUCCAGGCUCUAGUACAUCUCAUCCUUCAAUACGUCAUUCUAGAUUCACCGAGAAAUAAUAUAGUCUCAUUCAUAGGUGUAUUCACUUACCUCGACGGUCGAUAGCAUGGAUAGCCUACUACUCCAGAUUCAGGUUCAGCAGACUACUAUCCAUGAUCGACAGCCUGCGAUGCAACAACAGCAGCUUGAGAUGCAGGCUUAGCAGGCUGCUUUUUUCAGUGAUUUCUAUGCUCGAUUUCCACCACCUCCAUCGCCUUCGACCCCUUAGUUUAUUUGCUUGUCGUAUUCUACUAGAUAUUUUAUUAUCUAACUCUAUAUUUCGUUUAUUAGACUUUUAUGUUCGUCUAUUGCAUCGUUCAUUUCUCCUAUGUACUUUGCCUAUUUUCCCUUAAAUGGUUGACUUUCUCCAUGCUAUUAUUUCAUUUCUGCUGCUUGUGUUCUUAUUUUUGCUUAUGCCAAAAGGGGGAAGAUAAGUAGAUGAUUAUGCAAAAUAAGGGAAAUAUUGUAAGGGAGAAGUAAUAAAUUUUUAUAUGCAUGACAAUAAAGGAAAUUUUUAAGUGAAAUCGAUAGGGAGAACGUUACUUGUAAUUUUCAAUAUUUUUGUUUGCGCCAAUUCAAUUUGUUUAAUAUUUAUAUUGCAAAUCAUCUAAUUUGUCAUAAUCAAAAAGGAAAAAAAAUGUUGACCUAAUGGUUGACUUCUUGUUUUGAUUAUCACAAACAAAUUGCGUUUAAUUCUAACAAAUUGAAUUUAAGUGUUGUUAGUGAUUAUUAUGGAAUUAACGAAGAAUGAAAAUACAAGAAUUGAAGUCAAGACUGAUGCAUAUAGGCGAACUACCUUGGCACCAAAUGAUCAAUGCAUAACCAAAGUUUGGAACAGAGAGAUUAAAAUCAAGCUUUCGAGUCAAAAAUCAUUUGGAAAGAAGAAAUUGAAGAUAUUAGAUAUGGAUGCAUUUUUGUACUAAAAUGUAAAGUUAUAACUCUUCAAUUUCUCACAUCGACUAUAGCUCAAAAUUUUUACGCACGAGGCUUCUUCACGACAAACAAUACUUGCAUAAAAAUUAUUCUAAAAAAGAUAAGUAUCUUGAUUUUCAAGAUUACACAAUUACAAAAUACUUAUCUAUACAAUAAAUGUGAAAAUCCUUCAAGUACUUGCAUGAAAAUUCAUCACGAAGGAGAAAGUCCAGAGGGGCAACUUUCUGUCCAUCUGGACGUCCGGAUGGAACUGUCCGGACGAGUCUCCAACGGUCAUUUCAGUGAUCGUUUUUCAAACGGCUAGUUAACCGUCCGGAUGCUAAGCAGACGUCCGGAUCCCGUGUCUGGAUUGACAAAUUUUUUGACCGUUUGAUGCUAUAAAUACCCACUUUCUACGACAAUCAUGACAAGAAUUCUUGAGCUUUAAAGUGCAACAUUUAUUGAUCUUUUCUACCUUGUUUUCAAUUCUUUUAAGAUCAAAUCAUUUAACUUUUGAAAAAAAAUUUGAUCACUGUGAAAUUCAUAUAUCUCAAAAAGGUUUUCUCCUUUAUAACACUUGAGCUAUACUUUUUGUGAAUUAUUGAAGUGUUGUAUCUACUUCUCUCUCUUGAUUCUUAAUUAAGUUCAUAUUAUUAAUUAAGAGAGAAGUCUUUGAUUGUAAUUUCAAUUUUCCUUUAAAUUUUAAAUUGUGGGUCGGUUGAGGUCCCGGAAAGCUCAACGUUGUAAAGGAUCGAUGCUCCUUGUUUGUAAAUACCGAGAGCUUUGUAAGAAGGUUGGAUUGUACCAUAACUCAAUCAAAUAUAGUAGAAAGGACCUUGCUCGUGACGGAGAGUUUGGUAACGAGGGACAUAGAUCGUUGAUUGGAUCGAACCUCCUUAUUACAUCGUUUGUACUCUUUUUUCCUUUCCUCUUAUUACUUUUAUGCUAUCGUGCUUAUUCAUUAUUUUAAUUGCUUAAUUUUGCACUUAUUUUUGAAAAAGUUUCGAAUAACUAAUUCACCCCCCUCUUGGUUAGUUGUUCUUGGGCUUUCAUAUAUUUGUUGUAGAAAUAUCUACAAUCUCCAACAUGAAAGAAAUAAGAUAAAUAAAAAUAUUAUUUUGGCGUAUAGUAGAAUCACGUAAGUUUAGGUGUCUAUCGACUUGAACCUUGGCUUUAUAUACCUUUUGAGUUUUCUAAUUGUAGAGUGAAUUAUAUUUUGAACUCUACAAUUAUAGUUACAAACUGAGACAAUAGAAUAUCCACAUGAUUUCUAAAACAAUCAUCGAGUUCACACAAUUAUCAUUUUGAUUGUGAACUUUCCUAGUUUCUUUGAAUGUUCUAGAUAAUCAUCCUCAAUUAUCAUUGAAAGCGGCCACACUUUCGUACUCAAAUAUGUGCUUCUAUCAAAGGUGCACUAUAUCUAAACACUCCACUGAAUAUCAAUUAUAGUAAGCAUUAAGAGCAUUGACUCAUCCUCUAAUCAAUACGGUUGGUAUUACACAUCAUGGGAAAGGGUUUGGAAUAAAUUGUAUAUAGUACCUUCACAGAUCACUCCAAUAACUUUGUUGUUCCAUUGAACUUUGUCCAUGGGAUCUCCAAUUGCAAUGUUGGGUUUCCAUUAUAGGUGAUUUAAUUUGUAAUAGGCUUUUUAGCCUUAUCUCCCUCGAUGUUUUCUGAACUAGCUCUUUAGCUAAUCCUUUAAUUAAGGGUCAGUAAUAUUAUUACUUGAUUUCACACAAUCAAUAGCUAUAAUCCCAUCCUUAAGCAGUUAACCCAAAGUAUUGUACCUCCUACGAAUAUGUCUAGACUUUUCAUUAGAGGAUGAAUUUUAAAUUCUUGAACUAGCUGGAAGUAAUUUAAACUACAAAUGAACAUCCAUAAGAAAAUUCCUUACUCAUUUAGCCUCAUCACAUGCUUUAUCUAAAGCUAUGAAUUCAAAUUCCACAGUAAAUAUCGCAAUGCAGGUUGCUUCAUGGAUUUCCAAGAUACAGUACUGCCUGUUAAUAUAAAUAUAAAUCCACUUGUAGAUUUACUUUAUAUCGAAAAUCCAAUUAGUAUCACAAUAUCCCUCAAGUACAGUAGGAAAUUUGGUACAAUGAUAUUGUAUUUCAAGUACCUUAAAGCUCGAAUGAUAGCAUCCAAAUGUUCAUCCUUAGAAUUACUAGUAUACUUGCUAAGUCUAUCUACCACAUAUGCUAUAUCGGGUCUUAUGUAGUUCAUGAGAUUACCGAUCAAUCUAAUAUAUUCUAAAGCAGAAACAUUAGGACCCGAAUUUUUCUUAAAUGACUUCUUGCAUCGUAAGGUGUUUUAGCAGGAAUACAAUUGAAUUGGUUGUGGAAUACAAUUUAAUUGGUUAAAUUUUUUAAGUACAUCUUCUACAUAAUGAGAUUGGUUAAAGUAAUUCAUUCGGAAUGUUUUUCUAUUUAAAUUUCUAGAAUAACAUUAGCAAUACUCAAAUCUUUCAUUUCAAAGUGCUUUUUCAAAAACUGUUUUGGUCUUAUUAAUCACAUCUACACUAGUUCUCAUUAUAGCAUAUCAUCAUUGUAUAAGCAAAAUUAUCACAUUACAAUUAUUUUCAAAUUCGCUAUAUAUGUCAUUGCUUAGGAGCUUGUUUAAGGUCAUAAAAUUGUUUUUUUUUUUUUAACUCUGUAUACUUUAUUAUCAAGACCUCCUACAAUAAAACCUCAUAUUGAUUAAAAUAAAUCUCAUUUUCUAAGUCUCCAUUUAAAAAUGCAGUUUUGACAUCCAUUGAAUAUAUAAUAAGAUCAUAUAAUGAAGCAAUUGCAAUUAAUAUCCUAAUAGAGACAAUCCUAGUAACGGAUGAAUAAAAAAAAAAAGUCAACUCCUUUUCUUCUUUAUAGCUUUUAGCUACAAGUUUUGCUUUAAACUUAUCAAUCAAACCAUCAAGUUUAAGUUUUUUCUUAAACAAUCAUCUACACUCAAUUAUCUUAAUUCCUUGAUGUAAGUCUACUAACUUUCAAGUAUUGUUUAACAUAAUUGAAUCAUAUUCACUAUUUAUUGCUUCCUUCCAAAAUAUAGAAUCUGGUAAAAACAUGACUUCAACGAAAGUAAUAGCAUCAUCCUCUUCUAAGUAAGUUCAAAAGUCAGGAUCGAAAAGUGUAGUGGCUUUAGAUUUUUUGUCUAAGCCCUUCAGCAGAUUCUCAAGCAACAGCUGCCAGUGCAUCUUAAGAAUAAGCAAGACGAGUCUCCAAAGGUUUAUCGAGGUGAAGGUUUUGGCAGCUCGUCCUAUUUUCAACUUCUUCUGAUUCAACAUGCUCCUCUCUAACUCUAGGAGGAACGCUAAUAAAAUUACUUGAUCAUUCAAAUUUUUCUUUAAAAGGAAAUUUAUAUUUAAAAAAUUUAACAUCUCUAGUUUUACAAAUUGUGUUCUCAUCAUCAACCAAAUUAUUUUUAGAGUCAAUGACUACAAAUCUGGAGGUAUUAUUAUGAAGAGCAUAGCUUAUAAAAACACAAUCAAUAGUUUCCAGACCAAAUUCCUUUCUUCUCGAUCUUGCAGAAAGAAGCAUUUCCCAAAAACAAACAUUUUUCAUCACCAAAAGGAGCGAAAGAAGAUGAUUUACCUCUUGUGCUGUAAAUGUGUUUGGUAACUCUAGAAUCUAUCCACUAGUCUAUCAUGUUGCUUACUAGAUUAACUUCUGCACCAUAGUAGAGAAACUCGCGUCUUUACUAUAAAUGCCUGAUUCUUCAUAGCUUUUUUUCCACCUAUUUUUGCAAUCCUUUACUAAGUAACUUGGUUUACCAUAAAUAAAACAAUUACCAACAUUUUUAUUCUUAAAUUGAGGUUUAGACCGAUUGUUCUUAUCUACAUAUUUCUUUUCCUUGUUUAUCCUUAAAGUUCUAACCCUUGGUAAAGUUUUCAACAAAUUUUUUUACUCCGGAAUUCCCUUCAAAAGACUAGUUUUUGUACCGAAAUUUGGUGUCUCCCUAUGUUCUAUCAUCAUAUUGUCUUCCUCCAUUCUAAUAUUAGUAAUCAGAUCUUCUAAAGACAUUUCUUUCAUUUUAUGGUUCAAACUUUUUAAUAGUCCUUUCAAACAAGUGGUAGUUUUCAGUAAUAGUCCUUUCAAACAAGUGGUAGUUUUCAGUAAUAGUGGAUACUUGAAAAUCCUUACAAAUUUUAUAUCCCUCAGCAAUAAUUUCAUGAAUUAUAUGUAAUUCUUCAACUUAUCUAACCACGGUUCUAAUAUAAUUCAUUUUAGGUUCUAGAAAUUUUCCUAUAGCAAAUUUCUUAGUUCUAGCAUCUCCAGCAACAUAUUUUUCUAAAGAAUUCCAUAAUUCUUUAGUAGAUUUACACGUCUAGUAAAUAUCAUUUAAAUUUAAAGUCAACCAAUUCAGUAUGUAAUUUUUGCACAUAUAAUCAUUAUGUUCCCAACUAGCUAAAUCUUCUAUUUAGGCGUAGGCUUAUCAACAAUUUCAACAACAAGUUUAUCAGAUUUAAUAGCAUCAACCACUUUAAGAGUUGUCAAGUAAAAUCGUAGCUUCAUUUGCCAUCUCUUAAAAAAAUUUCCAUCCAAUAAUUUGGAUUUUUAAGAAUACCUAGGGACAGGUGCAUCUAUUACAAACAUAGCAACUAAUUAUAAGAGGAUUUCACUUCAAAUUGUUAGAAAAUAACUAGUUACAAUAACUUGUAUAAAUAAUAAAGUACAAAAAAUAAAAAUUUUCGACUAAUCGAGCAUGAUGCCCUAAAUUGAAAUAACUCGCCGUUAACUUGUAACCCAAAACCCCGACCUUCCACACUUGCUCUAACUUAGUUAUUUCUUUUCUAUAAUAUAUUUAUUGUAUAAAUAUCUAACAUAGAGUUACCACGAAUGAUUUGAAACCAAAACAAAUCACCAAAAAUCAUUUAAAACCACGAUGAGUUACAAAGAUUCAUUUAAAGAUAGAACAAGUCACCAAGUAUCAUUUGAAAAAUCCAACCACAAGACACAUUAAGUCAUUAAGCCACGUAGACUUGGAGACGAAUUCAUUUCCACUCAGGUUCUCCGAAUUGAAAAAAUGAUUUGUGAUAUUUAAAAAAGAAGAACUAUAUAAGAAUUAGGAAUUCCAAUACCACUUGUCAGUUCCAAUAAUACAUUUUAACCCUGAAAACCUGAAAGAAGUUGCAUAAUAUAAAAGAUUGAAUACAAAAGAAUUUUCGUCCACUAAUGAGUCUGGAUGUUCAUGUGCCCUAAAAUUUACACACAUUGAUUUGAGCAUCUACCUUCGUGGAUAUAGCUCUAGUACUUGAAGGAAAUCAACUUCCACGAGUUCAAUACAAAUGUGAAAUCAUACGAAUUUCUCAUCUUUCUCGCCUCACGAAAAUGUUACAAAACAUUGUUAACUUAAUCAUAAUAUACAGAAACCUUCUCCAUCUACACAAAUGCACAAACUUUCUCUACUAAGGCACGUUUGAGCCCCCAUUAAUUUGAAGUAACGUAUUAUAGAAUAAUAAUUAAUGGAGAAUAUGUAAUUAAAAAGGAAAGAAAAGUUUUUGAUUUACGUGUAAUAUUAUUUUAAUGAAUUAAAUAUAAGUACUAUAAAAAAUAAUAAAAAAGAAUGUAAAGUAAAGAGUGACAUAUGGGGACUAAGUAUUCUAGUAGAUGGAAAAUGAAGAACUUUCAAAAGAGCAAACAGAGAANNNNNNNNNNNNNNNNNNNNNNNNNNNNNNNNNNNNNNNNNNNNNNNNNNNNNNNNNNNNNNNNNNNNNNNNNNNNNNNNNNNNNNNNNNNNNNNNNNNNNNNNNNNNNNNNNNNNNNNNNNNNNNNNNNNNNNNNNNNNNNNNNNNNNNNNNNNNNNNNNNNNNNNNNNNNNNNNNNNNNNNNNNNNNNNNNNNNNNNNNNNNNNNNNNNNNNNNNNNNNNNNNNNNNNNNNNNNNNNNNNNNNNNNNNNNNNNNNNNNNNNNNNNNNNNNNNNNNNNNNNNNNNNNNNNNNNNNNNNNNNNNNNNNNNNNNNNNNNNNNNNNNNNNNNNNNNNNNNNNNNNNNNNNNNNNNNNNNNNNNNNNNNNNNNNNNNNNNNNNNNNNNNNNNNNNNNNNNNNNNNNNNNNNNNNNNNNNNNNNNNNNNNNNNNNNNNNNNNNNNNNNNNNNNNNNNNNNNNNNNNNNNNNNNNNNNNNNNNNNNNNNNNNNNNNNNNNNNNNNNNNNNNNNNNNNNNNNNNNNNNNNNNNNNNNNNNNNNNNNNNNNNNNNNNNNNNNNNNNNNNNNNNNNNNNNNNNNNNNNNNNNNNNNNNNNNNNNNNNNNNNNNNNNNNNNNNNNNNNNNNNNNNNNNNNNNNNNNNNNNNNNNNNNNNNNNNNNNNNNNNNNNNNCCAAUUACAGAAAGAAAUAGGAGGUGAUUUUCCACUACACUAGUAGCUUUCUUAAUAAAGUGAUGCUAUUUAAUUUCACUAGAGUUACAUUUUCAGUUUAAGUGACGUUAAUGUGGUAUUAAAUGAUUUGUAAUAUUAAAAAGUUACUUAUUUUCACUUUUCAUUCAACAUAUCAUCACCACCACAUAGAUUGAGAUUGUAACCUCAUUGGAACUAAAUAGCACUAUUCUUCUUAAUAUGGUAUUUUACGGUUUUCAUUUUUAUUUCUUCGAUUUGAUUCUUUGGCAUGAAAUUAUUAUAAUUUGUUUAUUUUUAAAUUUAAUUUUUAACUCAUUUUACGUAUAAAAUACAAAAUUACCAUUUUACCAUUAUUGAAAUAGCUAAUAAUGUAGUCAAAAUUAUUUUUUGAGAUCAACUAAUUGUCAAAUGGAUGGAUUCAAUCUAUUUGUCCCUGUGCCGCAAUAAAAAUGAAAGAUUUGAGAUAGUGAUUGAUACAAAUAAAAAGUCUGAAUAAAGUCUGUAAAAAAUAUAUAUAUUGGGGACCAUGGCUGCAAUUCUCUCUAAAAUCAAUUCCGUGAUGAAUUUGAAUCACUUAUUCAAGAUAAGAAAGCAAAGUGCAAAGUGAUAUCACUUAUUCAAGAUAACUUAUUAGAAUUUAUUUUUUCCUGUCCUACAUGAUAAUUAAUUACACAUAUAUAUCAAUUCGAACUGUCAAUUAUCAUUAAAGCAACUUGUGCUAAAACAUAAUCAUCCUAUAGUUAGACACUUUUGUUGGGAAAAAAAAGUGAAAGACAUCUUUUUUCACUUAAAUAAUUAUUUUGGUUCUGUUCAUAGUCUUCAUUUUAGAAAAUCUUGUAGAUACAAAAUGCUCUUAUGUGCCUCGAAAGAUCGAAGAGAUUUUGCACGAAGUCCCUGCAAAGUCGUUAUCAAGUCAUUCUUUUAAAAUACAUGACGAGUUGAGCUCUAUUCAAUCUGGUACCUUAAUUUACUAAUUUACUUGCUUCUGAUGUGUUUGAUCACAUUUUGCUUGCACGAAUUUGACCUUAUUUAUUGUUUUCAUUAAUUUACCUAUUCAACCUUUUCUCGUAGCAUUUUUAGAUGACCGUGUAUUUUGUAGUUAUAUUUAUAUCGAGAUACACAAAUAACUGAUUAUGAUUACCUAAUUUGCAACUGCCUAUGAUCAUUAUCUCGACUUGCCACAUUUUUGUUUUUCACGUAUAGCAAAAUUAAUUGACAAAGGUGAUAAAAAUAACAGAAAACGAAAUUCCAAAUGCAAAUUGUGAAAAAACUCAAUAUUUAGAAGAUGAACAAUGCUAGAGGUAUAGAAUUUUUUGACAGAAGAAUUUUACAGAUAUGACAUCAUUGAAAGAUGGGGAAAAAAAAGUCCAAUCAUGUUUUAUUAUAUCAGUGUUAGUACGAGUUCUAAUAAAAAUUUUCUGUACUCAUAGCUUUUUUUUUCUGUACUCAUACCUUUAUUGUUAAAAGAUAUGGAAGUCGAUGAAGUAAACGAUUCAGAUAUCAAUUUGACGAUCGGUAUCUGUUUUAUAGCCUACCAAAGCGUGGUGUUGAAAUUAAAGAAGGAAAAAUGGCCGUAAAAUUUAAAUUUAAACAAAACAGAUUACAGAUCCGUAAUAAAUAUAAUUUUUUUAAAAAAAAAUACUAAUUUAUGGCGGAACUUAUGUCGGAUUCUCGAUAAUAUGUACUAGAAAGCUAGCUUAAUUUUUCAAAACACAUGAUACACUUGCUUUAAUUUUUGAAAGAGUAGUGCUCGGCGUACAGGCCCAGCACUCACAAGGUUGGGGUCGAUUUUUUUUUUUUAAAUUAUAUAAAUGGCGUCGGGGCCCACGUGGGGCCAACCCCAUGUGAGGGAUUGGUAAGACCAACUUUGUUCUUUUUGAAAUAUUGACAGAUUGUCAUACUUCUUUUUUUUGUUUUUCAUUUUUUUUUAAUGGAUUGUUGUACGUCGGAAAGUGUUUAUUAAUUUUAAUUUUUUUUUAUUUACAAACUUUUAUAUGGAAAUAUUUAAGUACGUAAUUGUUUAUUAAUUUUUUUAAUUUUUAAAAAAGUUUUUCGCGAUGGGUUUUGGUUUCGAAUAAUUUUAAUUUUAAGUUUUAUUUUUAAAUAGUCACCAAUGGAAAUCUCCGUUGGGAAAUCAACAUAUAAGUGUUUAAUUAAUUUUCAUAUUCAUUUUUUUUUUCUAUUUUUAUCAACAAAUUAGCGAUGAAAUAUCAUCAAUUAUUGUGGGUUGAAGUCGGUUUGAACAAUGUAAAGACUUGCACCGGCCACAUGGUUGGGACCAUAUUUGGGUCCAAAUUAGAUUGUCUCAAUAUCUUAUCAAACUCAUCAUAUCAAUCAAAUGAUCUUAUGACUACGUCAACUAUUGAAUUGAAACGCACGCCCCAUUUUGAAAAUAUUUUGAAACUUUCAUCAUUUUUCUGGGUUCGAGAACGAUUACUUUUCAAUAAAGGUAAAGUUAAAAUUGUACAUGAACAAAUUACUACGGGUACAUUUUUUUUUUCCUAAAAUGUGAAGAAUAUGAAAAAAUUCACGUACAUAAUACUUACAAAUUGAGAUGGAUUCAGAUCUUUUAGAUCAUCGACUAUUAAUAAACAGUUGAUUUGGAGAGCCACUUUGGAUAGUUUAAAAAGUUCCAAUAGAGAGAACAUACUGAAAUCUCAUUUUUCAAAAUUGAUUCUCCAAUAUUGAGAGAGUCUUAAAUUUAAAUAGUCUCUUGAGAAUACUUUAAAAGAUAGAGAAGUUAAUAUUGCAUUAAAUAAAUUUUUAUGAUAUUUUAUGAUCGUAUGAAUGCAUUUUCAAAUAUUCAUUUUCAUUCCAGUUUUUUGCACUAUAAAUAAAAAUAGAAAUUGAAGAAAAUAAAACGAAGUUAAGGCAAUACCGAUCAAAUCAACCUAUCAGGAAGAUGUUAGAAUGACAUAGGACACAAACCUAUAGUCAAAGUGUCAUUCAUGACCUUAUUGCAACCGACCUCAAAACUAAUCAAAAUAUUUCAAACGGCGCAUUAUCACAAGCCUUAGAUUGGAACAAAGUGGCUGACAUGAUUAGGAUGACAAGUUCGAGUCCAUCAGCCUCCAUAAAGGAGAAAAGAAUGAAUGACAUGAGAAGAUUUGAACUGAAACACACUAUACAGCUUUCUUAAAUUUCAAAUAAGUAAAUCACUUCUUGAGGAAGACUAGAGAUGGGUGCUUUUGGAGCUCGACUCGAUAACAAUUAGUAGAACCCGAUCAUAGACGAUCCAAGUUCGGCUCAACUCAUUGCCAUGGCUAACUAGUUUCCUACCGAGGUCACAUGAAUUAAGCUUGCUUCUAUGAUUUUAUUUCCUUUGGCAAAAACAACUGGGCUUUAAAAGUACACGCUUAAUGCUAUAGUACGCCUUUUCUUUUUCAUUUUCUGAAAAGAGUGCAGUACAAAAUUAUUAUAAAUUUUUGAAAAUAUUCGCUGUAACAUUACUGUGUAUGAGAUGUAUUUUGAUUCUUUUAAAAAAAUAUUUUUUAUUACGUACACAGUUAUUGAGAAUUUAACUUCAUUCCAUAUACCAGGAAGAAGUGACACAUCACCAUAAGGCCCUGUUUGUCAAUCGUUAAAAUUUUAAAUUAUUUGCUACAAUAUUAUUCUCCAUCACAUAUUUACACAAUAAAAUAUUCUACAAACGAACCAAUAAAUUUUUUUUUAUAUUUUUUUAUAUAUUUUUUUUUUUACUUUUAAAUCACACAUUCUCAAAAUAAUACUACUCAAAACUCUCUAACUUACUAAAUAAUGGGCAACAAACACCGGCUAAAUUUGGAUUAAGUUGAAUACAAUUCUUCAAGUGGACGAAAAAAUUGACUGCAAUUCUUCAAGGAGAUGAAAUCUAGAAUUUACUUGUAAACAAACUUGCUGAAAAUAAACAAUCAUCUUAUAUCUACUACCAGUUAAAAUCAAGAAGAAAUUGAAACUAAAACUGCAUGUAAAGUGUGUGAUCAAUGGUGUAUAUUUAUUAUUAGAAAUAUGUACAACAAUCAUUUAAAAAUAAUAAAUUGCAUGAGAACUAGCAUUUUAUCAUAUUCAACCAAUCGUGUACACAAAUAAUAAUGGGACAGGACUCUUUCGAUAUGAAGAAAUUACUGGGGAGUGUUUGCAAUACAAGGAGAAGUUCCCUUGAGAACGUCUGCAUGCACCAAGCCAGCUAUUACAAAGAACAAAAAUGACCACAAGCAUUUUCACUACUCAGCAAGUAGUGCAUAUUACAACAAUCAAGAUUUCUACUUAUUUCACUUUUAAAUAAAGUCGAUUACGGGUCUAAUAUCGUAGAUCGACAUACCAGGUUACUGUGGUUUAGGAAGUCCAUAAAAAUCGCCCUCCAUUCUCUUCUUCUUCUCCUCUAAUGCAUUACUGGUGGAUCUCCAUCUACAGAAAGAACCAAACAGGACCUCCAUAUCCUCCAGGUUUCUUCCCCGUGUCUCCGGUAGCAAUGUGUAGAAGAAAAUCCAAGCUAUAAUUCCAACCCCUGCAAAUAAAAAGAAAGCCCCUCCAAUUGUAAUACUCUGGUACAGGGAUAUAAAUGACAUUAAGAUCACCCCACUGAUGAAUCUAUUCAUUGCGACUCCCAUACCACAACCUUGGGCCCUUAGCCUCAAUGGGAAGAUCUCGGAACUGUAGACCCAUGCAAUGGGACCCAUCCCCGACGAGAAAAAAGCAACGGCUAAUAAUGUCAUGAGAAUGCACAAGGCGAUGGCCCACGUUAGUUGUUCAUCGGGAUAUUGAUCGAUUACAGUCAAUCCAAUGGCCAGACCUAUGAGGCAGAUUACCAUACCACCGCAACUUGAAAGAAGCAAAACUCGUCGUCCAAUCUUGUCUAGGAAAAAUGUGGACACUAAG
This 121388-nucleotide long non-coding RNA is filed under the name Olea europaea (common olive). RNAcentral's name for it is "long non-coding RNA (OEUR_LNC003160)". Lineage: Eukaryota; Viridiplantae; Streptophyta; Magnoliopsida; Lamiales; Oleaceae. The record is from RNAcentral.